UCUGACUCUGGCGAACUGAGGGAGAGGAUUGAACCCUCCAGACGGAGACGCUUGAGAUGGCAAGAGCCCACUUUGACUAAUUCAUUACGAAAAUAAUCGACAUCUUGCUCUUGCAAUUCACUUAACUCAAGGUCUUCAAUUCUCUGCAGUUGCACGAUCAGCGAAUCCUUCAAGCAAAUCUCGUUAUUUAGCCAGAGUCUGAAUUCACGACACCAAAUGUUGGUGCUCUCCCAAUAGCCAUGAUCUCCAAUGCGUAUGCCGUACCUUUCCAGCUUCUCCAAGAGCAGGCCUCUGGGCAGAGUGCUGACGUCAUAGACGUGUAAUUCCAAAGAGGUCAAGUUGGGCAAAUGCUUCAACUCCUCAAGGCUUGCAUUCUUAACCCCUUCUACCUCCACCUCCCAUUUAUCAAAGCUUUUAUCUAUAUAUAGUUCUUCUAAAUGGGAUAAUUUUGACAGUAUAUUUGGUGGAAUAACUAUUAGACACCAACAAUCCCUCAAAUCAAGCAGCUUUAGCCAAGUCAAUUCACCUACUUCUACCGGCAACUUCUUAAUUGUAGAACCUCUUAAGCAAAGGAUUUCUAGUUUCUUCAAGGCUCCCACAACACUUAUAUCAACCAAGCUGCAGUCACACAAACUCAGUGUUCGAAGGUUUGACAGGAGACCAAGUGAUGAAGGCAGUGACCGUAGAUUCAUGUCAGUCAAGUUGACAACUCUGACCUGUAUCAUCCUCUCGAAAAAGUUGUUUGGAAUUGUUUCCCACAAAUCAGCACGUAUAAAAAGAAGUUCGAGUUGAGGACAUUCCAGUACUUCAGGAAACAAAUUAGUCUCGAUAUCAUGUAAGACGAUUGAAGUGCAAUGCUUUAUUGCACUUCCGUCUAACCAUUCCCUGCAACCAUCAACCUGCUCAUUUGUAGCAGUAAACACAUUUCGUUCAGUAGAUGCAAUUGAUAUGGCGACAUCGCGAACUACAUCAUGCAUAGAAAACAACUCUUCAUUCUCGCUUUCAUGGUCAAGCAACAUACAAGAAGCUUUGAGUGUGCGCACCAAUGUAUGUACUCGAUUUCGUGCUUCUUCAAUCUUAUUCACACCUUGAAAUAAACCCAAUCCCAUACCACACAUUAACAAGUCAUCAAUAUAUGCUAUGGCUGUAUAUCCUAUUAGCAAAAAGAUGUUCUUGAGAUCAUCCCUUCCUAGUUUAUUGUAGCUCAACUCGAUAGCUUUAAAUGCGGCUGGCUGUACAUCCUUAAAAUUCGAUGAAGGCCUUCUUAGCUGUUCCAAUGCAUCCUUCCAUUCACGUAUGCUCUUGCUCCUUAAUGCCCUUGCAACCGUCACAAUGGAAACUGGUAGACCUGCACAUUCCUUUGCCACAUCCCUUGCUACCUCUUUCAAUUUAUUACCUUCAACAUAAUCACCUGCCAUCUUCGUGAAUAGACUCCAAGCUUCAUCUUCUUUUAAAAAUCCAACUGGGAAAUUUUUUCGAGACUCCAUCUCUCCAGACAAUACUUCUUCACUCCUUGCCGUGAACAGCACUUUACAUCCCAUGUGAUCAUCUCCGUGAGGAAUUCCGACAUCCAACAAAUCAAGAUUUCCCCAAAUAUUAUCCAAGAUUACAAGGAUCCUCUUCUCUUUCUUCAGUCGAUCAUAAAGUCUUCUUGCCCUACCCGAUUCACUCUCCUCAUCAAAUUUUAGACCUAGUUUAUCUGCGAUUUCUCCUUGAAUCUUUCUUACGUCUCGACUCUCAGACACCUCAGAAAAAACCACCUGAUCGAAAAGCUUGUCACACUCUGCUUUUCUAGCAACUUCUUUAGCUAGUGUCGUCUUUCCGAUUCCGCCCAUUCCAUAAAUCAAAAGCAUGUUGACAUUGGGAUUUUUUAAAGCAUCAAUUAUUUCAUUCAGAAUGGACGUUCUUGAUUCAAAGGCCUCGAAGUCUUUGUUAGGCAUAAGCAAGGUAUCCUCCGGAAUGAUGCUGUAGGAAAUACUAUUAACUGGUCUAGCGUCCAGGACUUUGACAACAGCCUCCUUCUGCCUCUCUGCUUCCUUGCUAAGUCGAGGGCGGGUCUUCAAAUUAGGACAUAACCCCUUGAAACAACGCUUAUUUGCAGUGGCUUCAUCUUCUGUAAAUUUAUCUGCCUCUUCAAUGACACUGUUAGCCGUUGCAAGCCAUUUCUCAACGUUCUCUUCAAUCUCUUCUCCUUUUCUUUUAGCCUCAUCAACCCGGUGCUCUAGAGUAACCCUCUCAGACUUCAGAUUGUCAACUUCAGUCUUGAGAUUCUGCAAGUUACUUGUGUACUUACUCUUGCGCAAAUAGCAAAUUCGGCGAUAUGCGGCAGGAGCCACGCACUUUACAACUUCUAAAACAAUAGUAAGAAUGAUUUCAGCCAUCUUCAGUCCUUUGUCCUUGUCUCUCUAUCUCUCUUUUUCUGAAUUUUGGAAAAACAAUUCAACAAGCGACCACAACAAGAUGGAACAAAUAAAAAGGAAAAAAAAUACAAAGAGUGGAUGGAGAAUAAAACAGAGACAGCGGCACAGCUGGACACAACUAGAUAGAGAACAGAGGAAAACCAAAUAACAAGACUUCAGAUUACAACAAACAGAGGCCAAGUAUUAUUGUUGAGAUCAGAAGAUGGAAAAUUCAAAAGAGUUGAUGGCAGAUGCUGAAUAACAGAACAACAAUGAACGCAAUAAACAGAAGCAAAGUGUGUUUGUGAUCGACAGACGGAAGUAAGGAGAGCGGUUGUUGAUUGAAAAUGAAUGAAUGCAAAGAAAGACUGAUGUUGAAAAUUGAUGUCAAUAGCGAAGGAAUAAUUGAACUUUCGCUGAAUUAUUGUUUGUGGCUUCUUUUACUUUUUAUUUGUGGGUCAUGUCUCUUGGAACUAAUCAUCUUAGGUUAUGCCUUAUAGCUUUAAGGCCGGUAAACCGGUGUCCGUUGGAUUAGCAUAUAGAAAUCCAACAGUGGAUAUAUGUACUUGCAGAAUAAAAUUCAAGAGCAAAGGGAGUGCCGGGCUGCAGUUUCUUAAGGAGAUUUAUAUAUCCUCCUCAAAAAUAAAUGUUUUAAGGUAGAUAUUUAGACUAUUUCAUCAUAAAAUAAAUGUAAUUAAUUUUCAAUAAAUAUCUUAUAUAAAUAUUUAUUUAUUUUUUUAAUUACUAAUGACCUUUGAAUAUACAUAUAUACAUAUUACUAAUUCAAAAAAUAAAUUGUGAUUAUUUGUUAAUGCAUGUGAUUACUUGUGAUGGUAAACAAAGUAGAUAUGGUAUAUUUUGAAGUUAAAUUAAAAAAAAAAAAACAGAGCUUUUACCAUUACUUGCCUUAUCAUCUUUUAAAUUAGAGUUAUUAUUCUUUUAUUUUUCAAGUUGCCAACUCAUCGCAUUCUCUUUUAUUGAAUUUGAAGGUUAAUGAUUAUAAAUUUGUGUAAAAAUUUGAAGUCAAAAUUUUAAAUUAAAAUAAUCUUUAAGUUAUUGAAAAAUAAUAACUUAGUAAAACAAAUAUUAUAUCCUAUACUUUAUUGCUACAAAAUUACGAAACCUUUUAGUUUCAAAAAAAAAAUUUAUGAAACCUUAUAUUAUAUUAUGUUUCCAUAUUUCUCCUUUAUAGUGAAGACUCAUACUUCUCUAAUAAAUGCUAAAGAAUUGGCUUAAUUUUUUUAACCAGCAUGGUAGACCCUUAAGCUAUAUAUACUAUAAUGUCCCUCUUCUCUCACAACAGAUUAAACCAAUCUGAUCUCAGAGUGAGUUGAUACCAUGACUUUGCAUCAUUCGUGAUCAAAGGAGCAUCAUUACUAACUAAUACAUGCUCGAUCAAUAGGCAUGAUAAUAAAUUUUUUAUCUACAAACACUAUUUUUCAAAAUAUUAUAUCUUUAGACUUAACUAAAUAUUUUUUAACUAUGUAGAUAUAGUUUGUUUGAUCUCUUUUAAAUAGUGGAGAUUACAAACAAACAGAUGCGAAUUAGUAGUGAUGUUGAGUUCAGAAGAUUGAAGUUAAGAAAAUUAAGGGUUUCUUGAUCUAGAGAAAUUUCAAAUGAGUGAAGCGUCCUCGAAAUCGGAAGACGAAAAUAAGGAAAGGGUAAGGGUGUAUUUUCGAUGUGAUUCUAUUAGGAGAUCUUUGAAGUAGGGGUGGGCAAAUCGGGUUUCGGUUUGGGUUGUUCAGAUUUCGGUUUCGGUUUCAACCAAUCGAGUUGGAGAAUUGAACCCAAUCAGGUUGAAAACGCCAACCCCAACUGAACCGAACUGAAUUUAGUUCAGGUUCAUAAUUCUGAUCGGACUGGGUUGGUAAUUCAGGUUAAAAUUUCGGUUCGGGUUAAUUCGGGUUAGAAUAAUUCAAUCUAAAAUUUUUGGUUAGUUCGGUUUAAAAUGGGUUGGAACAAUUUAAUCCAAAAAUUCUACCAACAACCACUUAAAAUCCAAAAAUCUCAAUUCCAAACAUCCUUAACAACAAAUAUCAACUACAAACCACCCUUAACAACAUUUCAACAAUAACAAUAACAAUAAUAACAACAAUAACAAUAACAAUAACAAUAAUAACAACAACAACAAUAAUAAUAAUAACAACAACUAUGAAUCAGCAAUUCAGCAUAUUGCCAUAUUCUAAAUUUAAAAAAAAAACACAAAUUAAUUAAUUAACAAUCUCCAAUUUAAUUUAUAAUAACAGUAAAAAUCCUCUCCAAUUUAAUUAAUAAUAGUCUCCAAUUGUUCAAUUACCAGUCAACAGCAACAAACCCUCUCCAAUUUGUCACGAACAGCCUCUAAUUGUUCAAUUAUUAGUCAACAACAAAAAAACUCACUCCAAAUAAUUGAACAAUUGUUAAUUAAUUAAUUAAAAAUAUUGAAUUUAAUUAAUAAAAACACCCAGGAGCAAGUUAGCAAUAUUCCCACUCCAAAAUCCAAAUAUCAGUAUAAACUAAAGGCAUAUUUGGUACAUUGUAUUAUAGAGUAUUAAAAUAAUGUUCACAUUAAAAUAAUAACAAACCUAUGUUUGGAACAAAAUUACAAAGUAUUAGGGUGGGAGGCUAAAAUGCGUGAGUUGACGCAUUAGCUUUGCUUUUUUUUUUUUUUUCAUUUUGCUUUUUUGACUUUUCUGUAUGCUUUAUUAUAUUAUAAUGCUAAAAUAAUAAAUAAAUAUAGUUUUUAAUUUAAUAUAAUAUUUUUAUUUUAUUUGUUUUUACAUUAUAAUUAUUAAUAUAAAUUAAUAAAUAAUUUAUCAUUCAAUAAUAGUAUUUUUUAUUUUUACAUUAUAAUUUAUUAAUAAAUUUAUAAUUUAUUAUAACUAAUAAAAAUAUUUAAAUUUGAAUAAUAUUAAUUUAAAAUUAAUAAUAAUAUAAAUAAUAACAUAAAAUAUUAAUGCAAUUUGAAUAUAUUAAAUCAAUAUAAAACAUUAAUAUAAUAUAAUAUUUAAUUUAAAUUAAUUAAAAAAUAUUACAGUACAAUAUAGCACCAAACAUUGUACAACAUUAUUAUAAUAUAGUGUUAAUACAAUACAGCAUAAUACAAUACACCAAUAUUAAAAUAAUGCAAUACAAUAUAAUAUAAUAUAGUGUGCCAAAUUCUAAAACUAUAUUUGAUUGAUGUAUUAAAGCUCUUCAUUACAUUAAAUUUAUACAGGCCCAUGUUUGAUAGAUAAAAGGCUACAACAACACUAUAUUGUUGGGCCAAGAUAAUGAGGCAACUGCUGCUACCUUUUUUUUUUUUUGUCCUUUAACAUUUUUCACUUUUCACGUGCUUUUGCCUUUUGCUUUGACUUUCCUUUGUUUUAACUUUUGUUUUUGUUUAUUAAUAAAAUAAUAAUAAAUAAAUAUAAUUUUUUUAAUUUAAUAAAAUAUUUUUUACAUUAUAAUUAUUAAUAAAUUUAUAAUUUAUUAUAACUAAUAAUAAAUAUUUAAAUAUGAAUAAAUUUCAAUAAAUAAUAUUUAAAAUUAAUAAUAGUAUAAAUAAUAAUAUAAAAUAUUAAUAAAAUUUAAAUAUAUUAAUAUAAUCUUUUAAUUUAAAUUAAUCACAAAAAAAAUUAAUACAGUAUAAUAUAAUAUCCAACAUUGUAUAGUAUUAUUAUAAUACAGUGUUAAUGCAAUACAUCAUAAUACAAUACACCAACAUUAAAAUAAUGUAAUACAACAUAAUACAAUACAAUAUGCCAAACGCACCCUAAGUGUCAAACCUUGAUCGGUGGGAAGCUACAGCGUCGGCAAAGCGUGACCGUGUGGGACUGAGUGAGACCGUCGAUCGAGGGUGUGAGAAGGGAGAAGAGGGAGCAAGGAGGUGUAACGUGGUGUGUGUGAGUUUAUAUAUAUAUAUAAUUUUUAAAAGCUAAAACUUAAAAAAAAAAAUUUAACCCAAUCCAAACGCCCACCUCAGAUUACUUCCGUGUUAAGAGCUGGAUCCCACACUCUUGAGCCUUUUUCGUCCCAGCAAUUAUAAAAAUAAGGGUCCGCCUAUGUUGCCACUGUUGUACCUAGGGAUGGCAAUUUUCGGGUCCGAGUCCGGGUUUGGCUGUUCCGGAUUCGGACCCAGACACAAAAUUCUCAUAACUGGACCCGCAUUAAACCCGGAUUUUUUUAAUCCGGGUCCGGUCCGGGUUCAACCCGAAAAAAUCCGGGUUUACGGAUUCCGGGUUUUGAACCCAGAUUGCUUUAUUAUUUUUUUUUUUUGAGAGAUCAUAUGGCUUAAUUUAACAGGGCACAAGGGAUGGUGGUUUAAUGUUUUAAUGUUUUCCCCAACAACACAUUACAUAAUUCUUCCUAGAAUUGGUUCAACAAAAUUUGAUGGAUAAAAGGCAAAAAAAGAACAUAUAACACAUCCAAAACCACCAGACUACUAGAACCAAAUUGUUUAACUUUGGUUCAUCAAAAUUUGCUGGACACAGGGCAAAAAAACAGAACAUAUAACACAUCCAGGUUCUAAAACAAAUACAACACAAAUACACAAUAUAAAAUCUAAAAUUCAAAGUUUUAAAGUAAUAAACAUCCACAAAUACAAAUCCAUAACAUAAUUCUACAACUUAAAACUCAAAUUUUCAGCCACUAGUGCUAAAGACUAAACUCUGAAUCAUCCAUUUCAUUAGACUGUUGCUCACUCAUCCAACUUUCAUUAAUCAAAUGCUCUGCAGAAAGUAUUGCUUCCUCUGGAAUUCCAUCUACAAAAAAUGUGUAAAUCAUAAACAUAAUGAACAAGACAACCAAUUAGUGAUAAAUUAUUAAUAAGAACAAUACAACAAAUAAUUUGAUUCUAAUAAAUAAAAUUUUCAUACCUUUUAAGUUUUGUUCAAGCCAAAACUAAUUUUGAGUGCACACCAAUGCCUCUACUGUGGAUGGGUGAAGUCUACUGCGAUGAGGGCUCAAAUGUCUACCUCCAGUGCUAAAAGCGGACUCCGAAGCAACUGUUGAUACAGGAAUGGCCAAAAAGUCCCUUGCAAUCUUUGCAAGUAUAGGAUAUUUGCCUUGAUUAUUCUUCCACCAUGAUAAAAUGUCAAAUUGACUAGUUGAAGGCAAAGUACUCUCCUCAAGAUAAAACUCUAAUUCUGAUUUGGAAUGAGUAUUUUGUGUGUUUUCAUUUCUAAAUAAUGCCCACUCAUCAGCCAUUUCAUCCAAAUCUAAAUCUAACAUAUUAGAGUCCCCUCCUGCAGCAGCUUGAGAAUUGGCACCAUUAACCCCCCACUUGAAUUUGAUAGAUGAUUUACUUCAUACUCAUGUACUAAAUCAACAAAUAGCUUACGCACUCUUUCAACUUCGGAUUCAGCUCUUUCCCCAUAUAUUUUAGGAAAUAAAAAGUUAAUCAGUAACAUUUUACGCCUAAGAUCUAACAUAGUCCCCACUGCAAGAACUCCAUGAAUAACAUCCCAAUACUUUUCAUACUUUGCAAUCAUCCUAGUAGCCAUAUUUUUUAUCCCCUCAAUUGGUGAUUGCAACCAUGCAUUCAUUGACAAUCUAAUUUCACAAAUCUUGGCAAAAAAUAAAUUAGAUGUCAGAUAUCGUGUCCCCGAAAAAAGUUCUGUCAACUUAUAAAAGCUUUUUAGAUACUCACACAUAAGCUUUGACAAAUUCCACUCUGACUCACUAGGUAAAGAUGUAUAAUUUCUCUCACGUUCCUUUAAACGAUCAAAUACAUCUUUAUACAGCAAUGCAGUACUAAGCAUCAAGUAAGUAGAGUUCCAUCUAGUUUUACAAUCAAGUACUAAGUUUUUGGUUUCCUUAAUACCUAAUUGUUUUUUUGCAUUCUCAAAAUUUUCAACUCUAGCUGGUGUUGCUGUCCAAUAAUGAACACUAUCUCUAAUUUUCUCAACUCCCUUUUGUAUCACUGAAAAACCAUCUCUAACUAUCAAGUUCAAUAUAUGAACACAACAACGCAUGUGAAAGAAUUUGCCACCCAUAAUCAUUGAACUAGUAGAAAAUUUCCCCAACAACAAGGCAAUCACAGAAUCAUUUGCAGCACAAUUAUCAGCAGUUACAGAGGACAAUUUUCUAUCUAUAUUCCAAUCUAUCAAACAAUCAUAUAACUCAUUACACAUUACCUCAGCACUAUGUGGAGCUGGCACAUAUAUAAACCUAACAAUGUGAAAAAAUAGUUAAAAUAUUAGACAGGACAUUAAUUUAUGCUUAAACCAAAAAAAAGGUUUCAAGAAUAUUACCUCAUAAUACGACUUCGCAACACCCAUGAGCUAUCAAUGUAAUGUGCCGUAAUAACCAUGUAUCCUUUUUUUUUUUGUUACUAGCAGUCCACAUAUCAGUAGUAAUUGCGAUUAUACUCUCACAAGCUUCCAAAAUACCCAUUGUCUUUUUCUUUUCAACAUCAUAAAUUCUCAAAAUUUCAGCUUUGAUGGUGUUUAUACUAAUAGUCUCAAUAGAAGGUUGGAGUAGCUUCAACAAGUCAUAAAACCCAACAUACUCAACAAAUGCCAAGGGGAGCUCAUGUAGUACAAUCAUUCUAGCUACAAAAAGCUUUACUGUAGUCAUAUCCCAUUUUGAUUCGGAACUAAAAUUACUAAGUGAAGUGCUUCCAUCAACUUUAGAAGAAAAAGAUAGGUGCAUUUGUUGUACAUUCUUAAAUGACCUUCUAGGACAGCGUUUAGCAUGGUUUAUUAAGUGAUUAGUACCCCUCGAAUAAUGUCCUUGCAUAACUAACCCACAGUAAUUGCAAAUUGCCUGAACUUCCUCACCCAACUUAACUUUUUUGAAAUGAUUCCAAGCAUCAGAGACUAUUCUACCACCACCAUCUCAUUUUUGUGAAGUGACAUGAUUAGUAUUACCCCUACGGCCACGGCCACUCCCCUGAACUGCUGCUGUUGAAUUUGGUUAUAAUUCAAUAGCUGUAUCAUUAUUAUUUUCUGAUUCUGUCCUAACUCUCACACAAACACUUUCAUCACUUUUUUCAGAGGCAUCCAAGUCGAUUCUUUGUUCAUUUUCCAUAUCAAUUUUUCACUUUACAAAAAUUAUGUCAAGAUAUAAUUAAUUCCAACAACUUCUUCCAAUUUAUAUGCUAUGUUUAACCGUAAAAGCUAUAAAUAAUAUUUUAGAGAUACCAUUUCUAUUCUUUAACAGCAACAAUAAAAAAUAAUUCAAAAAAUAAACUAUAAAUAAUAAAAUUGAAGCAUAACAAAGUAUAGAUUCUAAAAAUCACAGAGUUUAGCUAUUAAAGUCACAAAGUAUAGAUAUUAAAAUUACAAACAAAGCAAAACAACACAUAGAGCACAGAACACGGUCUAAUUAAAUUGUGAAGACAGUCACAGUGAGUAUCCUAACCGAAUUUCGUUAAUCUAUAUGAAGAGAACAGUUAAUGCCACAAGAUGACUUCUUCUAUCGCUGUUUGGGCCAGCCAAGAACCCACAACCAGUUAAAGCCUUAAGCUGUGCUAGACUGCUAGGUGGCUAAGCAAAAGAACUAGGAUAAAAUAAGGGUCUGCCUAGCGCAAGUCAGCGGUAGAAAUGUUAUUUAUGCAAAUUUCUUAAAUUUGACGUUAUAUCUCCUAAACAAUUCUUAGACCGGGAGUGAAGAUAUUUGCACAUAUUUGCAGAUAUCCUAAAAAUUUCUUACUGCAUUGGCAAAUUAUUCUAAAUUUCUAAUCGAGGAAAAAGAUCAGGAGUGUACAAUACUAACUGGAAAGAGUCAUUAAACUUCAAGCAACUCAAUAUACACAAGUAGUAAAAGCACAGGACAAGGUCGAACCCGAUUUCAGUGAGAGAAAGCAAAAGCAAGCCAAACAAAGUAUUAAUGCUAGUCAGGCUCAGAACUACCAUUCAUGCAGCUAGCCAUAGGCAGCAGCCCUUUGGCUAGUUAUACUUCAAAUUCAAUUCUAAGCUUACUCACUAACCAACUCUUAAUGCACAAAACCAACAAUACGCUUUAGCAGAAAAAAUGGAAACUGUUCUGUUUUAGACAAUAGUUUCUCCUUGUGCUAGAAAAACAAAGAACAAAAAAAGGCAAAUAAUUCAGAAAAACAAAAAGUUUAUAAUUAGCCAAGUGCUCUCAUAUGUCAUAUACAAAGAAAACCAUGUCUGAGGGAAAAUCAUGAAAUACUAGUUAUACAACCCAAGAGGGGGGUGAAUUAGAAUUCUAAAAAAUUAUUCAAUUUUUAAUUUAAAGCUCAAUGUAGAUAUGAAACAAAUUCAAAGCAAUAACAAAUAAGUUAACCACAAUAAAAAGGAUAAAGGAAGAGAGAUUCAAACACUGAGAUUUUUACGUGGUUCAGCCAACCUUGCCUACGUCCACGCCUCCAAGCUUUCCGAGCUUGAGGAUUCCACUAAGCAAGCCUCCAAGGUUUCAAAUGCUUACACUUGACUUCGAAGGUGUCAAUGACCUUUACAACAAGAGAUUAUCCCAAUCUCUUAACCCAAAUGUAUCCCAACACUUACAAUCACUCAAAGAUAAAAUAUUAUAAACUUGUUUUGCCUCUCACAAUAUUUAAGAUUACAAAAUAAUACCCAAUAUGUGAAUAGAUGAAGCAAGAAUGUAUUUAAAGCUUAAUGAAGAUUUUAUUCUCAAGUAUAAGCUCAGUAGUAGUGUUGUGAUCAAUCCUUGUUUAAGUUUGAAUGAGCUCAUUUAUAGCUGCAGCUGAAAACUAGCCGUUAUUGACUUCCUGCACACUGUCGGAUCGCCAUUAGCUAGAUGUCGGAUCGCCGUUUGACUGGUCAAUAUGACCGUUGAGCUGAUUUUUCAAAUUAUCGGAUCGCCGUUAUCUAGAUGUCGGAUCACCGUUUAGGUCUAGAGGCUAACCUUCAGUUCUGUUUGAUCUCAGCGAGCCGUUUAUUAAACUUGUCGGAUCACUGUUUAGGUCCAGAGACUAAUCUUUAUUUCUGUUUGAUAUCGGCGAGCCGUUUAUUAAACUUGUCGAAUCGCCGUUUUCCACAAAAACUGCUGCAGUGAACUAUUUUGCAAGACAACUGUUUUGUUUCUAAAUCUUUAUAAAAAUACUUUAUGAAUCAAUCUUAAUCAUGUUUGUUGAGCUUUUAAAAGAUUAAUCAAUCUUAAUCAUGUUUGUUAUCAUCAAAAUCAAUAGGGAAUUAUUUAUGUUAACAAUCUCCCCCUUUUUUAUGAUGACAAACUUUUCAAGAAAAUACUUGUGUAAUUUUGCUCCCCCUAAGUGAGAUUUUGAAAGACUUGUUAACUUCCCUUAAAUAAGUGUUCAUUUAAUUUUAAUCUCAAACAAAAUUUUAAACAAGACAGACAGAUUGAUUGGAUAAAUAAUUUAUGCCAAUACCAAUUACCAAUUACCAAUUAUCUCCCCUUUCAUCAUAAAAAAAAAAUAAGCUUGAGGAAUGACUUAUGUUUGGAAAAAUUUUGGCAGAAUCUCCCCUGAAAUAUGAGCAUAUCCUCAACAAUACAUAGAGUUAAAAAGAAAAACACUUCUAUAUAAAUAUGCCACCAUAUCAACCAACCUCCAUACCAACAAUUAAACACUUCCAUAAUUAGUAAGACAAACAAUAUAGUACCAAAACCAACUCAACCAGAAAUCAGGUGCACAUGUCCAAUAAAAAAUGUCAUAAAAACAUCAUAAGCAUAAGCAAAAGACAAAUGACAUCAUAAGCAGAAACAAAAGACAUGCAAUGAGAAAUGUCUGUGCGAAGAUCAGAGGAGCAUAAAAACUAAGAUGGGGGCUGUGAAGAGGAGCUGCCGGGGUCAUAACCAAAGUAGCCGAGAAUACGACGCUGGCCCGCAAGUAACUCCAUCUGCUGAUCUGAAAUUUGUUCCCGAAAGGUUGCAAAAUCCGAUUGAAGUUGCUGCUGCUGCUGGGACAGAGCAUCCACUCUGUCGAGAAGCUAUUGAAAGCGAUCCUCAGGAACAGCCGAUGCUGUAGGAGGGACGGCAGUCUUGGCAGGCUCGUCAUCCUGAGAUGAAGCUGCUGCUGGUGCAGUAGGUGCUACUGGUGCUGCUGCUCUGCGAGGGACACGCGGUCUAGCCCCAAGGCGAAAAUCAGGUAACUCAUCCUCGGAGUAGACGUCAUUUAACAUACGAUCAUCCUCUGGUGCAAGCAGUGUGUCUUCGUUCUUAGAGGAUAUGGUCUUUUCUAAUUUCCCACGCUUCUUAAAGAAUCCGAUUGAAGAAAUAAUUUCUCGUCCGAGCUUACGUGUCUCGAGAUAAACAGGCUCGACGAUAGGAACUCGAAAGUGUUUCAAGAUCCUAGUAAUGAUGCUACCAUAAGGAAGGGAUCGGUUGGAGACUUUAGGAGUGGACAACAUAUGACACAGGAUAGUGUAUGAUAAACUCACAUGCCGUCUACGGAUGAGGGAAUCUAAUAGACCAAUAUCAAGUCUAGUUACCUCAUCAGUGUGACCCUGUCUAGGAGUGACCAUGUGUUGGAGAAUGAUAUGAAGUAUUCGAACCUGAAAAAGGAGAAGUUGAGACCUAAAGAACAAAGAACAGAUGUCAUCGAAAAGAUCCCGACAACGACAAAUGUUCCGUACACCAUCCACAUGAUGGAAUUCACUAAAUGAGAUUUCUUUCCUAGCGGUGUACAGAUCUAACCCUCCAUAAGAGAUUCCUAGAAUACUACACAAUUCGGAUUCAUUAAAGGCAAUGCGAAUUCCUCCUACAGAUGUAUAAAGCUCGACACGACGAGUAGAAGAGAAUUCUAUGUUUGAAUAAAAGACACGGACUAGAUUUUCAUAAAUCGGUUCUUCGAUACUUAAUGCUUGCUUCUAAUGACUAAGCAUUUGAGUAAUGGAAUGACCACAAAUAGUAAUAUCCGAAAACUCUGAAAUGUUAAGAGAAAAAGAGGGAGUUACGGGUUUACCCAUGAAUUUUUCACGAAAUUGUUGAGCAGAGGUGUCAUCGGAAAAAUGGAGACUCUCGAAGUCUUGAGGGGGAGACCUGGGGGGACUAGAACGUCGCGGAGCAGUGUGCUUGGUUCGAGCACGCCUUUGUGGUCGUUCCGCCAUGGAUGAGUUGGGAGGAAAAUAGAUUGGUGGAAAUGAAGUUUGAGAGAUGAGACAGUGAUUGUGGGUGGAAAUGUAGUUGGAAAAGGAAGAAAUUUGGGUCAAAUUGAACAAAUGAGGUUCGGCUGGUUCUAAGGUUUCAAGAUGAGAUUUUUCAAAUUUUGAAGAAAAAGAAGGAUUUUAAUCGGUUAAAAAGUGGUAGAGAUGAUAAAGAUGGUUUGUAAUGCUGCAAUUUGGUGAAAAAUGACAAGAAAAAUGAUGGAUUUGAGAGGGGAGAACGGGUGCAGUCGCGGGUUGGAGUGAGAGAGAAAGAGAGAGAGAAAACGAAAUGAGGAGGAAGACGAAGGACUGUUCAAUUAAUGCGUCAUAACGGUGAGCCGUUAUAGAGAAAACGGCGAGCCGACAGAGUCCAGAGAGUUCUCUAAAAAUUUUCAUCAUACCGGCGAGCCGUUUAUAGACAUAACGGCAAGCCGAUAAGGUCCAGAGUGUCCCCUCAAAAUUUUGUAUCAGGACGGCGAACCGAUAGUUAGUUAUCGGCGAACCGAUAGCGUCCAGAAUACUUCCCAUUGUUUCUACCCCAAAACGGUUAGCCGUUUAUUGAAAUAACGGCAAUAUGUUUUCUAUAACUUAUGAUUUCGCACAUUUAUUUUGAUAUUUCGCUACUAUUAAUACAUUUCAAGAUCAUUUUAUUGAUCCAAAAUGAUUUAAGUGCCAGUUCAAUGCAUAAUUCGUGAACAUAUAUAUGUAUUGUAACAAUUAAUUCAUACAUUUUCAAAUAUACAUACACACCACAUGUAUAUUACGAUUGAGCAUUUCAUAGAUAGUAAAGUAUCAAGUCAUAAAUCAAUCAAUGAUAAUAGACUCAAUAGCAUGAAUAAAGAUGUUAAUGUGAAAAUUUCAUCAUCCCAAGUUCAUGUCGAAUUUUUGAAAAUUGUUCUUCGCAAAGAGGUUUUGUAAAAAUAUCGGCAAGUUGUUUUUCCGUAGAAAUAAACUCUAAUGCAAUAUCUCUCUUUUGAACAUGAUCUCUCAAGAAAUGAUGUCUUAUUUCUAUAUGCUUGGUUAGAGAGUGUUGAAUGUGAUUCUUUGAAAGAUUUAUAUCACUAGUAUUAUCACACUUAAUAUGAAUUUAUUCUAGGUUAAUACCAUAGUCUUUAAGUGUUUGUUUCAUCCAAAGAGCUUGUGCACAAUAGCUUCCUGCAGCUAUAUAUUCAGCCUCGGUAGUUGAGAGUGCAACAGAAUUUUGUUUCUUUCUAAACCAUGAAACAAGUGAGUGACCUAGGAUAUGGCAAGUUCCACUAGUGCUUUUUCUAUCAACUUUAUAACCAGCAAAGUCCGCAUCUAAAUAGCAUGUUAAAUCUAUAUGAGUUCCUCUAGGAUACCAAAAGCCAAUAUCUAUGGUUCCACUCAAAUAACGAAAUUUUUUUUUAACAGCAAGCAAAUGAGAUUCUUGGGACAUGAUUGAAAUCUUGCACACAAACAUACACUAAACAUGAUAUCGGGUCUACUUGUAGUCAAAUAAAGUAAAGAUCCGAUCAUACCUCGAUACAUUUUGAUAUCCACUUCUUUGUCCUUUUCAUCUUUGUCGAGCUUGGUUGUUGUACUCAUUGGUGUAUUUUUGGUCUUUGAGUCGUCAAUGCCGAAUCGUUUGAGUAGAUCUCUUACAUACUUGGCUUGAUUUAUGAAUAUUCCUUCCUCAUUUUGUUUUAUUUGCAGCCCAAUGAAGUACUUUAGCUCUCCCAUCAUACUCAUUUCAAAUUCAUUGCUCAUACGAGACGAAAACUCUUUGUACAACAAUUCAUUAGUAGAACAAAAAAUAAUAUCAUCAACAUAAAUUUGAACAACAAGUCUGUCUUUGUUCUUAUGUUUAACAAAGAGAGUGGUAUCCGCUUUACCCAUGGAAAAAUCAUUUUCUAACAGGAAAUUUUUAAGCCUAUCGUACCAUGCUCUAGGUGCUUGUUUUAAUCCAUACAAAGCUUUAAACAACUUAUACACAUGAUUUGGAAAUUUUUCAUUUUCAAAACCAGGGGGUUGUUUUACAUACACUUCUUCCAUAAUAUAACCAUUUAAGAAAGCACUUUUCACAUCCAUUUGAAAUCAAAUGAAAUCUUUAUGACAAGCAAAUGCCAACAACAUUCUAAUUGAUUCUAGUCUAGCUACGGGUGCAAAAGUUUCAUUAAAAUCAAUUCAUUCUUCUUGGUUGUAACCUUGAGCCACUAAUCUAGCUUUAUUUCUUACAACCACACCGGAUUCAUCCAUCUUAUUUCUAAAUACCAUUUAGUACCUAUGACAGAUUGAUGUUCCGGUUUAGGAACUAAUUCUCACACAUUAUUUCUUUCAAAUUGAUUUAACUCCUCUUGUAUUGCCAUAAUCCAAGAUUCAUCAUUUUCCGCAUCCGCAAAGGAUUUGGAUUCAAUUUGAGAGAUAAAUGCAUUAUGCUCACAAGUAUUCUUAAGAGAUGAUAUAGUUGUAACACCUCGUGAGAGAUCUCCUAAAAUUACAUCUUUAUGAUGAGAAGAGACAUACCUCCACUCCUUGGGGAGUGUUUGAGAAAUACCUUCUUGUUGUUCUAGCUCCGUAUUUGUUUGUUCUUCUUGUCUAUCCUCUUGAUUUUCUUGUGGUGCAUUCUCUUGAUUCUCUUUUGAUGAUUCUUUUUGUAACUCUCCAUCAGCAUCAUCAUUAGCAACUCCUUUCUCCGCAGAGGAGGGGUUAGAUUCAUCAAACGUAACAUGUAUGGAUUCUUCCACAACUAAAGUUCUUUUAUUAUAAAUUCUAUAAACUUUGCUUGAGUUUGAAUACCCGAGAAAGAUGCCAACAUCAGAUUUUGGAUCAAAUUUACUAAGAUUAUCUUUUGUGUUUAAAAUAAAACAUUUGCAUCCAAAAACUUUGAAAUAACCAAUGUUGGGUUUUCUAUCUUUCCAAAGCUCAUAGGGAGUUUUAUUGAGAUGAGGUCUAAUCAACACCUGAUUUAAAACAUAGCAAGCGGUGUUGACGGCUUCGGCUAAAAAAUAUUUAGGUAAUGCAUUUUCAUUUAACAUGGUCCUAUCCAUUUCUUGAAUAGACCGAUUCUUUCUCUCAACAACUUCAUUUUGUUGUGGAGUCCUAGGUGAUGAAAAUUGAUGCUCAAUGCCAAGAUUAUUGCAAAAAUUCUCAAAUGUAUAAUUUUCAAAUUCUCCUCCAUGAUCACUCCUAAUUCAUAUAAUACCAUACCCUUUUUUCAUUUUGUAAUUUCUUAUAAAGUACUUUAAAAGCAUCAAGAGCAUCAUCCUUAUUGGAUAAGAAUAGUACCCAUGUAUAUCUAGAAUAAUCAUCCACUAUCACAAAUGCAUAAUAUUUGCCAUUUAGACUAGCAUAUCUAGAUGGCCCAAAUAGAUCUAUGUGAAGGAGUUCAAGUGGUUUUGAAGUAGAAAUAUGGUUUUUAUUUUUGAAAGAAGUUUUGAUUUGUUUUCCAAAUUGACAAGCUUCACAAAUCUUAUCCUUUUGAAAAAUAAUUUUCGGAAGACCUUUAACUAAAUCAUUUUUCGAAAUUUUUGAAAUCAAAUCCAUACUUGCAUGUCCUAACCUUCUAUGCCAUAGCCAACUAUCAUCAUGUAAUGCGGAAAAACAUUUAUCAAUAGUAGAUGCACAUUCUAUGUCAACGAUAUAAACAUUACCACAUCUAUUACCAAUAAAAAAAAUUUUGCCAUCACAUGAGUUCUCAAUAACACAACUAAAUUUAUCAAAGAUAAUUUUAUAACCUUUGUCACAUAAUUGACUAAUGCUAAUUAAGUUGUGUUUCAAGUUCUCAACCAAACAUACAUUCUCAAUUAGAGUUGAAGAGACUUUACCAACAUUUCCAAUUCCAAGAAUUUUUCAUUUUGAGUUGUCUCCAAAUGAUACGUCUCCACCAUCUUCAAUUUUGGUGAAGCUUGAGAACCAUGCAUAGUUUCCGGUCAUGUGCCUUGAACAACCGCUGUCCAAAUACCAUUUAUUUUUCUUCUUCUUUAAGCCCUACAAAGAAAAUCUUAAGUUUUAGGUACCCAAAACUUUUUGGGUCCUUGAGAGUUAGCAACGGUUCCUUUUGGAACCCAAAUACAUUUGACACCAUAAUAUGCAUUCCUUUUCACGGGAUAUCUAUAUUUCAUGUGACCAUUUUGAUUACAAUAAUGACAGACAAUCUUAUGAUCACUUAUGGAGGUAGCUUUAACAAAAUAAUUCUUAUAAUACUUUUGCUUCAAGUUAGGCUUAUAUCCAAGUCCUCCUUUAUCAAAAACACAUUUUUGUGAGUUAAGCAUAUUAUCCAACAUCUUUUGCCCAUUUGUAAAUUUCAAAACAAUUUUAUUCAACUCAUUGCUCUUUUUCUUGAGCAUUUCGUUUUCAUUUUUCAAAUCAUCUAUGUGUGAUUCUAAAUGCUCAUGUAAGAUACUAGGUUUCUCAUUUGAUAAUACAAUUUCAUUAUGCAAUGUUUUGUUCUCUACUUCUAGGCAUGCAAUUUUUGCAUUUAAAGAUUCAUUUUCAUUUUUAACUUUUGCCAUUUCCUUUUUAAGACAUACAUUCUUUUUACCAAUCUUCAUCAACUCAUUAUGCAAUUCUUUAAAAGCAUCAUACAAUUCAUCAUAGGUGGGAUCACUUACCUCAUUGAGAUUAUCAUCCUCUCCUAUUGCCAUAAGCGCUAGGUUUGAUACUUCUUGCAAUCCUUCGUCAUCACUUGAAUCUUCCUCGCUGUCAUCAUACGUUGCAACCAUGGCUUUCUUCUUGAGUUUGUUGAUAAGUGGGCACUCCGAUCUUAUAUGGCCAGACUUCUUGCACUCAUAGCAUGUGAUCAUCUCUUUCUUCUCCCUUUGGUUCUUGAAGUUUCUGAAUUUUCUUCGCUCUCCAGUUUUCUUAAAAAACUUUCUGAAUCUCCUUGCUAGCAUGACUAACUCUUCAUCAUCCGGUUCACUACCUCCAUCACUCUCAUAUUUUGAAGUUUUGAGAGCAAUGCUUUUCUUCUUCUCCUCAUCACAUUUUUCUGCUGCCAAGUCUUCUUCAUAUGAAAUAAGAGAACCAAUUAAAUCAUCAAGAGGUAAAGUAUUUAAAUUUUUGGCCUCUUCAAUGGCAGUUCUUUUAGGUCUCCAUUCUUUUGGAAGUGACCUAAUGAUUUUCUUAACUUUCUCAUUAUUUUAGAAGGUCUUCCCUGAGGCACCUAGAGUGUUCACUAUGUCCGUGAAUCUAGUAUACAUAUAAUACACAUUUUCAUUUUGUUCCAUUUGGAACAACUCAUAUUGACGAGUGUAUCUACUAAUUUUAGACUCUUUAACUUGAUUUGUCCCUUCAUAAACAACUUCAAGUUUAUUCCAUAUUUCUUGUGCACUUUCACAACUAGAUACUCUAUGGAAUUCUUUCUUAUCAAGGGCACAAAAUAAAGCAUUCAAAGCCUUGGAGUUUAGAGACAUUUUUCUCUUUUCUAACUCACUCCAUUGACUUGAUGGUUUAUGAAUAUCAUCUCCUACUUCAUCUUUAAACAUAGGCAUGAAUGGACCAUCAUAAACAACUUCCUAAAAUUCAUAAUCUAAGGCUUGCAAAUAGAUUCUCAUCCUAGUUUUCCAAUAAGCAUAGUCAUUACCAUCAAAGAACGGUGGUCUAGUUGUAGAUUGCCCUUCUCUAAAGGUUGAGUCAUUUAGGGUUGCCAUGGAUCUUUUGCUCUAGACGAUUAAGUCCUAACAAGAGAACAAGGCUCUGAUACCAAAUGAAAUACUAGUUAUGCAACCCAAGAGGGGGGUGAAUUGGAAUUCUAAAAAAUUAUUCAAUUUUUAAUUUAAAGCUUAAUGUAGAUAUGAAACAAAUUCAAAGCAAUAACAAAUAAGUUAACCACAAUAAAAAGGAUAAAGGAAGAGAGAUUCAAACACUGAGAUUUUUACGCGGUUCGGCCAACCUUGCCUACGUCCACGCCUCCAAGCUUUCCGAGCUUGAGGAUUCCACUAAGCAAGCCUCCAAGGCUUCAAAUGCUUACACUUGACUUCGAAGGUGUCAAUGACCUUUACAACAAGAGAUUAUCCCAAUCUCUUAACCCAAGUGUAUCCCAACACUUACAAUCACUCAAAGAUAAAAGAUUAAAAACUUGUUUUGCCUCUCACAAUAUUUAAGAUGACAAAAUAAUACCCAAUAUGUGAAUAGAUGAAGUAAGAAUGUAUUUAAAGCUUAAUGAAGAUUGUAUUAUCAAGUAUAAGCUCAGUAGUCGUGUUGUGAUUAAUCCUUGUUUAAGUUUGAAUGAGCUCAUUUAUAGCUGCAGCUGAAAACUAGCCAUUAUUGACUUUCUGCACACUGUCGGAUCGCCGUUAGCUAGAUGUCAGAUCGUCGUUUGACUGGUUAAUAUGACCGUUGGGCUAAUUUUUCAAAUUGUCGGAUUACCGUUAUCUAGAUGUCGGAUCACCGUUUAGGUCCAGAGGCUAACCUUCAGUUCUGUUUGAUCUCGGCGAGCCGUUUAUUAAACUUGUCGGAUCACCGUUUAGGUCCAGAGGCUAACCUUUAAUUCUGAUUGAUCUCGGCGAGCCGUUUAUCAAAAUUUUUGGUUCGCCGUUUAGGUCCAGAGACUAAUCUUUAUUUCUGUUUGGUAUCGGUGAGCCGUUUAUUAAACUUGUCGGAUCGCCGUUUUCCACAAAAACUGCUGCAUUGAACUAUUUUGCAAGACAAUUGUUUUGUAUGUAAAUCUUUAUAAAAAUACUUUAUGAAACUUGUCAAAAUAGAUGAAAAUUAUGUUGAGCUUUUAAAAGAUUAAUCAAUCUUAAUCAUGUUUGUUAUCAUCAAAAUCAAUAAGGAAUUAUUUAUGUUAACAAAUCACAUUGUGCCAGAAGCAAUACAAGCUCAAAGCAUAACAGCACGAAAAUUGCAAAGAGGGAAAAUCAAAGUGUAAUAGAGCAUAAAUUGUAAAGAGAAAAGCCGAGACUCACAAAUAUUCACAGUGGCAGCUGAAGUAUAUGCUGAUGAACACAGAACACAGCCGCGACGGAGUGAGAGAUCAGACGAGUGAUGCUGAUGAGUGAUGAAACGAACAAAGCCUCACCGUGAAGGUGAUGACAAGCCACGCCGCAAAGGAUCUGAUCUGAUCUGAAGAAGAGAUUACAUGAGAGUUGCAGAGAGAGUGAGAGAGAUUAAGUGACGAUGGAGGACUGAGGAAUGAGUCACGGCUCACGGGUGAGAGAGAUUGAGAGAGGAACAAAUUACGGAUGAGACUUGAGAGAUUGAGAGGAGAAAUUACAGAUUUACAGUAAUUGUUUUUAAGUUAAAAGAGAAAUUUCGAGAGAGGAUCAGAGGAACGAGAGAGAUCUAUGGUUCACUUUUGUUUUUUUUUUAAUUUUUCUAUUUAUAUUUACGGAUUUACGGAUCAAAAUUAAUAUUAAAAUAAAUAAUAUUCGAGUCUGGGUUCCGAAUUUGGGGGUUCACCUGAAGCUAGAUCCGGACCCGAAAAAUGCGGGUUGUCAAAAACUGAUCCGGAUUCGGAUAAAAACUAUUUCGGUGCGGGUCGAACCUGGACCAGAAUUUUUGGAUUCAAUCCGAGUCCGAUCCGGGUUCGGGUUUGGUUGCCAUCCCUAGUUGUACCUUACCACAACCCUUGUCUUUUAUCAAAUAGUUAAUGUAAAAUUUCAUUGAACCCUUUAUACUUUAUUUUAUUUAUAAUUAUUUUGUAAGUAUUGAAAAGAAAAAAUUAUCCUCAAAUUUUAUCUUCAAUAUAUUUUUUUCCCGUUUCUUCUUCUGCUCUCUCACUUUCUCUCUGUAAUGGGUUUAAUGAUGGCUUCAAUAUUGGUCAAGAUUGCUGACCGAUUUGUGGAUAAUUAGUUGUAGGUCAUUGAUUGUUUGUGUGAUGGUUCUCGUGGUGGAAAAUAUAGGCAUCAAAACAAAAUCCUCAAUUUGAUCUGAGAAGCCGAAGUGAGAGUGAGAGAAAGCGAAAUGGCGAUGGCAAGGUGAGCUCAAGCCUUGCUUAUCCAGAGUGAUUAUGUGUUGCAGCUUCAAAUUGUGGCUUCGAUGGAUCUCCGAUUUCCUCUGUCUGUCAUGGUGGGGUUGUGGUGCAGCUGACGUGAUGUUGUUUCGAGAGAGGAAAGAUAAGGCUGACAUGGGUCAAAGUUGUCGGUCGUGGUGCGACUGUGCUAUCUUGCCGACGUGGAGCAGUGUGGUGGCAACCGGUAACAGGUAGCUUCACAAUAUGGGUAUUUGGGUUGAGAGCAGACUGGAGAGAUGAAGCCAUAAUGGUUUCUUUUGAAUUUGAUUUUGGAUUGAUUUUGUUUGGAUGUCACGUGUGUGGGUAUUUGGGUUAUUUUCAUUUAGUGUUGGUUUUUUUUUAAUUAUAAGUUAUGAAUAGAUCGAUUUUGUAAUUAACCACUAGAAUCCCUACUCGUAUUGUUGAAAAUUUUGUUGAUGAUGAGUUUUUUUUUUUAAACCAACAAAUACUUCAAUUCCAUUCAAGAUGGAAACUCUACUCAGUAUCAGUAACUGGGCACAAAAUGGAAAAUCUCAAAAAAAAGGGAUAAGAUUUUAAUAUUCCACAAGCUAAAACAAAGGUACCAAAAUCAGUUGCAUAUCUUCUUUCAAAUCAUUAAUGACCCAAUUCCCAGGUAAUUCAGAGGUAGAAUAUCUACUUGCUGCGCUUGGCUGCACGCUUCCCUUGGCCUUUCUCGGGAGGUCCCUUUCCACAACGUUUCAACAUUUCAAGCUUGGGUAAGCGCUCUUGUUCUUGGCGGGCCAUGACGAGAACUUACCAUCAAUGAGCUUCUUCCACAAAAUCUUGUUGGGUGAUCUCUGGCCAGUGGGAUUAAGUACAUACCCAAAUAUCUUAGCCCUCACCUCAGUUAGCCUUGUGGUCACUAUUGUGGCCAAAAUGUUCUUAAGCCUCUCUCAUGUAGCCAUCAUCACUCGCAACUCUACCUGAUUAGCUCUGUUGAUAAUGAGUUAACUUUGUCAAUGAUCAGUGAUGAGAGAUGAGUUAAUCUUAAUUUCUACAAAAUUUUUUAAUGCUAAUCUAAGGAUAUUUUUGUCUUUUCAUUAAUAUUAAUGUGUUAUGAUUAUUAAUGUAGCGUGGUUGAAAAUAAAAACUCAUUUAAUACUUAUAAAUAAAUAAAUAAAUAAAGUGUAAGGUGAUAAAUUAAAUUUUGAUAAUGUAGGUAAGUAUAAAGUAUUAUAAUAUUUUAUGAUAAAUUAUAAAUAAAAUAGAGUGUAAGGGAUUCAAUGAAAUUUUACAUUAAUUAAUUCACAAAAGACAAAGACUGUGGUAAGGUACAACCGUGGCAACAUAGGCAGACCCUAAAAACAAAUCAUUAUUUUUUUUUUUGAAAGGAAACUUCCAUUAAAUCGAAGAGGAAAAUAGAUACAUCAAUUGUGAAGGGUAAGAACCCAUCCAAACAACAUUUUCACAUUUCUCUAAUGCUAACUUAGCUAGAAAGUGGGCAAUGACAUUACGAGAUCUAUGAGUAUAAUUAAUGCUAACUAGCUCAAAGUUCCUCAUUAAGUUUUGAAUCUCCGAAAUUAUCCAAAAGAUCUCAGACUUGCCGCCUUGCUUGUUGUUAACUAACUUGACUACGCUUUGAGCGUCUGAUUCAACAAUUAAAGCCUUUGCACUUGCAUUCCUAGCAAUCUGUAAUCCCCAUUCCAAGGCUUCUGCUUCAGCAAAGGAAACAUCUCCAUAAAAUUUCGAAAUCUUGAUUGCAGCUGCUAUGACAUUCCCCCGAUCAUCUCGGAUUAUAGCUCCCAGCCCUGCAAGAUGCUUUUCUGAGCUUGUAGCAGCAUCCACAUUGACUUUAACAGAUCCACUUUGGGGGGGAUUCCAAAUCUGCUGAGUCUGCACCUGCUGACUUUCCUUUCGAGCUUGCUCUGGUUUUUGAACUCUUUUGUAAGCCUCCAUUACUGCUUCAGCUUUAGCAACCAGAGUCUAGGGGUUCUCUCUUUUUCCUUUAAAAAGCAUCUCAUUUCUUGCAUUCCACACCAUCCAACAAAUCAUAACCAUUAGUUCUAAAUCAGCUUUGUUUCUUCUGCUGUACAUUUCAUGCAGCAAACUCAAAAAAUCCUGCCCAGCAGUUUGCAUGAUGUCAUUCUCUAAUAGAGUGAGUCUCCAUAUUUUCCUUGCAGCUUUACACUCUACCAAUGCAUGAAACACAUUCUCCACUCCGAGCUUGCAUACUUGGCAGGUAGGCUCUUGGAUAACUUUUCUCUUCCAUAAAUUUUCAGCAGAUGAGAGAAUAUUCUUGGCUGCCCUCCAAGCAAAAAUUCUGAUUUUCUCAGGUAAAGCAAGAGUCCAUAUGAUAUUCCAUUGAUUUUUUCCUGACAUUGAACUUGAAGGCAUGGCUGGAAGUUUAAGACUAAGGGCUGUUUGAUUGCCACUCUUGACCGAGUAGAGACCUUUCUUGUCAUAAUGACAGGUGAUUGUAUCUUCUUUUGGGCUUCAAGGCAAAGGGAUUUCAAUAAUUUUAUCAGCAUCCAUUCUAUUGAAAUGCCUGUAUAUCAGGCUCUCAUUCCACUGGUUUUCUUCAUUUAUCAGCUCAGCAACCAAUGUAUCUUCUGGCAAAGAUGGCCUAACUAUUGGCUUGAAGGUUGACAGCUUCAGGAUCCAGUUAUCUUUGUGAAUUUGGAUUUUUUGGCCAUCUCCAAUUCUCCACCUUGCACCAGAACUGAGAUUCUGUCUUCCUCAUAGGAUGCUUCUCCAUACAAAUGAUAGUGUGGACCCGAGCUUAGCCUUCAUGAAGUCUUUAUUUUGGAAAUACCUAGCUUGUAGAACCUUUGCCACUAAUGAAUCCGAGAAUUGUAAUAUCAUCCACCCUUGCUUAGCCACUAGAGCUUGGUUGAAACUUGAAAAGUCUCGGAAACCCAUGCCUCUUUUACAUUUGGCCUGACUCAGCUUCUCCCACUUCGACCAGUGGAUGCUUCUUUUGUCGCUCUUUGAUCCCCACUAAAAGUCAGCCACAGUUUUUUGGAUAUCAUUGCAAACACUCAUUGGGAUCUUGAAUACACUCAUGGCAUAGGCUGGAAUGGCUUGCGCUGCAGCUUUGAUUAAAACGUCUUUGCCCCCACAUGAGAAGAAUUUGUGCUGCCAGCUGGAGAUUUUGUUAAAGACUUUCAGUUUGAUGUCAUUAAAGAAGUUGCUCAUUUUUCUUCCUAUCAUAGCUGGUAAGUCUAGAUACUUCUCGUGCCUUGAGCCAAUAUUAAGCUGAAAAAUCUGUCCAAUUACAGUGGCUCGAUCAUGCUGGACAUUGCCACUCAGGAACAGAGAUGAUUUCUCAAAAUUAAAAAUUUGCCCGAAAGCUGCUGAGUAGCAAUCAAGUAUCUUUUUCAGGUUCCCACAAUCGGCCAUUGAAGCUCGGCUAAAUAUAAGGCUAUCAUCAACGAACAAGAGGUGGGAAAUGUUCAACUCCUUUCUAAAAGACAGCCCAUGGAUGAGUUUCUGUUGUUCGGCCUGCAGCAACAAAGAGGAAAAGACCUCUGCACAAGUAAUAAACAAGUAAGGGGACAGGGGGCACCCUUGCCGUAAACCUCUCUGGGGCUUUAUUAAUCCUCUGACCGAGCCAUUUAUAAUCAAAGAGAAAGAAACAUAGCUUAUACACUUCAUGACCAAGCAAAUCCAGUUUUGAGAAAACCUCAUACAUUUCAUAGUUUGCUCAAUAAAACUCCAUUCCAAUCUGUCGUAAGCCUUACUAACAUCAAGUUUCAAUGCCACUAACCCAUUUUUUCUCCCUUUGCAGUGCCUUAUUUUAUGUAAACAUUCAUAUCCUACAAUAACAUUGUCGGUUAUCAAUCUAUCAGGUAUAAAAGCACUUUGAAUUGGAGAGAUGAUUUGGUGCAGAAUUUGUUUGAAUCUGUUGGCAACUGACUUAGCCAUUAUCCUAUAGAUAACAUUGCAAAGGCUGAUAAGCCUAAAGUCUGUAACUUUUCUAGGUUUCCCCUUCUUAGGAAUCAUGGCUAUGUAAUUAUAAUUAAGGGGGGCUAGAGUACCUUGAUUGUUUAAGAUGUGAAGACAGGUAGUAAGAACUCCCUCUUUGACCUCAUUCCAGUGCUUUUGGUAAAAAGCUGUUGGUAGCCCAUCGGGCCCCGGUGCCUUGGUUGGGCACAUUUGAUUUAAGGCUUCAGUCACUUCCUCCGCUUUAAAAGGUUUCUCUAACGACUCAUUCAUGUCCUCGGAUACUCUCGGGGUGAUACCUUUUAGCGCUGCUUUCAUCUGGUUUUGACUUGGCUUGGUUGUUGUAAAUAGCUUUGUGAAAUAGUUGCAGAAUUCAGCCUCCACAUCUCUGGCUUUCUUUAACCAAUCCCCUGAGCUAUUUUCAAUCCCCCAAAUUCUGUUCUUUUUCUUUCUAUUCGACACUUUAUGAUGGAAGAACUUUGUGUUCUUGUCCCCUUCCUUGAGCCAAUCUGCUCUUGAGCGUUGCUUCUAGUAAAUCUCCUCAUCAAUGAUGAUAUUUAUAAUCUGAUUUUCCACCAUUUUAAUCUUUUCUCCAGAUUCGUACUGCACCCCUCUCUGCUUCCAUCCUUGAAGCUGCUUUUGUAACUGCUCUAGCUGUUUUUCCCUUCCUUUGAAUUCCCUCUUGCUCUAGUUUAGAAGUCUAGCCAUUGAUUCUUUAGCAAUCUUUCGAAACAAAUAAACUGGAUUGCCACUCUGCCAAUUGCUAUUCAAGCUCCAUUCCUCGUUAACUAUCUCCUUACAAGCCUCAUACGGACUCCACAUAUCCUCAUAAUGAAUUCGUGAGGAUUGUCUCCUACUCGCAGCCAUUUCCUCUCCCCUCUCUUGAACCAUCAUCAGCACUGGACAAUGGUCUGAGGUCCAUGUGUUCAGGUUGAUUACUGCAUCAUUGACAAAAAUAUCACACCAGGCUCUGUUGCAAACAAAACGGUCCAACCUUUCCUCUAUAAAUCUCUGUCCAAACCUCCCAUUACUCCAAGUAAAAGGGUAACCCUUAUACCCUACAUAUGCUAAUUCACAAUCUCUCAAAGCCUGCCUGAAGCUAUUAAUUAAGUUGACAUUUCUCUCAUUGCCUCCGCUCUUCUCAUGAGGAUGCAGAAUUUCAUUGAAGUCUUCGAAACAUAACCAAGGACUAGGAGACAAACCUACCAACCUUCUCAAAAGUGACCAUGUAUGUUGUUUCUGCCCCAUUUCCGGAUGCCCGUACACCCCUGUGCAUCACAUUUGCCUCCCAUUGGCCAUCUGAACUUCAGCAUCUAUGUGAUGCUUGCUGAACGAUUUAAUUUGUACACAAGUUUCUUCAUUCAAAGCAAAGAUAAACCCCCUCCCCUUCCACUACAGCUCACGGCAAAACAAUUAUCAAAUUUUAACUUUUUUCCAGUCACAUUCAUUUGCGUGGUUGACAGCUUGGUUUCACACAAAAAUACCAGUUGAUGACCAUGCAUAUGGAGGAUUUGUUUAAGUACUAGAAACGCUCGGGGAUUCCCCAAACCCCAAACGUUCCAUGAGAUGAUCUUCAUGGCUUUCGGCGGGGCUGGCUUCCAGCCUCCGCCGAUAUCUCUGCUAUGGUUGAAUCCAUGUCCACCAUAUUUUCCAACAUCAAUGGUUCCCAGCUCAAUUUAACUUUUGCCGCUGGAGAAUGGUGCCCCUGCUUCUUUGUUUCUGAUUUAAUUGGACUAGAGAGCUUUGCUUUCUUUUUCGGGCUUUGUCCCAUUGCCUCUCUACUUGUUCGUUUAUGAGCUCCCAGCCCCAUUUUGGAUUCUCUUCCAUUUGGCUCUCUAGCUCGUCUCUUCCAUUUUCUUUUUGUGGGCCUUGCUUGAGUAAUUUCCGGCCCAUUAUCUAUUUUAGCUUCCUCCAUUUCUUUCAAAUUUGUCUUGAACUUUUCCCUCUCUUUCUCCAUCCCAUCUCCUGCCAAUAUUCCCCCUUCUCUAGGAAUUAUUUCAUUGCUGAUAUUCCCACCUUGCUUUUUGCCGCCCAUUUGCUUUUCUUUCAUCGAUUCUACCACUCCUUUCAUUAAAUUCUGCUCACCUACUCCUUCCACCUCAUCAAUCUUGGUAGUCUCCAUGGUUUGACCCGUUUUUUCGCUUAUGGGUUCUGACCCACUUGUUCUAAUCGGGUUGUCCUGGCUUUGUUGUUGUUGUUGCCGGUGGAUUCUGUUAUGCUCUGAACUUUCUUAUUUUUCUUUUGAUCUACUCCCUUCAUAAUUCCAUCUCUCAUUGUUGCGAUUCUUCCUUGAACGACCUCCUACGAUAAUUGCUUUCAUCCACCCACCGUAUGGUAGUUGCUCUUUUUGCUGUCCCUGAAAUUUGGCACACUCUUUGUAUUGAUGCCCAAUGAUGCCACAACAAUAACAGAAAUCUAGUAGUCGCUCAUAGACCACUAGCAUUGGAAUGUCUGAUUCACCUUCUUGUUUAAGGAAGAGUAUUUUCUUCAACGGCAGUGUUAUAUUGAUUAAUACCCUUAUUCUCGCAAAUUCGCCAAGGCAUUCUCCAUUUUCAUCUGUCUCAAUCUCCUCCACUGCCCUAAUCAUUCCUCCCAAUUCUUGGAGCAAUUCUUUCUCCAUGCAUACAAUCGGGACGUUGCGAAUCUGUAUCCAAAAGGUUGUGUGGAUAAAGUAUUGCUUUGUCAGCUCCCCUAUUCCUUUUGGUUCAGUAAGAACAAUUAAUGCUCUAUCAAAAUGCCAAGGACCUCCUGUUAAUACUCUUUUUUUAUCCGCUUCUUCUGUAAAUUUAAACAUAAAGCAAUUGUUCCCUAAGCUUUCAAUUUUAACCUCUUUUACAGUUCGCCACACUUGCUGCAAUGCACUCUUAAAUCCCUCCUUGUUGACUGCUCUUGUGAGGAGGACUUUGCCCACUAAGCAUCUUGCCAACAUUUUCCCCCUUGUGGCUUUCAUGUUCACCUCUAGUGACAUAUUGGUUUUGUCUUCCUCUCUUAUAGUUAUUGCGUUGCAUUUACGGAUUAGCUCGUCUGUAUCCAUGGCACCACAGGCUACAUGAUAUGGAUACAAUAGUGCCCCAUGUAUGACCCCUUGCCUUCUCUGCUCUCCCCAACUCUGAUUAGUAUAAUACUCAAACAAUCACCGAGAAUAAGGAAACGCUAAAGCUAAAAGAAAAACUUAACCCUGAAAGCACUCACUUCGGAGUGACCAUUGAGUCAUUAAGACCCUUUAAAGCUUCCAUUCCAGCUUCUCUGUCAUAGAGAGAGCGUUUGAAAGAAUAUUGUGCAAUUUAGUAACAAAAACAAAUCAUUAUUGAGUGUGAACAGACUUAUUGAUCACCCAAUUUUCAAACUUGUCAUCCUUAUUGAAUAUGCAUUCCCUUUUAAAAAAUUUUAAAAAAGGUACAAAUAAUGAAACAAAGUUUUGUUCCUUCAACAGUUGAUAGAGUUACGCAGCUUCAACUUGCAAGUGCUGUCGGCAUUUUCAAACUUGUAAGACCCUUCAACUUGCUUUCCUAGAUAGCUAUAAUUAAUAAUGACAACAGUCUCCCUUAUAGUGGCUAGUGAGCAACUUGUUUCGUGAAAUUAACGGUAUCUUCUCUCACAUUUUUUAAAAAAUUGAAUUAUAUAACCCACCAAAACUAUAAAGAAUUGUUAGUUUUUCUUCAUUAAAAUUAAUAUAUUGCUCCUCAUAUUGCAAAAUCAAAAUUCAGAAUAAGAAUGAUUGAUACUGUUUAUUUAUUAAAAUGAAAAUAAAAUAUAUGAAGCCUACAUAUUUUUGAAAUUAGAAAACAAGAACUUUAUUUUCCAUGGGGAGUGUUGGGAAUCAAGUUCUCAUUAUUUAAACUCUCAAUUGUACCUCACCGAAAUUUCAUAAUUUCACUUUUGUUCGCAAUUAAAAUAUUAUUAUAGUUAUUAUUCUUAUUUUUAUAGUUGUUGUUGUUGAUGAUGAUGAUGAUGAUGAUGAUGAUACAAGAUAAUAAAAUUAAUGAUAAUUAAACCAAUUUGAAUUUAGAGUGAGUGAGUACUAGGGGUGUUCAGAAUCCAAUCCGAUUCGCUCAAUCCGUCCGAUCUGCUCAAUCUGAUUCGUAUAAAUCCAAUCCGUGGAUUGGUGGAUUGGAUAUGGAUUGAAAAUUUAAAAAUCCGCAGUCGAUGGAUUGGAUAUGGAUUUACUUAUGUAAAUCCGCAGAAACCGUGAAUCCGCAAAAUAUAUAUAUAUAUAUAUAUAAUUAAAAAAUUAUUAUAAAUUUAAUUUUAAAAAAAUUAUAAAUGUGACAUUACAUAGUUACAUAAGCACUAUAACAUAUCUUAGCCAUUACUCAAUAAUAAUAUAAAAUGAAAAAUAAUUAAAUAAUCAAAUAUACAAAUAUAACUUGUAAAAAUUAUAAAACAAAAUAAAAGUAAAGUCACACGCACUAGCAAAAGCAAAGUAACAUAACGCCAAGUCACCAACAAUUUACAAAGUCACUCAAAAGCAAAGUAACAUGACGUUAAGUCACCAAUAAUUUGCAAACAAAAAACCCUAAGCUUCCCCGCCGUCACACACACUAGCAACACUCAAUACUGGUUGGAUACACUCUCGACACGGAUUUGAAGGACAUCGGCCGCGCGAUUCCGGCGAGAGCAAUCCAAUUUCUUUCCCAAGUCCAUUGAGCCACUUCACAUUCACUGGUUCCAGCUGAAUAAUUUCACUAUCACAACCUUCAAGAUCGCCACCCGUACAGCUUCUCCUGGUUCCCAUCGUGGACGGCUCCGUAAUCACCACUUUUCGACAGGCGCAACAGCCCUGGUGAAGGAUCAGACUGUGUUUGGUUUCCGAAACUUCACCAUUUCAAUUAAUUGUGGCUCUAUUUGAACAAUUAAUUUCGGUGUUAUAUUAACGUAUUAUUGUAACUUUAUUUGAACAAUUAAAUUUGGUGUGUUAUAUUUUGAAACUUUGAACGUAUUAUUAUAGCUUUAUUUGAAUAAUUAGUCUCGAUGUGUUAUAUUUUCAAACUUUAAAUGUAUUAUUUUAGCUUUAUUUAAAUAAUUUAUUUAUUUAAAUUUUAUUCAAUUUUAAAUUUAAUUGGUAGCAAAAUUAUUUUUAUAUUAUAUAUUUUUUUAUUUCAUUAGUUGGAGAGAACUAAAAAUUUUUAAUUCGAAAACUAAUGCGCAAAAUGGUGGAUUGGAUAUGGAUUUAGUCAAAUCCGCAUUCGAUCCGCAGACGUAUGGAUUGGAUAUGGAUUAAGUCAAAUCCGCAUCCGAUCCGCAGAUGUAUGGAUUGGAUUUGGAUUGAAUUUUAUCAAUCUGUGGAUUGGAUUGGAUUGGAUUGGAUUGAAAAAUUAUAAUCCGCAAAAUCAUGGAUCGGAUAUGGAUUGAUGUCCAAUCCGUUAAAUCCGAUCCGCGAACACCCCUAGUGAGUACCAUGAGUUCGCAUCAUUUGAUAUCAAAUGAGCAUCAUUACUAACUAAUAUAGGUUCGAUCGAAUUCAUCAUACGAAGUAUAUUAUCGGCUGUAGGUAUGGAAAUAAUUUUGUAUCCACAAACACUAUUUUUCAAAAUAUUUUAAGACUUAACUUAGCAUUUUUUAACCAUACAUGUAUAGGUUGUUUGACCUAUUUUAAAUAAUGGAGAUUACAACAAAUGAACAGAUGUGGAUUAGUAGUGUUGUUGAGUUCAAAAGAUUGAAGUUAAGAAAAGGGUUUCUUGAUCCAGAGAAAAUUCAAAAGAGCGAAGUGUCUUCGAGAUCAGAAGACGAAAUAAGGAAAGGGUAAGGUUUAUACUUUCAAAAUGAAUAUGUUGACAGAUCUUUGAAGAUUAUUUUCAUUAACAGUUGGAUCCCACACUUGAGUCUUUGUAGUCUCAGUCAGUCAGCUAUAAAGAUAAAUUAAUUUUGAGCGUGAAAGGGCUCAAUUGAUCACCAAAUUUUCGAACUUAUGAUCCUUAUUGAAUCUGCAUUCCCAUUUGAAAAACAAAAAAAAGAUUAACAUUAAUUUAACUUCAUCUAGAUUCCCAUUUGAAUCUGCAUUCUCAUUCCGUUCUUUGGGAAUGCGCAUAAUCAAACAAAAUCAUGUCCGCAUUUUCAAACUUGUGACCCUUCAAGCUUUCUAUAACAGCUAUAAUGAAUAAUUACAACAGUGCUACGUAAUAGUGAGCAACUUGUUUGAUGAAAUUAACAGCUUCUGUUCUCUCAUGUAUUUUUAAAAAAUUGAAUUAUCAAAGUUUUUAUUUCAAAAUUAGUGCUAUAGUUCAUUAACUUUUCAAAUUUUCUUUUUUCUUUCCACACAACAAAUUGAUUUUCCCUCCAAAAAAUGUAUUAAAUUGUUUAAUAUUGUAACUUCAAAAACUUAUAAUGAAUUUUUAAAGAGAUAAAUAGAGAAUGUCAAUCUCCCAUCUACUCAAAAUUAAUAUAUAUCAUUAACUCCUGAUUAUUUUUAUAACAACUAAUAACUUUCUGGGUAGCAUAAUUUUACAGUAUCAUCCUUGUUUGUAAGUAUAUUUUUAUUCACAUUUAUUAUAAAUUAAUUAAAUCAUAUCAAUGAAAAUUGAAAUAAAAAUUGAAGUACUAAAAAAAAUGUUUUGGUGUGAAUAAAAAAUUGAAAAUAAAAAUAUUUUUCUUAUAUUUUUUAUUUUUAAAUGUUUUUCUUUUAAUAAAUAUAUAUUUUAUAUUCUCAAAUUGAAUUAUUGAGUAAAUGACUCAUUUAUUCACUUUUUCUUUUAAUUUUUGUUAUUAGGAGGAUUUUUAGAUAUAAUGAAAAUUGUAAGGUAGUAAGUAAUAUAUAAUAAUUUUAAUAGAGAAAAAUAAAAAAUCUGUUAUUUUAAAAUAUAAAGAGAAAAAUAAUUAAUUUCAAAACAUUUUAGAAGAUAUUUCAAUAUGCGGUGGACCACAAACUCGAGUCUUUGUCAUCUCAGUCAACUAAAAGGACAUAUGCUAUAAUGUCCCUCUUCCCUCACAUAUUAAACCAAUGUGAUCUCAGAGUGAGUUUGCAUCGAAGGAGUAUCCUUACUAACUAAUAUAGGCUCGAUCAAUAGAGAUGACAAUAAUUUUUUUUAUCUACGAACAUUAUUUUUUCAAAAUAUUAUAUCUUUAGACUUAACUAAAUAUUUUUUUCACCAUGUAUGUAUAGUUUGUUUGAUCUCUUUUAAAUAGUGGAGAUCACAACAAAACAAAUGCGAAUUAGUAGUGAUGGUGAGUUCAGAAGAUUGAAGUUAAGAAAAUUAAGGGUUUCUUGAUCCGGAGAAAUUUCAAAAGAAUGAAGCGUCUUCGAAAUCAAAAGACAAAAAUAAAGAAAGGGUAAUGGUGUAAUUUUGAAAGUGAAUUUAUUGAGAGAUCUUUGAAGAUUUACUUCCGUUAAGACUUAGAUCCCGCACUCCUAAGCCUUUGUCGGCCCAAUCACUCAACUGUAAAGACAUUUUCUUGUUGAGUGUGAACAGACAUAUUGAUCACUAAAUUUUCAAACUUGUGAUCCUCGUUGAAUCUGAUUCCCCUUUGAAAAAUUAAAAAAAAGUGCAAAUAAUGAAACAAAAUUUUGUUCCUUAACAGCAAGUGUUGUCGGCAUUUUCAGACUUGUAACAAGGGAAUGCGGUCCUCUCCUGAACCCGAAUCUCAUUCCCUGUGACAAGACCCUUGUUACCCUUCAACUCGCUUUCUAAGAUAGCUAUAAUUAAUCGUGACAACAUUACUCUCAGUGAGCAAAAGUUAACAGCAUCUUCUCCCCAUUUUUUAAAAAAUGUAUUAUAUAACCCACCAAAACUAUAAAGAGUCUUUUCUUAUUAAAAUUAAUAAAUUACUCUUUAUAUUAAAUAAUUAAAAUUAAAAUUAAAAUUUAAAAUGAAAAUGAUUUAUUUAUUAAAAUAUAAAUAAAAUAUAUAAAGUUCAUAUGUUUUUUAAAUUAAAAAAUAAGAACUUAAUUUCAUUCCUUAAAUUCUCAAAUUUACCUCACAAAAAUUUCGUAAGCUCACUUUUGUCCUUAAUUAAAAUAUGAUUAUGUUAUUAUUAUGGUUAUUAUUCUUAUUUUUGUAAUAGUUGAUGUUGUUGUUGAUGAUGAUGAUAAUACAUAUAAUAAAAUUAAUAAUAAUAAAAAUAAUAACUAUAAUUUUAACAACAGCAAUAAUAAUCAUUAAUAUUAUUGUUGUUGUUGUUGUUGUUCUUCUUCUUCUUCUUCUUCUUCUUCUUCUUCUUCUUCUUCUUCUUCUUCUUCUUCUUCUUCUUCUUCUUCUUCUUCUUCUUCUUCUUCUUCUUGUUAUUAUUAUUAUUAUUAUUAUUAUUAUUAUUACUAUCCUAUUAUAAUAAUAUUAUUAAAUAAUUAUUUUGAAUAAUAAUAAUCACAAUUAUUAUAACAAACGACAAAAAUCAACUAAAGUAAUUUUAAUAACUUGUAAGAAUUCAUUUUUAUUCAUGGAUAUGUGAUUAUUUGUUAAUGUAUGCAAUUAAUUGUGAUGGUAAACAAAGAAUAUAUGGUAUAUUUUCAAGUUAAAAAAGAAAAACAAAACAAAGUUUUUACCAUUUCUUGCCUUAUCAUCUUUUAAAUUAGAGUUAUUAUUCUUUUUAUUUUUCAAGUUGCCAACUCAUCCGCAUUCUCUUUUAUUGAAUUUGAAGAUCGAUGAUCAUAAAUUUGUGUAAAAAUUUUAAGUAAAAAUUUUAAAUUAAAAUAAUCUUUUAAGUUAUUGGGAAAUAAUAACUUAGUAUAACAAAUAUUAUAUCCUAUACUUUAUUGCUACAAAACUACAAAACCAUAUAUUAUAUUAUGUUUCCAUAUUUCUCUUUUAUAGUGAAGACUCAUACUUCUUCUCUACUAAAUGCUAAAGUAUUGGCUUAAACUUUUUAAUCAGCACAAUAGACCCUAAGCUAUAUAUGUUAUAAUGUCCCUCUUCGCUCACGGAUUAAACCAAUCAGUAGCCUUCUCUCAUAUAGAAAAACUUUUUGCAUAAGACAAAUUAUUAUGUUAUCGGAAAAAUUACAGUAGACGUAAGCUAUAUAUGUUAUAAUGUUCAGAAGAUUGAAGUUAAGAAAAUUAAGGAAAGGGUAAGGAUGUAUUUUCAAAGUGAAUUAUUAAGAGAUCUUUGAAGAUUACUUCCGUCAAGAGUUGGGUCCCAUAGUUUUACCUUUUGCUCGUUCACGUGAAAGUCAGUUUAGAAUUUUUAUCUUAUUUCACAAAGCUAAUUUUUUUUAUCACAAGCAGGAGAGAAACGGCAUUUCUUAGCAGUAGUUCAUCACUGUAGUAGCGAGCGAGUGAGGAACAAAAUUACCAACAAUUAUCAAAAAUAAUUAUACAAAAAAGAUCACAUGCUAUAAUUAAUCAUGACAAUUGACAACAUUACUCCCACCGAGCAAAAGUUAACAGCAUCUUCUCCCACAUUUUUUUAAAAAAAAUUGUAUUAUAUAACCCACCAAAAGUAUAAGGAGUCUUUCCUUAUUAAAAUUAAUAAAUUACUCUUUAUACAGAGAAAUUAAAAUUUAAAAUGAGAAUGAUUGAUGAUGUUCAUUUAUUAAAAUAAAAAUAAAAUUUAUGAAGUCUAUAUAUUUUUAGAAUUAAAGAAUAACAACUUAAUUUUUUAGGGGGAGUGUUGAAAAUCAAAUUCUUAUUCCUUAAAUUCUCAAUUUUACCUUAAAAAAAUUAUAAGUUCACUUUUAUCCUUAAUUAAAAUAUUAUUAUGAUUAUUAUUCUUAUUUUUGUAACAGUUGCAGUUGUUGUUGUUGAUGAUGAUGAUAAUAGUUGAUAAUAAAAUUAAUAAUAAUAAUGAAAAUAAUAACUAUAAUUUUAACAGCUACAAUAAUAAUCAUUAAUAUUAUCGUUGUUGUUGUUGUUGUUAUUAUUAUUAUUAUUAUUAUUAUUAUUAUUAUUAUUAUUAUUAUUUUAAAUAAUAAUAAUCACAAUUAUUAUAACAAACAACGACAAUAAUUAACUAAUGUCAUUUUACUAACUUAUAACAAUUCAUUUUUUUAUUCCAAGACAAACUAACCAUAUCAAUAAUAAUACAGGUCAUUUCAAUUCUAAUUCUUACAGGUAAAGUAAAUAAUUUAUUCUGAUUCUCAUUUUUCAUUUUGAUUUUAUUCUAUUCCGAUUCCAUUUGAUUCUGAUUCCAGCCAAUUCUAAUUACCGAUUAGAAAAUGCAUUGUUACUACUUUAACAAUAACUAAUGAUUCUCCUCACAAUUCUUAUAGGGUUAUCCUUAUUUUAAAAUAUUUUUUAUUCGUAUUUAUUAUUAAUUAAUUAAAUUAUAUCAAUGAAAAUCAAAUAAAAAUUUAAGUAAUAAAAAUGAGAAAAUAUAUGUUUCGGUUUGAAUAAAAAAUUAUAAUAAAAUAUUUUUCUUACAUAUUUUAAAUAUUUUUAUUAUAAUAAAUAUUUUUUUUAUUCUCAAAAUAAAUUAUCAAGUAAACGAUUCAUUAACUCAUUUUUUUCCUUUAAAUUUUUGUUAUUAAGAAGAUUUUUGGGUAUUGACCGUGAAGGGCUCAACUGAUCGCUAAUUUUGCAGCAAUUGCCUUUUCUUUUUCUUUUUUUUAAUUGUUUUGAAAAAAUAUCCAGACUCAUUCUGCAAAGUAUCUGAGGCCAAAGCGCCGAAAGUUAGCAGUUAGUACACCCACAUGUGCUUUUCUUUACAAAAUCUAAAGUUAGCGUGGGUGUCUAUAACUUAAAUUUAAUAUAAUUUAUAAUUAGUAAAAUUCUUUGAUUGACCCAUUAAAUUUUAUUAUUCUAUUACUUAUUUUUAUAUUAAAAAUUUAGUAAUGUAGAAAAAUUCUUAAAAGUUAGAGCGCUGCUAUUCACCCCGAUUUUUAACCCCGAAAAGCGCCCCGAAUUUAAAACGCACCGUUUUGAUUAAAUUGAAAACGGUGCGUUUAACCCAUGUUUCUUCCUUUCCUUUCUUUUGCCAAACCACAGAAACGGACCUUUGCUUCCUUUUCGUUUAAUCCUAUCAUCUUGUGGUCACUGCCGCUGCUGCUUUCUUCAAGACCGAGCUCUCUGCCGCUGCUGCUUCCUUCAAAACCUAACGGCCCGUCCGCAGAGCCCAAUUCAAAGCCGUUCGAUCAAUCGACGAUCCGACACCGAGGCCCAUCAACUGGCGCGUCUGCCUCAGCUUCUUCUUCGUCCUCUCCGGCGUACACGGAAGAGCAAAUCGCGAUCGUGAGACAAAUUAAGAAACGAAAGAUUAUUGCGUGCGUUGAUGGCUCUGAUGGGUUUAAUUUACGUGCGUUGAUUCAGUUGUUGCUUGUGAUUUUGAUAAUUCUCUUGCAGUUUUUGCGUCUUCUAAUCCAAUUUAUGCCAUGUCGAGGUCUUACCCUUAUGAGUACAAGUUUACAACAGAAAGAGGGGUGAAUUUUUAUAUGAAGUCUAGCAAAUUUGAGUAGGACUAUCCGGUGGGUAGUGUUCAGAGAGUAAGGCUCGAAAAGCAAGUUGAAAAGGAUUACUUUACUAUUCUUGCACAGAAUUGCCGGUUAGAGAUUCAACGGCAGCAGUGGGGUUUUAUAAAGGAGACUCCCCAUUGUGACAUGUGGCAGACGUUUCAAUAUUCACCAGCUUGGUAAAUCUGACAAUAAUUUUGUAGUAAUCUACAUAAAGGUUGCUUGAUUGUGCUGCUAUGAUAUUCAUUAUUCAGAUAGGAGUAGCAAUCGUGUUACUGAAAUCUGGUUCAAUGAAACAAGCUGAAGCAAAACUGAAGUAAUUUUCUCCCACAUUCAAUUAAUGCAUCUUCAAAUCUUUCAUAAAGUUGAUCAUUUCCUCGGGAAAUGGAACAUUGCUCUUGUGUAAUGAAGUUUUAAGCAUUGCUGUAAAUGGUUUGUAUAUGAGAAAUUAUUUGUUUUAAUGCCAUAAUUUAUGUGCUGAUUGAUCUUUGAAGAAAUUUUGAGCGCGAUUAACUGUCUCUAGGGUCUGUUGUUGCCCAUGAUGCUCCAACAGCUGGAUGUCUAAUUAUGCAUUAUGAACCUUAACUAUCAGUUUCUAGAGCUGAUGUUCAACUAGCUAUUUGAUGAUGUUUUAGGAAGAUGUAUUUUGGCUGUUUGAGUUUCUAGAGCUGAUGUUAUGUUAGAAAUUAUAUUUAUUUUAAUUGUUGCUGCAGCAACAUAAAUAUAAACUGUUGAUUAACUUGAAUAUCCCAUUUGGAACCAAACAAUGACAAAAAUAAAAUAAUACAUCAAAACACAAGUUAGCAGAUGUUGAUUAACUUGAUACAAAUGCUCACGGUUGAGUAAUUUUAGAUACAAAUACUGAUGGUUCAGCUUACAAAUUAAAAUGAAACAACUCAAGAUUUAUAAAUUUAAAAUCAAACUGCUCAUGAUUCAGCUUACAAUCAUUAAAUAUAGGAACAAUAAUAUACAAACAAAUACUUACGGGUUUUGCAAUGUAGGAAUUCAGCACUCUAACUUUCACGAAUAAGUUGGCGUUUUGCAGUUUGGAAGCUCUGUACUUGGAGUUUUUACAUUUGCAGUUUACAGUUUGCAGUUUCAGUCUGCAAAGCGGAGUGUUGUGGUUCAAGCUUGUGCAAAUAGAAGAAGAAAGAAAAUGUUCACGUGCUGCACGGGUGGAACUAAAUGGGAAAGCAAUCAAAGCAAAAAAGCAAAAAAGCAAAAAAGCAAAGAAGCAAUCAACGCAAAAGGAAAACAGUCAAAGCAAAAAAGAAAUCAAAGCAAAACGCACCGUUUUGACAAUAUUUGGGGUACGGUUUCGGGGUUUAAAAUCGGGGUAAGUAGCUUGCUCUUUCCCUAAAAGUUAAGGAAAAUGAUGUUUGCCCCGGGUCAAACCCCGAAAAUGAAACGCACCGUUUUUAUUAACCCGCAAAACGCACCGUUUUGCCAAGCCCAUUUUCUUUAUCGAUUAAGUGCAGCACAGCCAUUCGAAGUCCUCAAUCCACAAUCAGUAAUAAAUUAUGAUUCUUUUCAAAUCGGAAGGGAGCCCUCCAGAAGGUCAAUUCCAUGAUAUAAUUAGAUGGAUGGAAGAUAUGACAAAGCGGCAAAAAAAUGUGGAGAAGGAAUCAGUUGCAGCUCUACUUUGGGUGAUAUGGAACGCUAGGAAUAAGUGGCUUUUUGAAGGGAAACAAGAGGCUCCAGCCAGAUUAGUAGCAAGAGCUGAAUCAGUUGUGGAGUCUUUUAAAAAUGCCAGCCAGUAUGAUGGGUUAAGGCCAAAUCAGAAAAGGGAGGGUAAGGAAAACCACAGGCAUUCUCUUCCAAAUGGGUGGCUAAAGGUAAAUGUAGAUGCUGCAGUGAACGUUGAGAAACAUGUAGCUGGGCUGGGGGUGGUAAUAACAGACGGGAACCAAAAUUGUAUAAUUGCUGCCAUUAACACUUCUAGAUACUUUGGCAACGUGGCAAUGGCCGAAGCUGCAGCUGUGAAAUGGGGAUUGCAGGUUGCUUUGAGAGUGGGGGGAACCUCUGUGUUGCUUGAAUCGGACUGUCAUGAAGUAGUAGAGAUUAUAAAUAACAGAGACAGUAGUAUGAUGGAAAUCUUUUGGGUGAUCUCUGAAAUUCUGGAAAUUAAGAAGAGUUUUCAGAAUUUCAAGGCUCAACACACACAUAGAUCUUGAGGGGUUUUGCAGUUGGGGUUAUGUAGUUGGGUUGUGUGGUGAAGUGAAAAAUCGAAAGCGAAAGAUGAUUUUUCUGUUUCUUUAUUACAGGAGAAAGAUGAGUUUGAUAAAGAGCUGGAAUGCUCAAGCAAAACGACGUUGUUUUAAGAAAAAUUGAAACGACCCAAAAAACUAAUAAAACGGCGUCGUUUUAUUAAAGCUUCGGGGCUUGACCCGGGGUUUGACCCGGGGCAUCUAUCAGCGCCCAAAAGUUAAUGGAGAAGGAAAAGAAAAAGAAAAAGUGUAAAUGAACUGUAUUCACCUAAGUUUCAAACAUGUGGUUCAAUCUGAAUUUGCUUUUUUCAAAAGUAAAUACAAAAGAAAAUAUAAAGAAAAAGAAAUUAAACGAGACAAAAAUUUGUGGCGUGGGUCAUUCAUAUCUUUUGCCAUUUCUUUUGUAGAGGUACAUAGGGUAGAUAUUUUGAAGUGAAAAGCAGAGCUUUUAUUGUUAUUUGCCUUAUCAUCUUUUAAAAUUAGAGUUAUUAUUCUUUUAUUUUUAAGUAGCCAACGGAUGGUAGCCAACUCAUCCGUGUUCUCUAUUAUUGAAUUUAAAGAUCAAUAAUUUAUGUUAAUAAAUAUUUUGUUAACUAUCAAAGUUUUUAUUUCAAAAUUACUGUUAUAAUUCAUUAAAAUUUCAAUUUUUCCUUUUUCUAUUCACACAACAGAUUGAUUUGCCCUCCAAAAAAAUGUAUUAGAUCGUUUAAUAUUGUAACAUCAAGAAACUUAUAAUAAAUUUUUAAAGAGAUAAAUAGAGAAUGUCAGUCUCGCAUCUACUUAAAAUUAAUAAAUAUACCACUAACUCCUUAUUAUUUUUAUAAUAACUAAUAACUUUCUUAACAAUAUAUUUUUAUAGUAUUAUCCUUGUUUGUAAGUACAUUUUUAUUCAUAUUUAUUAUAAAUUAAUUAAAUCAUAUCAAUAAAAAUUAAAAUAACACAAUAUGUUUUGGAGUGAAUAAAAGAUUGAAAAUAAAAAUAUUUUUCUUAUAUUUUUUGUUAUUUUUAAAUGUUUUUCUUAUAAUAAAUGUACAUUUUAUAUUCUUAAGAUGAAUUUUGAGUAAAUGACUCAUUUACUCACUUUUUCUUUAAAUUUUUUUGUUACUAGGAGGAUUUUUAGAUAUAAUGAAAAUUGUAAGGUAGUAAGUAAUAUGGCCAAAACUACAUUGCGUCAGGGGUUUGGUGCCCCACUCGUUUGUCUGUUAGCAAGGUCAGCGUUGGAUUUGAUCUGACGGCUGCAGAAGAGACACAAAUAUAAAGGGUAGUAACCUGAGGCAAAGGUAACAAGCCAGUCACCUGCAGAAAAUAAGUGUAUGAUAAAAUAACACAUGCAAUGAAUUUUGUAUUUUUUUUUUUUAGAAGACACAUGUAAUGAACUUGCUGGAAGCGUACAUGCAAGUAAUGGUUGGAAACAACCUACUGAAACCGUGCAAGUAUUGGUUGGGCUAAGAUUGACAUGAAAUUUCCCAAAUAGUGUCCGAAACAUUUGCAAAUAGUUAAUUCAAAGCGUCAAUAAAUGCUGGAAAAAAUACAUAUUUUUUAUUUUUUUUAUUAAGAAUACAUUUUUUUUGAUAAAAAAAUAAAUUAUUAAUGGUACAUAGCAACAAAUAUACCCAAAACAAUUAUCCAUAUAUUUGAAAAACAUUUGUUAACAAUACAUAUUUUUAGUAGUACACAUAUUAUAACAUAAACAAAUUGAGUUGUAUCAUGGACAGCCAUAAACUAUGAACAAAGAUUACGAUCUAAACUCCACAUGCAUGUUUAAUUUGUAGAUUCCAUUUUUUUCAUAAUGUGUUUCCCACCAUGGGAUAACAAGGGUUAUUCAGGCAAAACACUACGGCAAUUCAUUAUCAUAGACAGGAAAAAGACAAUGGCAAAGAUCAAUGAUUUAACACACAAGAAUGAGUGAAUAACAACAGCAAGUGAGAACCAUGCAGAAUCCUUUUUAUUAGAGAUCCUUUCUUAAAUCUUAAAUAAGAACAUUAAAUAAGCUUGAAAAAUAUUGGUAACUGGCCCAAUACACAUCCAUCUAACGGAAAACAGCGGACAGUUUGACGCAUGUGUGGAGCACUUGAGGAAACAGAGCAUCCACGGAAUGCCUAAAUUUGAAAAAAAAAAAAAUUGCAUUUGACGAAAAGGACUUUGAGCGUUCAAAUACAAAGUGUCGAUUAACCUUACAAGAUACAUCAACCAUCACAUAUGCUCAACAUGCAAUACCAAAUUAAAUUACCCAUCUCCAGGGUUGGAUUUGUCUUCAAUCAGAUGAAUGCUGGAGAGAAUAUAAUUGAAAGAAUGGCAUCAUCUACCAUGCAAGCUAAGGCUCCUUACAGAUGCUCAACAUGACACCACAAAAGAAAAUACAAUAUCAAAGACACAUCACCAACAUAUAUGCAAACUACCAAUUCUCACAGCAUGCAGUGCAACAACUCAUAAAAUAUGAAAUUUAACAUCAUCUAAGCAUUUUCUCAAGCUUAUUUCUCAUUAAAGAACUUAACUGAAAGUAGUAAACAUAGAGACAUAUAACAGCUUUAUAAGUACAGACCACAAAGUAGAACUUUGUUCGAAUGAUAAUGAUCAUAAUCCACAUUAUAAACGCAGUGAAAUCAUCAAAUGAAAUAAGAACACAGUACACAAUUACACAAAUAUUAGGCUUAAUUAAUUAUUUAGAUUAAAACACCAACUCACACAACUUCCUUGUUGGAAUCUUCUCAUAUCCCAUCUUCUUAGGGCUCAGAUCAUCAUCGUGAUCAUCAACAUCAGUGAAUUCCUCAUACGAAUUGCGAGAAUCGUGACGAUUAGCAAAGAGGCUCCACACCAAAUACAUGGUAACGGCAGUAAGCGAAUCACACCCAACGCCGAAAAGCAAAGCGACUGGUCCGGUCGCAUAGAGAGGAGAAGUCGUGCUCGAAGGGCAAAACACGACGUUUUGGCUCAUGGAUGAGGUGCUGCUCCCGAUCAUCGAUUGAAGGGAGAAUUGGACAAUCGAAGAAGAUUAAGGGACGGUGGGGACUGAAUUGGCGAAUUUCGGUGAAGAUUGUGACGAAUCCAACGGGGUUCUCGGAGUUUGGGUUAGGGUUACGGGGAUUGAAAUGGAUCGAGUAAGAGGAAAUGAAGAGGGUUUUGCAUGGCCUUCCGGAGGCUGAAAUUGAGAGGACACCAUGAAUAUUGUGAGAGCUAAGAGGAGAUGCUGAGUCGAUGACGCCAUUGAUUCGUACCACAUAGCUUCGAUUGGAAAUGAAGCCUCUAAUAGCUUUAGCCGGUUACCCAUUUUUCAAGUGUUAAAUCUCAACCGUUGACUGCCUUUCUUUAUGAUUUCAAGGGUCAUUCACAAAAGGACAAAGGUCAAUAUGCGGUGGACCACACCCUUGAGUUUUCCUCGUCGUCUCAGUCAACUAAAAGGACAAAAUAUUGAGUCUUUAAGGACUCAACUGAUUGUUAAUUUCACAGCAAUUACCUUUUUUCUUUCUUUUUUUUCUAAUUAUUUUGAAAUGGUAGGUAGCAAUUGCUUACAUCAAAAUAUCUAAACUCACUCGGCAAAGUAUCCGAGGCCAAAAUGCCAAAAGAUGGGACACCCACAUGUGCAUCUAAUUACAAAGUCUAAAGUUAAUGAAAAGAAAAAGAAAAAGAAAAAGUAUAAAUGAACGGUAUUCACCUCACUUUCAAACAUCUAGUUCAACAUGAAUUUCCUUUUACCAAAAGUAAAUUUCCUCUCGAAUUGUCCUCAUUACAUCAAACGAAUGAUGACGACGCUCUGUCCGUUUCUGGCUCUCUGCUUUUCUCUCUCACAUCACGAGACACCUCGUUUCUAACUGGGGUACCACCAUCAUAUUUAACUGUUAGGUCUUCCUACUAUGCACCUGAUGUAUGCAUGAUUCCUUAUGACAUGACAUACAGCCAAUUAAAUUCUGACAUGUUUGCAAUAAAGACUGUUAAACCGGUUGAAUUCACAAGAUCUCUUGUUUGUGUGUUUAUGUUCCAAGUUGUGUACUCUGUGUUAUGAGUUCUCUAAUUAGUCUGAUAUUAUCGCAACUGUUGCUCAAUAAUGUUAUAGGUUUUAUAAUAUAUGUCACCGGUACGAUCGCUGUCUCAAGUGGUAAACUUUGAGGCACAAAUUUAGAACGAAAAGUUCCUAAUAAAAUAAAUUAUUUAAUUAAUUAAAUAAGAAUAAAAUGAAUUUGUGAAAAAAAUUUAAAUUUAAUUUUGAAUUAUUUUGACCAAAAUUUAAGUUUUUUUUUAAUUUGUUUAAGAAAAUGCGUUGUAAUUGUCUUGUUUUAAUUGGAAAAUCAAUGAAAAAAUUAUGUAAAAGAAAAAAAAAAAAAAGCAAAACGGUUUGUUUUGGAUGGAGGCCAUAGAUUCCAAUAUUUCCUUCACGAAAACUACAAAAAAUUAUCAAAGGCAUCAAUUUCUACACUCUCACGGAGCAAUACUCUUAACCCAGAAGAAAGUGUAUAAACCAACCCCAAUUAGUCCAUCAAUGUCGUCAACCUCAUACAGCAUAAAAAAAAUCUGUGUCCAUUAAACCGCCAUUUAAACCGUCUUGAUUGAGCCAUUAGACUAUUCGUGUCAUCUUCCCAUCUCGUUGUAGUAUUUUGCCGUUCAAAUCUAGCUAUCAAUUGGGGAAAAUGGGGACCAAUCUGCAAGUCUUUAAAAUAGAAAGAAACUUUUAUUGGGCACUAUGUUCACGGUGGACCCAGCAGCAUUAAUAUUUAAGAUGGAGUUAUUUGUAUUUUAAAAAUUAUUUUAAACAUUCUAAUUUUAAUAAGAAUAUAUAUUAUAAAAAUAUUUAUCAUAUAAGUUAUUGGACAAUAUAUUAUAAGUCAACAUUAUAUAAUUACUUUGAACACUUAUAUAGCACAAUCCUAAUUCAAUUUAUUAUUCUCAUGACUUAAAUAUAAAAAUUUUUAUUUCCAACAUCUUAAUUAAUAUGUAGAUGAAUAAUAAGGAAAUUAACUUUGAGAAAAAAUUAAAUACAAAAUAUGUGUAAAGCUUUUAAAAAAUAAAAUAAAACAAAAGUAUUGCACAAGAUUUUGGGGGGGGGGGGGGGGGGGGGUUUGGCCAUUCUUCUUCUCCUCCUCUCUCUCUCUUUUGUUUGGGUAGUAUUUAUGGAACAUUUUCUAUUGUUAUGUUCUCAUCGCAAGUUAUUUUAGGUGUAAAAUUCAAUAUUGAAAAUAAAUUAAAUAAAAAAAUAGUAACUAAAAUUAUGUUAAAUUAUUUUUUUAUAAAUUAAUUUUUAAUUAUAUUAUUGUGAGUAUAUGCUAAAUCUCUUAAAAAUAGAGUGUUGAAUAAUUUUAUUAGUUUUUUAAAUAAAUAAAGUUAAGUAACUUAAAAAGUUUAAGUAAGGAUAUUUUUAAAUUUUAAACAGUAUACAAAGUAAAAUUUAAUUUUUUUAUAAUUAAGCUAUGAGCGUGCAAAGUAAUAUUUAGAAUACUAAUAAUCCUACCUUAAUCUUUAUCAUCACAUUAUUUUCCAUAAAAAGUUUACAAUUACCUCUUUAUUGGAUAAUUUUGUUCCCUCUCUUACCUUAUGUUCCCUUACAUUCUCAUUUCUGCAUCACCAUUUAAAUUAUAAUCAUAACGUUAAUCUUUAUCUAUCACAUAUUUUGCCAAAUUUAUUCGCACCGCAAAGCUCUUUCCUUUUUUUUUCCCCGUUAAGUUUGCUAUAAUGUACGUGAAGAAUUUAAAGAGAUCUUUCGUGUCCUUACCCUUUUUUUCGGGUGCACUUUUGCUGCUUUUUUACGUUUCUCCAGAAUUCACUUCAACAUGACUGGCGCAUUUUCUUCUUUCUCGCUGCAACAUCAACUAGGCCACCACCUCUUGCCUCUCCCGGUUCCCCUCAAUUUUCGUAUUCAAUGUCCACCGUUGAUUGUACAUUUAUUAAAAUUCUGUGGUUAUUAUUUUUUUGCAUAUAUUUAAUUCCACACGGUCUAUCGAUAGAGCAGGUGCAUCGUAGUUGUGGCCUUAACCCUGUUAUUGGUAACUCAAUAGCUAAUUCUAAUGUUUCAUCAAGCAGUUUAGAGAUAACCUCUCUCGCUGAACACCCUGGAGUAACGCAAUCCAGUUUUCCAGUGCAAUCAUCAGACAGUUGAACAGCUUCUGAAUUCCCUUUGCUUUUCUUGUUUUCUUUUCCAUGAAAAGGGAGCUCAGGCUUCAAUAUAUCUGGGGAUUGAGUACUAAUGAUAAAGACAACAUACGGUAGAGGACACAAAUUGUUAUCAAAGAAUGAUGCACUUUUCAACUGAGUACAGUAAAGCAGUACAGUAAAGCGAGAAUGGGUAAUUAGUUUUACCUGCUAAGCGAAAAUCUAGACUCCUGAAGGUAACCGAUCUUGGGUGAAGCAAAUAAAGAAGAAGGCGAAGUAAAAUUCACUGAGUUGAAUGAGCGAUCAUUGCGUAUGGACUUGAUUUGUUCAAUGGGUGAAAGACCGCUGAUAUAAUUAAAGACUGGAGAAUCCUGUACGUUGACAAGCAUCAUUUUUAAUCGAACAGAGAGUCUUAAAAACCUUGUCAGUGGCAAAUGAUCACGACAAGAAAUCUGAAGUAGAAACAGCAUAGCUCAACAAAUCACUAAGAGAAUAAGACCAAUAACCAAGCAGAUAAAAGAAAAGCAAAAUAACCCAUCUCAAAAUCACCACAUGCACAAUUUAAGGGGUUUGUGACAUGGGUUUAAACAUGAUUUAACAAGUGCCACCUGUGAAUUGUCAGAGAUUGUAUUUUCAUACACGUGUCAAAUUUUCAAAUCCAACAAAUUGUUAUCUUUCUAAAGAGGCUAAUAUUAUUAUUAUCUAUGCAUAGCAUGCUAUAAACAAUUCAUAUUACUAGGGCCUUUGUUUUCUGUGCACAACAUAUGGACAGAGGAACAAAUCCCUGAGCUAAAAUCAUCAUAUUCCAAAAUAUUCUAUUAAAUCAACACCACAAAACGCGAACGCUAAACAGAAUUGGAGCAAUUUACCAAAGCUAUUUGUCACGCAAAGCACUAGUACCUCAGAACCCAAUUUGCAAAAAAGCACCAAAAAUGAAAAAUAACAAAUGCCCAGAUGAAAAAUCAGGAAAAAAAAAUGCUCAAAUCCAAAUUACAACCCCAUAAGUUGAGUCGUUCUCUUCGAACUGAAUUAAAAAAGAUUAAAAAAAUAAAAUAGGGAGAUUGACCUCAAACUUUGGAAACAGAAGCGACAGCGAUCUGUUUCUUGUCUGGAGUGUCCAUUUCUAUAAUCUACUUUGUCCGUUUUCAGUCGCUCUGCUACAGAGCUUCUUCCCUCUGAAGCUGAAGCUCACACACUCUGCAAAACGAAAGCAUUUCUUUUUGAUUGAGAGGCGGGAAGGCGGGAAAAUGAGAGAAAUUUGCAUUUGUUUUCUCUUGGUUUGGUCAUACCUGUGCGGGCCCCAGCUUGACAAGCGGUAUUUUUACUAUUUGUAUAAUUUGCAUGACGCGUGUCACGCAAUGACGAUAAAAUAUAUAUAUAUAUAUAUAUAUUGUUAAUUUUUCACUUAACAUUGAAAUAUCAUAUAAUUUUUCCAAUUUUAUGGUUAUUUUCUCGCCCUUAUGCCACAUUCUUUUGAUCAAAUAAUACAGUAAAACUUUUCUAUAAUCGUAAUAUUAGAGCCAAAUUAACUUUGUUUCUGUAAAGAGGCUAUAGCUUAAUAAAGGUAAAAUUAUAAAAAUUAUUAUUUUGACUCAGUUAUCUUUAGUGCAAGUGAUAUAAAGUACAAAUAUAUGAUAAUUAAUUAAUGAACUAUGUCAAAUACAAUAUGCUGACAAUUAGGGGUGGGCAAAAUCGGGUUCGGGUCGGGUUCGGGUCAACCCGAUCGGGUUUCGGGUUGUUCGGGUUAGACAAGGAGCAAUCCGAACAUAACCCGAAUUAAUGAUCCGACCCGAACCGACCCGAACUAUCUUCGGGUCGGUUCGGGUCGGGUCAUUAAUUCGGGUUAUGUUCGGGUUGGAUUUAAAAUGGGUAGGAUUGAGUUCGGGUCAAUUUGGGUCAGUUCGGGUCAAUUCGGGUCGGUUGAAAUCGGGUCAGUUCGGGUCAAUUCGGGUCAGUUCGGGUCAGUUCGGGUCAAUUCGGGUCGGUUGAAAUCAGGUCAGUUCGGGUCAAUUCGGGUCAGUACGUUUUUUUUUUUUUUUUUUUUUAAGAACCCGAUCGGGUAUUCGGAUCGGGUCGGGUUUGACCCGAACCGAUCACAACCCGAUCGGGUUUGUAAAUUUCAAACCGAUCGGGUUUCGAUCCCGACCCGAUCCGACCCGAACCCGAAAUUUAUCGGGUCUGGUUGGGUCGGGUCGGGUCGGGUCGGAUCGGGUAAAAUGCCCACCCCUACUGACAAUGAUAAAAAAGAUAGAUAAUUUCAAGAAACUAAUGCAUAUAUUUAUGUAGUGUUGGGAUUAUACAAAAUUAUCUUAAAAGUGUAAAGAGUAAAGUAAUAUUCUGAUUAAUUUAAAAAAAAUUAUUUUAUCUUAAUCUUUAAUGCAACAUAGCUUUUUUUUUUUUUUUCUUAGCAACAAAGCAUUGUUCCAAAUAAUUAUUAUUGGAUUCAAAUCAUGUCCUAGGCAUUUUUUCUUCUAGUCGUCUUAAACUUUUAAGGAUUUAUUGGCAUGUGUCAAUCAUUAAUGAAAUUAAAUAACUAAGACUUUGUUUUAAUUAACGUUUACAUAAAUAGACAUCAAAACUCACGUGUGAUUCUUAUCAAAUUUUUUCCUGCAAAUUCUUUUCCUCUCAACUAUUCAUAUUUUGACAUUAAUUUCCAGCAAAUUAUUAAAAAAAAGAAGCGUAAAAUGGAGAAAAGUGAUUGACAACAAGGUUUGCAUCUUAAUUUCAAAAUUUCCCUUUCUUUGCUAUUUUUGUGGGUUCUACAAUUGUUGUUUUCACUCUCAGACAUGGCAAGUCCUUUGACAAAUGUUUCCCCGUUAGCAGAUUUAUCAUAAUGCAUCUCUCUGCAUCCCCACCUAAGAUGGAACCUGUUCUCACAAGAACAGACUCCAAGGUUGGGAAAAUCAAUUGAUCAUCGGAGAAAACAAACAGGAUUAACAAAUCACUACAAUGGUGUGAACCCGUAUAUACAAACGUACCUGCCCCCUUUGUCUGUGAUAUAUUUUCUUAUUGGCCCACUCAAAUAAACAUCCGGAGAAUCCUUGAGCAUCUGCAAUAGGGAAGCCUCGGUCUUAGUUGCAAACAGUGCAAAUAUAGUAUGCAUACAACGAGCAAUGAUGUUAUCACAAUCAAUAAACCCAAGGGCAAACGCAACAGGAUCUUACAUUCUUUGGAUACUCAUCCAUGUACCACCCUUGGACAAAAACCAAUCAGAGAAGCUUAUCUGUAAGAAGAAAUGAAGUUUGAGGUAAAAUAAAAAUUUGUAGGAACAGGGAUUGAAAUUCAACAAACAAGAAAAUAUGUUGUUUGUUGAAAUUCAACAAACAACAAACAAGGCUCCAUCAGGAUCAAGAAGUGCCUUUACAACAGGACUCACCGCAAGAGCAAUAGCAUUUCUUGAUUUAUCAUAAGUCUGCACUUGAGCAAUAUACGAGGCAAAGUACAUCAAAAGAGAAUCCAAAAGAGGCAAGAAGCUUCAACAUGAAAAAAGGGAGUACUGCCUCGUCAUACUGCUUUGCAAUCACAGUGCAAAAGAUAACAUCAACAAAAUCAAAAUCGAGCAUAAAUCUGUAUGCACUACCUUAAGCUGAUUUGUAGACAAAAAUGCACGAAUCCCAUGUAAUGGAGCUCCAAUCGGAAACCGGAAAUCAAGUUCUGGAGUUGAAAAUCAAAAUCAUGAAUCAAAUCAGAGUUAUUAUUGAAUUAGACAAUCCAUAAACCAAUAGAAGGUGAUGUCAAACCAUCAAGCAUAACUAUUAGUUGUUUUAAGUGAUCAAGAAAUAACUAUACCACCAAUUUCCCCACCCUUAUUUACAAAUUUAUGAGUAUGAUCCUUCAUGAGUAAAUUUUCGUCCGCACCGACCUGUCGACAUCCAUGAAAAACUAUCAGAUCAUAAACACAGGUUCCAGUUAAAGAGGAUCUAUGAUUCUGAUCCAUCAUGUUAUUUGAACAACAUUUUCGGAUUUUCUUACAACCCUAAGCUAUUAUCAGUUAUCAUCGCUACAAAUGAUAUGGUCAAGAGGAAUGAUAGUUCUUGUUUCAAGAAUCUCAAAUCGUAAUUCUUUUGCAUGGCUUCUGUGCUUUUAUAAUCAUUCAAACACGCAUAUCCACAACUAAGCAAGCUUUACCUUUUUUGUCAAUCGGAACAGAUUAUUGUAGCAUCCAAAGAAAACGUGCAGGCUGAUUUCAAUAUGGUUUCCACGUUUACGGACAAAUGAAGCCACUUUACCACCAAUAAAAGACCUCAACUCAUAUAUAUCCACCUGGAAGAAAGGAAAAGUUAAAAAAAAAGGAAUAAAAAUUCUUCUAAUUUCUUUCACCAUCAACAAAAUCAGAAAAACACAUACUAAUUCAAAAUGAAAUAAAGUUUGUGAAUUGAAAUAAUGCCAACUCCUAAGAAAAAUUAUGACUGCUGAUAUUUUUUCCAAAAUGCUGAUAAAAGCUUCUGCUAUUUACUUUGAAAAAAUUGAGGUUAGAAGCCUAUUUACUUGAAAUUUUGAGUUUAGGCAAGAGGAUGAAUGGUAAAAGUGAAACAUUUUAGGGAAAAAUGUACGUCAGAGGCCAAUGAAAGCAUUCAGAAGAUUGAAAUCUAAAUGAGCAAAACCCCGUGGCCUUGAUCCAACAAAUCCACUGCUGUUGACAUGCCUGCAAGCCCAGCUCCAAUAAUAGCGACUUUCAGCUUUGGUCCUCUAUAAUGUUCCGGUUCUGGUAGAAACAAACCCUUGGGAGCUGCCAAGUAUACCAUCCAAUUAUCCACAGCGAUCAUGGAAAUAUAUAUGUGUUUAAAGGUACUAAAUUCCUAAACAUGAAAUGUAUCCAAAGAGAGACACAAAGCAGAAUUGUGAAAGCAUUUCAAUUCCCAAUAAAUUUUAAGAAUACAAAAUACUCGGUCUGUUCCUCAAUUCCUUUAAUAAAAUUUCCACUAGAGGCUACGGAAGCCACUCAAUAACACUCCAAAGCCAGAUUUUAAACGUUAUCUUUAUCUUUAACUCCAAUCCAUAAACAAUUCUGCCACAAAUUCAAUCCAAAAUUGUUCAAGUGCACCGCCAAUUCUCCGUCAAUUCCCUCAAAAAUUCAUAAUUGGCAAACACUACAAACCAAAAAGAGCUUCCAGCAAUAAACGCAUAAAAAUCCACCAAGCAACAGAAAACAAAAUACCCAGAAACCAGAAAAGCCAAAAGAUCAAUGCUUGGCAAACAAGCAAAUCAAAUAAAACAAAAAGAAGAGGAAUUUACCCUUAACGCUCAUAUCAGAAACAUUAGUGUCCAAAGAAGCCCGUACACGGAAUCUUGGACCCUUCACUUGAACCCGAGACCAUGUAACGCCAGUAACUGAAGUUGCAGGAAACAGAACUGGAGAACCCAUAUUGCAAAUCCUGAGCUGAAAUCAAAGAAAUUCAAUUGGAACUCAAUUCAGCUCAACCGAGCGGAGCUCUCUUUUGCUUCAAUAACAAAGUGUUUUUCUUUCAUAUCAACAAAGAUUUGUCAACAUCAACAAAAUUUAACUAAGAAACUAAAAUAAUGCGGUAUCUUUGAGUUUAAGAAUCUAACAAGAUGCUAAGGAAGAGAGUUUUGUCAGGGAACUGUUUCGGAGAGGUUGGCCAAGUGCUUCUUUGUUAUUUUUUUUUUUUCUUUUUUUGCCCUUUUCAUUAAUACACAACAGUAGUACUCGCGAAGAGCACAAAAUGUUGGUGACUUUGUCACUAAGGAUACGAAAGUGGAGUGACCAGAGCAACCAACUAAAUUUUCUUUGGGUGAUUAAUUAAUUUAUUAUCAAAUAAUUUUAUUUAUUUAUUUAAACGACAUCCUUAUCUUUGUACAAGGCUGAUGAAAGACGACGAUGUUGCGUUGUCACAUAUUUUUGGGCCGACCGUUUCUUGUUUCGGCUUAAAUGAGGCUUUUGUAAUUUUGUGCUGUUUUUUUACUGAGUAUUUUGUGCUAAAUUACGCCAAAGAAAAAGUGUAAUUGUUAAAAGAUCUGCUGACACUCAUAACCUCUUAAGCGGAAUUUAUAAUGUGACAGUAUUGAUAUCUAAGUUCAUAAUAUCUAUAGGAGUGAUAAAACGAAUAAAUGAAUCGAACCGUAAAUGAAUUUAGUCAAAAUUUAAUGGAUUCGAAUUCGAUGUAUUAUCAAGCGAAUCAUAAUUUAAUAUUCAAAUUCAAUUCAUUUAUUAAAUGGAUAUCCAUUUAAUUCGUUUAUUGUAAAAAAUUUAAACAAAUUGAAUUAAAUUUGGAUUCGUUUACAAUUUGUUUAAUUUAUUUAUGCAAAAUUAAUAAUAAAUCAAUCAAAUGUGGAUUUGUUUAAAUAAUAAUAAUAAUAAUUAAUAACAAAAAUAAAGUAAAAUAAAAUAUAAAAAAUCAUAAAAUUAACAACCUACAAAAUACAAACGAAUUAGUGACCCCAAACUCGGAUUCGAUUCAUUUAUUAAUGAAUUGAAUUGAAUUCACCUAUUUGUUAAUGAAUUAUUUUUUUUUAAAUUCAGACCUAUUUAAUUUGAAUCUAAUAAACAAAUCCUAACCUAAAUUGCCACCUCUAAAUAUGAUGGACCUACUUAAAAUAUAUGAAUACCAAAAUGUGUGGGCUAAAAAGUGGUUUACCAUGCAGCAAUAUGAAUUUUAAGCUCUCUUUUCUUAUGUCACCCAAGGCAUUGGCUGGAUGGCCAAACAGCAGAGUUCAAGUCUACAAUAGAGAAUCGAAAUUUUCCUUUGUAAAUGUUCAUAAGUAUUUGCCAUAGAUUUUUAAGUUAUUCUUGAUAGAUCCCCUACCACAUACGCUAUAAUAUUUCUCUGCUUUUAAUUUAAAAAGUAAAUCAUGCAUAAUAACGGACUUGUAAGGAAAUGAAAUUUCUGGUAAUUAACUAACAAAAUAAAAAAAAGAUGGAUUAUGCCAAAGAAGUUAAUAUAGAGUAAGUCGAGUACUUGACAAUCAAAGUAAUUUUACUCGAGGUUGAUUAAGGAUAGUAUGAUACUUUCUCAAGUUUUAUGAGGACAUUCAUGUAACAUUGGACUAUUGACUAUAGUUAGAGAGAAGUCCAAGGAUGUAAGUGAUGAUGAUAGAUUCACAAUUCUUUUGAAGAAAAUAUUUUAUAUAAACUUAAUUAUAUGGUAUAAAAUGAUUGGCCUUAAUAAAAUUAAAAAAUAAUACACGCCUGGGUCAUGCAAUAUUUUCAACCAACUAAUUUACACGCAAAAUUAAACCUCAUGAGUGAGAACAUUAUGGUACAUUUAUUUGCUAGCAAAAUUAAACCUUAUGAGUGAGAACAUUAUCACGGCACAAAAUGCCUGUGAUAAUGAAACAAUGUGCCAUUCUUAAACUAAUAUUAUUAGAAACUAUAAGUGAAAGUUUUCAGAAAACAUGUGAUAAGUUUUUCUCGGAAUUUAUUUUCUCCUUUGUUUUGAUUUACGCGAGAGAUAAUUGUAAAGAUUGUUUUGAUAAGUUUUCAGAAAACAUGUGACGAAUCGUAGUAAAAAAAAUAUAUAUAAUAAUUGAAUGAGAUCCACGGUUCACAAUUGCAAAUUAAAGGUUGGUUUUAUAAUAAAAUCGUUUUGUGCAUACCAAAUUAGAAAAGAUUAUAAGUAAAUUAAGAUUUUCAAAAUUUGACUAGUAUUAUAUUACGUACAUCAAUAUAAUAUAAAUUUCUUAUAUAUAUAUUUUACUCUGUAACCAAUGCUUUCAAAAACUUUGUACUUGUAUGUUUGAACAACUUUUUUCGCUUUCUAUUUAUAUACGAUCUCAUUUAUGUUUACAUAAAUUUUCAUAUGUACCCAAAUUAAGCACUAAAUAAACACACUUUGGUAAGACACAUUAAUUUCUAGUAUCAGACAAUGAUAUUAUAUUGAAUGUAAUGCUUCCAUGAAUUUUAUUACUAUAUACUAAAAUACUCAACGAUCUCCAUUAAAAAAAAAUAUGCAUGAUUAGAAUUAUUAAAGAUCAUUUGAUGAGGAGUUUCAUCAUUAACUGUGUCGAAACACAGCAGCAAUCCACAAUACACUUAACACGAGAGGGGCACACAAGCAUGCAUGAAUCUUCCACCAUUAAACCUGAAAUCGCAAAUAAAAGAAACAAGAUGAGUGUUGUUUUACGGUCUGAAAGCCGAUUCCAAAUAAUAAUAAUAAUAAUAGUAAUAGUAAUAGACCUUUGUUAAUAAUUACUACUAGUUGUCUCUGCCUUUUACAUCUUCCUCCUCUGUAUCAUCGCCCUCUUCCAAUCACACGGCUAGACCAGUAUGUCUCGAGAAUCUCUACUGCCUUCUCAGAGAUCCCGUUGUCGUCAUGACUUCGUAGAUUUUCAAUCUUUUCUAAUCCCUCAGCCUCCUCAACCAACUGGGCAUAUUGAUUAAAAUCUCCAACGGCGGUACCCGUAUUCAUUUCAGCUACCCCGACCUUCAAAAUGUCCUCUAAUCCUUCUAAGCAAACAGUGACGAUCUUUGGAUCAGCGCAUAGAAGCAGAUCACACAAUGGUUUUACACACCCCUCUCUCACAAGGUGCUUGAUUUGCUCAUGAGUGCCAAACUUGGUGGCAUUUGAAAUUGCCCAAGCGGCCUCCUUCUUUGCAUCAAAUUCAGCAUUUUGAAGUAGAUUGACAAUGGGACCAAUUAAGCCGGAAUCAAUUACCGCCUGAAUCUGCUCCCCGUUUCCAGCUGUAAUAUUUGAAAUAGUCCGGCAUGCAUCCUUCUUAAGGCUCUCUUCAUGAUCAUGGAUCAACAGGCCCAAAAAGUAUGGCAGUGGAUCACAGUUAAUUAUAUACUGAGUCUGGAAAUCAUCUCCCAUCACAAUAUUUCCAACAGUCCGCAGGGCAGGGGCAAGCACUGAGGAUGAUGGAUGGCCAAGGAGCUCAACAAGUCGUGGACAGACACCUGCCUCGAUCACAGCUUGAAUUUUGUCAUUCGUACCAUCAGAAAGAUAGGAGAGUGUCCAACAGGCGUCACUCAACACCUCUUCAUCAUCUAAAUGAAUAAGCUGUGCAAGUGCCGGAAGAGCUGCCCUUACCUGAUCAAAUGGUGGUCCUGGCUUGCCCUUGCAUAAAUUAUACAAUGUCCUUGCGGCAAUUCUCAGCAUUGAAAGCUUGGCAUGCUCAUUUAACUCUGCCAGCAAUGGAAUCAAAGCUCCUUCACUAAGCACAAGAUCACGGCAUCCAGAUGAGUCACCAGCAACAUUUCCCAAUGCCCAAACAGCCUGCUCGCGGACAUCAUCACUUGGGGAAGCAAGCAGCUUCACAAAUAUUGGAACGGCACCGUGGUCAAUCACCACCUUAAUGUUCUCUGAAGUUCCAGAAGCAAUGUUUGAAAGAGCCCAAGCAGCCUCAUACUGAAGUUGCGGAUAGUCUUCCCUCAUAAGAAACUCAACAAAGCGCUGGACAACGCCAGAUUGUAUGACUUUAUCAAUUUGUGGACUCCUCGCAAUCGAAAGCAGUUUGCUGAACUGAGUAGUUGCUUCCAGCUGUAGGCCGCUGUCAUCUGACCAAACCCCAGCAACCAUCCCGGGUAAACUCGCCUACUUAUUUAUUUUAGGAGCAGGAGCAAGAGGAGGAAAUUAAGUUAGGGAUUUGGAGUGAGAGUGAAAGUGGAGAAAAAGCAAGAGAGGGAAAAAGCUGAUUGUUGAGAAAUAUAUACCUUUCGUAUGGUUGUGUUAAGGUCGUCCUUCCAAGCCCAACAUGCUUUACCCCGCCCCUGCACUUUGUGUAAUUUGGGCGUACUUAAUUUUCCUUCAGAGAAAAUCUUCAUAUCGGGGCAAUCAUCCACCACUAAUCUUUCCAAAGAUGGGAACUUGAAAGCACAAUUGCCAGAGCAGAAGCUUGUUAGUCCUUGUAAGCCUAAAAGCUUCAACUUCUUCAAUUCUCUGAAAGUAAUAACCUCAUCUUUUGCUACAACAUCAUCCACCAGUACUAUUUCUGUUAUCCUAUCGCAUGAUUGUAUCUCCAUAUAUCUAAGUCGCACCAGAGUCUUUGCAAUUGAGGAUGUUAAUACGAUUUUCAAUCGUUUACAACACGAUACCACCAGAUUUGUAAGAUUCUGAAAGGAUGUCGACGGUGGCACUAGAUCGACCAAAUGGUCACACCACUUUACAUGUAGAAUAACCAAGUUGUUCGUAACAGAGGACUCCUGUAUCAAAAUGUGCUCCAGAUGAUAACAAUCAUUUGCUUCUCUCACAUUAACCCCCAUCCCAUUUUCAACCUUCUCUUUCGGCAACCAAGUAUAAGAUCCUCCUCCUAUUUGCAGGACUUUCAUUGUGUGAAGUCUCUGGAGGAAGUCACCAAGUGAUAAAAUAGUCCGCUCAUCAACCAACUCCACGUAAAGAUAUUUUAGUUUGCAAAGCAAGUCUUCAGAAAAUAGAUAUUUAUUUGUUCCUAUGUACUUUGCAUCAACUUUCAACUCUUCCAACAUAGGGAAUACCUGGGAGAUCGAUCAGAACCCAAAAAAGAAAAAAAAUAAAUACAAGAUGAAUCAGUUGAUGAGAAUUAUAAGUUACCACUAAUUUAUAAAAUAUAUUUUAUUCAAUAAAUCUUAACCUUUAAAAAAAUUAGUAAUAAUAGUACGCCUAACAUCUAGAAUAAUUAUGAAUGAAUACUAUACACUAAUCUGUAAGAGAGUUACGUUGCUGACAAUUUGAGUUUUAGUAAGAAACCAAGCGAUGAAGGCAAAGGCAAUAUAACUCUAAACUCUAUGAUAUAAACUCUCACAGUACAUACAUAAGAAUUGAAAAAUUGAUUAUAAAAUUCUUGUACGUACCCUUUCCGUGAAGAUACUAGUAGUUCUUUUGUAUCUCAUCAUGAAUUCAGGACAAUGGAAUAUCCUUAAUUCUUUCAAGGAUGGAAAUUCAAGAAUAUCAAGAUCUCCAGUGCAGAAGCUUGUGAACUUUUUAAGAUCAUACAUCUUCAGAUAUUGCAACUGGGGAAACGUUACAAUAUUAUUCUUCAUUUCUUCUUGGUUGUCCACGACUAUUAACUCUUCCAGGACAGGACAUACACUUAUAUCAAUGCGUUGGAGUCGAACAAAGCUACUAACGGUAGAAGAUGAAAAUAGACAUCUUAAAUUCAUACAGCCGAACAGGGUCAAGUGCGUUAAAUUCUGAAUACCACAAGACUUGACUGUAACUUGGUUCAGCCAAAUCCUCUCAACAUUUAUUGAACCCAACGUCAACUUCUCUAACUCUGGUAAUCGAACCUGCUCGAUCAAAAAAUCAACUCGUUAAUUACAAGCAACAAUGAUUUCUGUUGAUGGACAAAUCAAUAAAAUUACUCUUUCUCUGUUUAUAGUUCUUUUCAGUUUUUCAUACAAACAACCGUUAAUCAAGUUUUCCAAAUUAUUCCUUACUAAAUGUAUAGAUUUAGAGGGCGGCUAAUAUAAUUCAUAUUGCAAAUAUUCUUUGAUUGUAACGAAUUUUGUAAUAUUAAAUUUUGUUUGAUUCGCAAUAGGACCUACCAUCCAGCGCGAGCAGUUCUCGGGGAUUUAACUACUGGCACCUCGAUUAUAUAAAAAUUUGGAAUAUUUUCAAAGGAAAUCAAAUAAUUCCCCCUUGCCAAUAGUAAUUAUCAUUAAUUGCCGCGGGUUCACAUAUAAUUCUAAGAAAUUAGGCGAGAAGAGUCUCAUCAACAAUCAAUCAGCAGAUAUCACGUUCGGCAGAUCAUCAUGAUUUCCUCAGAUGCUAGAGAAUCAACGUGAUUUCCGCUCAUGCAGGAGUGGACACAUUAUCUUAGAGCAUCCCUUACUGAGAUCUUUUAAAAAAUUUAUAUUAUAAAGUGAACAACAUAUUUAGUAUAGAUUUAGACGGCGGCUAGUAUAAUUUAUCUGUAUUCUAAUGACGUAUAUUAAAGAAAAUGACUAACCAUAAUUUCAAUCAACUUAUUAGUCUAUAUAUAUAUAUAUAUAUAUAAAAUAUUCAGUGAUUACAACAUAUUUAGUAUUCCAUAACAUGAUGUUUAUAAUAAUAAUUAUUAUUAAUUCACUUAUUGUGUCAAGAACCUUUUCUUUCUCUAAGAAUGAAUUUGUUACACCCUACUAUACUACGGAUGAAAAAUUUAGAAUCAUUGUGAAAUGUGAUUAUUAAUCACUCUUUGCCAUAUUUGCUACCAAACAAGAAUGCAACAAAGAAAAAAAAAACAAAAAUUAUAGAGCAUUAAUAAGACCAUUGACUUAUCAAUAACUGACCUUCUCAGCGAAAAGUGUAUUAGAAAUUUGGACAUUGUCCUCCAAAAUGAUUUCAUGUGACCGCAAAUUAUUUGUUGAUUCCUCCUGUCUCUGCUAACAUUGCAGGUGUAUUGAUUUUAGAGUGUAAGCUUAAUUGUGAGCACAACCUUAAUGCAUAGAUACAAGAUCUUUAAAAAUUAGUACAAUAAACUUAGCACUAAAUCUAAAUUUGAUAUUUUGGAUUCCAUGAUUAAGAUUUUUUUUAAAUGAAAAUUUAAUAGGGUUAAUUUAAAAAUAAAAAUUAAAUAUGAAAAAUUAGACUUGCAAUUAUGGAUUUAAUUUUGAUAAAUAAUGAAUGUUCUCUUAAUAUUUUUUUUAAAAGGUAAAAGUGCGUGCAAAGCCCAAAUUCAUUUUUUUAGUCCCUUACUCUCCCAUGAUUCAAACUUGGGUGGUUGUGGGAGGACUGAAAAUAUAUAAGACCGUUAACUUCACUUUUUUUUUCUUUUUUUUUUUUUUUGUUGAGAGAAAAGAGAAGAAGGAUAUUACAAAGCAUGAAGCUCGUGCAAUAUAAGGACAAUUAUGGUUUUUUCUUUAAAUUAAAAUGGUAAGAUUUUGAAGCUAAAAGAUUAAAAUAUUAAUUAAAUUGCAACCAUUAAAGAUUUUUUUUUUCAAAUGGUUGCUUUGAAAAUGAGAAUAAUAUAAUAUUUGAAGACUUUUCAAAAUUAAUUACUGUGAUAGAUGCACUAGAAAUUUCUAGCUUUAGUCUAAUGUAUAAAUUGACAAAACGAUAUUAGAAUUCCAGGUGAAAAGAACCCUCUCAUACCAUUUUCUUAAAUUAGGAAUGAUCAUACCUCUGACUCUGCCGGACUGAGGGUGAGGUCUGAACCCCACAUCUCGAGACGCUUGAGAUGGGAAGAGCCCACAUUACGAAAAUAAUCGACAUCUUGCUCUUGCAAUCCACGUAAUUCAAGGUCUUCAAUUCUCUGCAGUUGCACGAUCAGCGAAUCCUUCAAGCAAAUGUUGUUAUUUAGCUGGAGACUGAAUUCACGAUACCAAAUGCCGGUGCUCUCCCAAUAGCCAACAUCUCCAAUGCGUAUGAUGUACCUUUCCAGCUUCUCCAAGAGCAGGCCUCUGGGCAGAGUGCUGACGUCAUAGACGUGUAAUUCCAAAGAGGUCAAGUUGGGCAAAUGCUUCAACUCCUCAAGGCUUGCAUUCUUAACCCCUUCUUCCACCUCCACCUCCCAUUUAUCAAAGCUUUCACCUAUAUAUAGUUCUUCUAAACGGGAUAAUUUUGACAGUAUAUUUGGUGGAAUAACUUCUAGUUCCUCACAAUCUCUCAAAUCAAGCAAAUUUAGCCAAGUCAAUUCACCUACUUCUGUUGGCAUCUGCUUAAUAUCGGAGCCUCUUAAGCAAAGGAUUUCUAGAUUCUUCUUCAAGUCUACUACAAAACUUAUAUCAGGCAAGCUGCAGCGACACAAACUCAGUGUUCGAAGGUUUGACAGGAGACCAAGUGAUGAAGGCAGUACCAUGUCAGUCAAGUUUACAACUCUGACCUCGAUCAUGCUCUUGAAAAAGUUGUCUGGAAUUGUUACUCGUGAAGAUUCCCAAGGAUCAUUACUUAGAAAAAGAAGUUCGAGUUGAGGACAUUCCAGUACUUCAGGAAGCAAAUUAGGCUUGAUAUCAUGUAAGACGAUUGAAGUGCAAUGCUUUAUUGCACUUCCGUCUGACCAUUCCCUGCAACCAUCAACCUGCUCAUUUGUAGCAGUAAACACAUUUCGUUCAGUAGAUGCAAUUGAUACGGCGACAUCGCGAACUACAUCAUGCAUAGAAAACAACUCUUUCUCCUGGCUUAUAUGGUCAAGCAACAUACAAGAAGCUUUGAGUGUGCGCACCAAUGUAUGUACUCGAUUUCGUGCUACUUCAAUCUUAUUCACACCUUGAAAUAAACCCAAUCCCAUACCACACAUUAACAAGUCAUCAAUAGAUGAUAUGGCUGUAUAUCCUAUUAGCAAAAAGAUGUUCUUGAGAUCAUCCCUUCCUAGUUUAUUGUAGCUCAACUCGAUAGCUUUAAAUGCGGCUGGCUGUACAUCCUUAAAAUUCGAUGAAGAAGGCCUUCUUAGCUGUUCCAAUGCAUCCUUCCAUUCACGUAUGCUGUUGCUCCUUAAUGCCCUUGCAACCGUCACAAUGGAAACUGGUAGACCUGCACAUUCCUCUGCCACAUUCCUUGCCACCUCUUCCAAUUCACUACCUUCAACAUAAUCACCUGCCAUCUUCUUGAAUAGACUCCAAGCUUCUUCUUCGUUUAAAACACCAACUGGGAAAUUUGUUCGACAAUCCAUCUUCUCAGACAAUACAUUUAGACUUCUGGCCGUCAACAAUACUUUACAACCAUCUCCAAGAGGAAUUCGGACAUUCCCCAAAUUAAGAUUCUCCCAAAUGUUGUCUAAAACUAUCAGGAUCUUCUUCACUUUUUUUAUACCUUCACAUAACCUGCCUGCCCUUCCUUCAUCACUUUCCUCAUGCAACUUCAGGCCUAAUUUAUCUGCAAUUACUCCUUGAAUCUUUCGUAUGUCUUGAUUCUGAGACACCUCAACAAAAACCACCUGAUCAAAGAGUUUGUCACUCUUGACUUUCCUAGCAACUUCUUCGGCCAGCGUCGUCUUUCCGAUUCCGCCCAUUCCAUAGAUCCCAAGCAUGUUGACAUCGCGAUCUUCUAGUGCACUGAGUAUACUCAUCAAAGUGGACAUUCUUGAUUCAAAGGGCUCGUAGUCUUUGCUAGGGAUAAGCCGAAUAUCCUCUGGAGCAGUACGGUAGGAAAUUCUAUCAAAUCUUCGAUCUUCUCGGACUUUGACAACAGCCUCCUUCUUCCUCUCUGCUUCCUUGCUAAGUCGACGGCGGGUCUUCAAAUUAGGACACAACCCCUUGAAACAACGUUUAGUUGCAGCGGCUUCAUCUUCUGUAAAUUUAUCUGCCUCUUCAAUGACUUUGUUGGCCCCUUCAAGCCAACUCCUAACGUUCUCUUCAAUUUCUUCCCCGUUUCGUUCAGCCUCAUCAACCUGGUGCUCUGUACGCACCCUCUCAGACUUUAGUUUCUCAACUUCAGUCUUGAGAUUCUGUAAGUUGCUCGUGUACUUACUCUCACGCAAAUAGCUAAUUUGGCGAUAUGCGGGAGGAGCCAAGCACUUCACAACUUCUACAACAAUAGUAAGAAUGAAAUCAGCCAUCUUCAGUCCUUUGUCCCUGUCUCUCGAUCUCUCUUUUUCUGAAUUUUUGAAAAACAAUUGACUAUUUAGGAAGCACACUGAGUGAUUGAACACAAGUGACUACAACAAGAUGGAACAAAAUAAAAAGGAAAAAAAUACAAAGAGUGGAUGGAGAAUAAAACAGAGACAGCGGCACAGCUGGACACAACUAGAUAGAGAACAGAGGAAAACCAAAUAACAAGACUGAAGAUUACAACAAACAGAGGCCAAGUAUUGUUGAGAUCAGAAGAUGGAAAAUUCAAAAGAGUUGAUGGCAGAUGCUGAAUAACAGAACAACAAUGAACGCAAUAAACAGAAGCAAAGUGUGUUUGCGAUCGACAGACGGAAGUAAGGAAAGCGGUUGUUGAUUGAAAAUGAAUGAAUGCAAAGAAAGACUGAUGUUGAAAAUUGAUGUCAAUAGCGAAGGAAUAAUUGAACUUUCGCUGAAUUAUUGUUUGUGGCCUUCUUUUACUUUUUAUUUGUGGGUCAUGUCUUUUGGAACUAAUCAUCUUAGCUUAUGCCUUACAGCUUUAAGGCCAGUAACCGGUGUCCGUUGGAUAAGCAUAUAGAAAUCCAACGGUGGAUAUAUAUCCUUGCAGAACAAAAUUCAACAGCAACACCCCAACUUUAAAUAUGAUUAUCUGUUGGGGAGUGCUGGGCUGCAGUUUCUUAAGGAGAUUUAUAUAUCCUCCUCAAAAAUAAAUGUUUUAAGAUAGAUAUUUAGACUAUUUCAUCAUAAAAUAAAUGUAAUUAAUUUUUUUUAUAAAUAUUUAUUUAUUUUUUUAAUUACUAAUGACCUUUGAAUAUACAUAUCACUAAUUCAAAAAAUAAAUUGUGAUUAUUUGUUAAUGUAUGCGAUUACUUGUGAUGGUAAACUUUUGAAGUUAAAUUAAAAAAAAAAAACAGAGCUUUUACCAUUACUUGCUUUAUCAUCUUUUAAAUUAGAAUUAUUAUUCUUUUAUUUUUUUCAAGUUGCCAACUCAUCCGCAUUCUUUUUUAUUGAAUUUGAAGAUCAAUGAUUAUAAAUUUGUGUAAAAAUUUUAAGCCAAAAUUUUAAAUUAAAAUAAUCAUUAACUUAUUGGAAAAUAAUAACUUGGUAUAACAAAUAUUAUAUCCUAUACUUUAUUGCUACAAGAUUACAAAACCUUAUAUUAUAUUAUGUUUCCAUAUUUCUCCUUUAUAGUAAAGACUCAUACUUCUUCUCUAGUAGAUGUUAAAGUAUUGGCUUAAACUUUUUAACCAGCACAGUAGACUAUUAAGCUAUAUAUGCUAUAAUGUCCCUCUUUCCUCACAGAUUAAACCAAUCUAAUCUCAGAGUGAGUUGAUACCAUGAGUUUGCAUUUGUCAUCAAAGGAGCAUCAUUAUUAAUUAAUAUAGGUUCGAUCAAUAGGUAUGAUAAUAAAUUUUUUUAUCUACAAAUACUAUUUUUCAAAAUAUUAUAUCUUUAGACUUAACUAAAUAUCUUCUAACCAUAUAUGUACAGUUUGUUUGAUCUCUUUUAAAUAUUGGAGAUUACAACAGAACAGAUGCGAAUUAGCAGUGACGCUGAGUUUAGAAGAUUGAAAUUAAGAAAAUUAAGGAAAGGAUAAGGAUGUAUUUUCAAAGUGAAUUAUUGAGAGAUCUUUGAAGAUUACUUCCGUCAAGAGCUGGGUCCCAUACUCUUUCGCCUUUGUCCUCCAGUCAACCAUAAGACAAAUUAUUAUUGAGUGUAAACGGACUUAUUAACCACCAAAUUUUCAAACUUGUGAUCCUUAUUGAAUCUGCAUUCCCCUUUACAAAAGUAAAAAAAAAAAAGUGCAAAUAACGAAAAAAAAUUUUGUUCCUUGACUGCAAGUGCUGUCGACAUUUUCAGACUUGUAAGACCCUUCUACUUGCAAGAUGCCACUGAAUUUGUCUUUUUUUUUUUUUAAAUUACACUAUACUAUUUUAUAUUUUAUAAAAAAAUUUAAUAGAUAUUAUAAGUUACAAAUUUUUAUAUUUAAUAUUCUCAAAAUAAAUUAUUAAAUAAAUGAUUCAUUUACUAUUUUUUCCUUUAAAUUUUUGUUAUUAAAAAGAUUUUUGGAUAUUGAACGUGAAGGGCUCAACUGAUCGCUAAUUUUGCAGCAAUUGCCCUUUUCUUUCUCCCCCAAUUGUUUUGAAAAAUAUCCAGACUCAUUCAGCGAAGUAUCCGAGGCCAAAGGGCUAAAAGAUGGGACACCCGCAUGUGCUUCUAAUUACAAAAUCUAAAGUUAGGGGGACCAUAACUUACAUUUAAUAUAAUUUAUGAUAGGGGUCCGCCUAUGUUACCACUGUACAAUAAGUUUGGUCUUUUCUGACUCAGUUGUGAUGAGCCCCUUGUACUCGAUAUUAUUUACUAUUUAUUUAUAAGUAUUAUAAAAAUUUUUGCUUACUUAUUAUAUAAAAAUUUAAUUGGUUCCCUUACACUCUUAUUCAUUUACUAUUUUUUUGUAGUAUCAAAAGAAUUUAUAUUUACAACCACGAUACAUUAAUUAUCAUAACACUCUAAUAUUAAUAAAAAGACAAAGACAUCCUUAAAUUAAAACAAAAAAAAUACUUUCUUCUUUUGAGGAAUUACGGUAUCUCAUUUUCCACCACUCAUUAUCAACAAAAUUUUUAAGGAUAUAACCAUUCAUCUUCUUUAUAAUAUCAUCUCGCAAUAAUUAAUACUUUCAUGAAAAAAUAAUUAACAAAAUAAAAAAAUAAAUUCCCAUUGAAUACAUCCCUCUCCACUAUUAAUUUCUCUUCAUCAAUAACCUUUAUCGACAAUUAAAACCACCAUUAGACUCAUCAUAAAGAGAGAGUAAGAGAAAGAAAGAAGAAACGAGAAAAAAUAUAUGAACCUUUUAUAAUUUUAUAGUGCGUUCACUAAACGAGAAUCGAAAUGAGGUGAAAUCAAAACGAGAAAUUAAGGGCCCGUUUGGUAUUGUUUUUGAAUCUGUAUUUUCUGAGAAUAAAAAUGAAAAUGAAAAUGGUGUUUUGCAGUUGCUGUAUUUUGAAUUUAAGUAUGCGUCUGGUAUUAUUUUCUGUAUCCUGUAUUUUAAAACUGAAAACAGUAACAUGCGUUCGGUAGACACAGUCGAAAAUGAUAAAAACAGAGAAUAUGCGUUCGGUAAUACUUUUUUCAAAAACAGUUUUUACUAUUAACCAUUUACAUCAUAUUUAUAGUUAUAAAAUAAUUAUUUAGCUAAUACAUACACAAAUACAACAUAAUAAUUUAAAACAAAAUUAUUAUAAAAAAUUUACAUGAUGAUAAAGUUUUAGAAUUAACAUUAAUUAAAAAAAAUUACAUUGUCAUUGUUUUUACAUCAUAAUUAAGAUAUAUAUUACAACACAUGAUUUAAACAAAAUAAUUAUAAAAAAAAUACAUGAUAGACAUUAUACAUUACGUAUGUAAUUAUGCCACAUAGAAGUUGCAAUUCUAUCUCUUGUAGCACUCAUCUCGGCGACACUUGCUGGAGAUAAAUCAAUAUUAGUAAGUGGCCUACUAGUGUCUCCUUCUUCGAUGGUAACCAAAUCUUGUACAUCAAAGUCCCCAAAUAACCUAUCACUUGCAUUUUCUCGUCGAAUAAAGUUAUGUAAAGCGCAACAUGCAAUUGGAAUUAGACGUUGCUUACGUAAACUAUAAUUAUGCAUAUCCCUUAAAAUUGAAAAUCGCGCUUUUAAAACACCAAAGCAUCGCUCAAUUACAUUACGCAAUGAUGAAUGUCUGUAAUUAAACAAUUCUUGGGGACCUCUAGGUGCUCGACCUGAUCCUCUAUAAUCACGUAAAUGAUAUCUCUCACCUCUAUAUGGUGUCAAAAAUCCUUUCAUAUUUAUGUAUCCAGAAUCCACAACGUAGUAAUAUCCUAAAAUAUAGAAACAAUAAAACAUAACUUAAUUAAAAAAUAAAGGCCAAAGAUAUUAACACACACACACACACACACACAAACAUAUAUAUAUAUAUCUCAAUAUUCUUACCUUCUUCCGGACGUGGAAACCCAGAUUCUGGUCUAUUUAAGGCAUCCAUAAACACCCUUGAGUCAUUGGCGGUACCUUCCCAACCCGUAUAUACAAAUGUGAACAUCAUGUCAAAAGAACAUGCACACAUGAUAUUUUGAGUCACCUGAGUCUUUCUAUCUCGAUAUGAUAUCUGUUUAUGUGCAGGUGACCAUGCAGCAAUGUGGGUUCCAUCAAUUGCACCGAUACACUUCUGUGAAAAUAUGUCAAAAUUAUUAAUUUAUUAACCAAAUGUUAAUGUCACAUAAACUUUGAAGUAACAUGUAUUGAAUUUCUUACCUCAAAAUAUGGAAAAAAAUUUGGAUUGUUACUAAUCUCUGAUGGCGUUUCCCCUUGAGGUUUUGGUUUUAUAAUGUGAUUUGCCAAUUGACAAAGUGCUUUUAAAACACGCUUAAAGUGUGAAAAAACAGUAUCCCCUGAACGUUGAAAACGCUCAGAUACAACCCUCACAACAGCACCAUGGGACAAUACAUACAAGCACAUUGCUACAGCCUCCUUGAUACAAACAUGUCUAUCAUUCUCUAAUAACUGUAGAUGUUCAAGUGUAUAACAUAAUCAAAUAAGUGUAUAAAUAAAACCAAAAAAUAUUAUUUUAAUUUAAUACGAAACUAUUUAAUAUACUACAAAUAUAGUUUUACCUUAAUAUAUUCAGCCCAAACAGCUUCCGAUGCUGUGACCGUAUUUGAAACAUGAUCCCAACCAAACCCGGUAUGAGCUACUAAGUCAGAAAACUCUCGAUGUUUUUUGCGCAACCUAUUAAACUUGGACUUAAGUUGCCCUACAUUGAAUCUUUUUUGGCAUUGUUCUAACAUCUCAUCACUUAUAGUGUUCCAAAUUUUCUUAGUGAAAGUUGAUGUUUGUAAAUCACCCUUUUUAACAUGGUCAUGUACAAUACGAAUAAAAACGGUUUCGGUCCGGCUAGACCAAUCAGCCUUAUCCUCAACAUCAACAUCAUGUGAAUCCAUAUCUUGAAAAAUUAGAAAAAAUAACACAUAUCAAAUAAUGAUCAAAUUCAACAUAACAUAUACAUAUUUCAGCAACAUGUCAUACAUUAAAAACUGAAUGGUACCAAAAAAAAAUAAAAAAUAAAACAUAUAUCAAAUAUUAAUCAAAUUAAAAACACUGCUAUUAAAUUUUUAGAUAUAAACAUACAAUUUUCAGUACAUGCUAUUAAUCCCCCACUAAAUUUCAGUAAUGUAAUCAACAUAAAGGUUGCAUUGCUAUGACUUUUUGCAUUAAUAUUGAUAACUAAAAGCCUUAACUUGCUUUUUGAACUUGGUUAUUUGUUACUCAAUGCAGACAGCUUACAACUUGAAGAUUUGGGAAUCAUUUACCACGGAAAUACCCACCCAGGUAUUUGGUAUGCUAGUGUAGUGUUUUUGGGAACAAUUUAGUCAUCAAGAUGUCUGGUUAUGGUGUAGCUAAUACCAAAAUUUGUAGAAGUAUCUAAAUAAAAAUAAAAUGUGCUCUUUAUUUUGCUAAUAUUUUUUGUUCUAGUAAUUUCAUAGAAUUUAUAUUGGUACAGAGAUAGCUAUGUCUCAAGCCUAUAGUAAUUGCAAUUUUCUAAAUGGCUCAGCGUCUUUCCUUGGUCUGAGGAACAAACAUGGGGAUGAAACAAAAAUCUGGCAUCAGAAUCCAUAUGCUGGCUAUUUUUAACAUUGCUUUUUUGGGUUUCAGCUAUCAUAGUCUAGAGUACUUUUGCACGGUUAAUUAAGUUAAUAACAGUGGAAAGUUUUCCAAUCAGCAUAAAGGAAUUCCCACAAGAAAUUGUUUGUUUUAAUAGAUUUAAUCUCUAAAAUAAAUGAGGAAAAAUUUCAGCUCAUAAAUAAACAAUUUGUCACUACAUAUGAACAACCUCAGAAAUUUCCAGAAUUAAAAAUCACUCAAAUCAUCUCUAAAAAUUUUCAGUUCAUAAACAAAAUAAAUACCAGCAAGUGACAGAUCCGGGAGAGCAACAAUGGUUGGGCAAGUGCAGAUCCGAGAGAGCAAGUGCACCGAGAGAGCAAGUGCAGAUCCGAGAGAGCAAAGACGAAGUAGCAGCAGCUGGACGGAGUCGGAGUAGCAGCAGCUGGACGGAGUCGGAGCAGCAGCGGUUACAGCGGAGAAAGAGCAGCGGCAGUGGCUAGCACACCAAGAGCGACCAAGAGAGAGAUUUGCUGCAACUGGAUUGAGAAAAUUGAGGGGAAAGAGGGUGCUGCAGUGAACUGGAUUGAGAGUGAGGGUUGCAGUGAAGAGAAAAGUGAGGGCUGCAGGGUCACGAUUUUUUUGUUGUUUUUUAAUUCAUUUUUAGGUUUAGUUUGUAAAAUUUGGAAAACAUGUUUAACUUGUUUUCAGUUGUAUAGUUAUAAUAAUGAAUCCGGAUUUUAUGUUUUGUAAUUUAUUUUGUGAAACAAAUCUACCGAACAUGUUUUAUGUGUGUAUUAUAAAAAUGAAAACGAAAACAUGGCUUGCAAAACGGUACCGAACGGGCCCUAAGUUAUCUGACAUCAGAUGACCGCUGUCAUCUGACCAAACCCCAGCAACCAUGGGAAAAAUCACCUACUUGUUUUAGGAGCAGGAGCAGGAGCAGGAGGAGGAAAUUAAGUUAGGGAUUUGGAGUGAUAGGGAAAAAGCUGAUUGUUGAGAAAUAUAUAUACCUUUUGUAUGGUUGUGUUAAGGUCGCCCUUCCAAGCCCAACUUGCUUCACUCCGCCGCUGCACUUCGUGUAAUUUGGGUGUACUUAAAUUUCCUUCAGAGAAAAUCUUCAUAUCGGGGCAAUCAUCCACCACUAAUCUUUCCAAAGAUGGGAACUUGAAAGCACAAUUGCCAGAGCAGAAGCUUGUCAAACUUUUUAAGUCUAAAAGCUUCAACUCCUUCAAUUCUCUGAAAGUAAUAACCUCAUCUUUUGCCACAACAUCAUCCACCAGUACUAUUUCUGUUAUCAUAACGCAUGAUUUUAUCUUCAUAUAUCUAAGUCGCACCAGAGACUUUGCAAUUGAGGAUGUUAAUACGAUUUUCAAUCUUUCGCAACUGAAUACCACCAGAUUUGUAAGAUUCUGAAAGGAUGUCGACGAUGGCACUAGAUUGACCAAACGGUCACACCCCUUUACACGUAGAAUAACCAAGUUGUUCGUAACAGAGGACUCCCUUAUCAAAAUGUUCUCCAGAUGAUAACAAUUAUUUGCUUCACUUAUUUCUACUGCCAUACCAUUUUCAACCUUCUCUUUCGGCGACCGGCCACCAUAUCCUUGUAUUUGGAGGACUUUCAUUGUGUGAAGUCUCUGGAGGAAGUCAUCAAGUGAUACAAUAGUCGGCUCAUCAACCAACUCCACAAAAAGAUAUUUUAGUUUGCAAAGCAAGUCUUCAAAAAAUAGAUAUUUAUUUGUUCCUAUGUACUUUGCAUCAACUUUCAACUCUUCCAAAUUAGGGAAUACCUGGGAGAUCGAUCAGAACCAAAAAAAAAAAAAAUACAAGAUGAAUCAGUUGAUGAGAAUUAUAAGUUACCACUAAUUUAUACAAUAUAUUUUAUUCAAUAAAUCAAUAAAUACAAGAUAAACUUUCACAGUACGUACAUAAGAAUUGAAAAUUUGAUUAUAAAAUUCUUGUACGUACCCUUUCUGUCGAGAUAUUAGUAGUUUUUUCGUAUCUCACCAUGAAUUCAGGACAUGCAGAUAUCCAUAAUUCUUCCAAGGAUGGAAAUUCAAGAAUAUCAAGAUCUCCAGUGCAGAAGCUUGUGAACUUUUCAAGAUCAGACAUCCUCAGAGAUUGCAACUGGGGAAACGUUACAAUAUUAUUCUUCAUUUCUUCUUGGUUGUCCACGACUAUUAACUCUUCCAGGACAGGACAUUUGACUAUCAUAACGUGUUGGAGUCGAACAAAGCUACUAACUGUAGAAGAUGAAAAUAGACAUCUUAAAUUCAUACAGCUGUACAGGGUCAAGCGCGUUAAAUUUUGAAUACCACAAGACAUGACUGCAACUUGGUUCAGCCAAAUCCUCUCAACAUUUAUUGAAUACAACAUCAACUCCUCCAAAUUUGGUAAUGCAACCUGCACGAUCAAAAAAUUAACUUGUUAAUUACAAGCAACAAUUAUUAAUCACUCUUUGCCAUAUUUGUUACCAAACAGGAAUAUAACAAAGAAAAAAAAACAAAAAUUAUAGAGAAUUAAUAAGACGAUUGACUUAUUAAUAACUGACCUUCUCAGGGAAAAGCGUAUUAUAAAUUUGGACAUUGUCCUCCAAAAUGAUUUCAUGUGACUGCAAAUCAUUAUCUGAUUCCUGUUGUCUCUGUUGACGUUGCAGGUGUCUUGAUUUUAGAGCGUAAGCCUAAUUGUGAGCACAAUCUUAAUGCAUAGAUACAAGAUCUUUAAAAAUUAGUAUAAUAAACUUAGCACUAAAUUCAAAUUUCAUAUUUCGGAUUCCAUGAUUAAGAUUUUUUAAAUAAAAAUUUAAUAGAGUUAAUUUAAAAAUAAAAAUUAAAUAUGAAAAAUAAACUUGCAAUUAUGGAUUUAAUUUUGAUAAAUAAUGAAUGUUCUCUUUAUAUUUUUUUUAAAAGGUAAAAGAGCAUACAAAGCCCAAAUUCAUUUUUUUAGUCCCUUACUCUCCCUUGAUUCAAACUUGGGUGGUUGUAGGAGGACUGAAAAUAUAUAAGACAGUUAACUUCACUUUUUUUUUUCUUUUUUUUUUGUUGAGAGAAAAGAGAAGAAGGAUAUUACAAAGCAUGAAGCUCGUGCAAUAUAAGGGCAAUUGUGGUUUUUUCUUUAAAUUAAAAUGGUAAGAUUCUGAAGCUAAAAGAUUAAAAUAUUAAUUAAAUUGCAAACAUUAAAGAUUUUUUUUUUCCAAAAUUGGUUGCUUUGAAAAUGAGAAUAAUAUAAUAUUUGAAGACUUUUCAAAAUUAAUUACUGUGAUGCACUAGAAAUUUCUAGCUUUAGUCUAAUGUAUAAAUUGACAAAACGAUAUUAGAAUCCCAGGUGAAAAGAACCCUCUCAUACCAAUUAUUUAAAUUAGGAAUGAUCAUACCUCUGACUCUGCCGGAUUGAGGGCGAGCCAGAGACGCUUGAGAUGGGAAGAGCCCACUUUGACUAAUUCAUUACGAAAAUAAUCGACAUCUUGCUCUUGCAAUCCACAUAAUUGAAGGUCUUCAAUUCUCUGCAGUUGCACGAUCAGCGAAUCCUUCAAGCAAAUCUUGUUAUUUAGCUCGAGACUGAAUUCACGACACCCAAUGCCGGUGCUCUCCCAAUAGCCAUCAUCUCCAAUGCGUAUGCUGUACCUUUCCAGCUUCUCCAAGAGCAGGCCUCUGGGCAGAGUGCUGACGUCACGGGCGCGUAAUUCCAAAGAGGUCAAGUUGGGCAAAUGCUUCGACUCCUCAAGGCUUGCAUUCUUAAUCCCUUCUUCCACCUCCACCUCCCAUUUAUCAAAGCUUAUACGACCUAUAUAUAGUUCUUCUAAACGGGAUAAUUUUGACAGUAUAUUUGGUGGAAUAACUUCUAGGUCCUCACAAUCUCUCAAAUCAAGCAACUUUAGCCAAGUCAAUUCACCUACUUCUACCGGCAACUUCUUAAUAUCAGAAUCUCUUAGGCAAAGGAUUUCUAGUUUCUUCAAGUCUCCUACAACACUUAGAUCAGGCAGGUAGCACCAACACAAACUCAGUGUUCGAAGGUUUGACAGGAGACCAAGUGAUGAAGGCAGUGACCGUAGAUCCAUGUCAGUCAAGUUUACAACUCUGACCUGUAUCAUCCUCUCGAAAAAGUUGCUUGGAAUUGUUAAUGAUGAAGAUUCCCAACGACCAGCACUUAGAAACAGAAGUUCGAGUUGAGGACAUUCCAGUACUUCAGGAAGCAAAUUAGUCUUGAUACCAUGCAAGACGAUUGAAGUGCAAUGCUUUAUUGCACUUCCGUCCGACCAUUCCCUGCAACCAUCAACCUGCUCAUUUGUAGCAGUAAACACAUUUCGUUCAGUAGAUGCAAUUGAUAUGGCGACAUCGCGAACUACAUCAUGCAUAGAAAACAACUCUUCAUCCUUGCUUUCAUGGUCAAGCAACAUACAAGAAGCUUUGAGUGUGCGCACCAAUGUAUGUACUCGAUUUCGUGCUUCUUCAAUCUUAUUCACGCCUUGAAAUAAACCCAAUCCCAUACCACACAUUAACAAGUCAUCAAUAGAUGCUAUGGCUGUAUAUCCUAUUAGCAAAAAGAUGUUCUUGAGAUCAUCCCUUCCUAGUUUAUUGUAGCUCAACUCGAUAGCUUUAAAUGCGGCUGGCUGAACAUCCUUAAAAUUCGAUGAAGAAGGCCUUCUUAGCUGUUCCAAUGCAUCCUUCCAUUCACGUAUGCUGUUGCUCCUUAAUGCCCUUGCAACCGUCACAAUGGAAACUGGUAGACCUGCACAUUCCUUUGCCACAUCCCUUGCUACCUCUUUCAAUUCAUUACCUUCAACAUAAUCACCUGCCAUCUUCGUGAAUAGACUCCAAGCUUCAUCUUCUUUUAAAAAUCCAACUGGGAAAUUUUUUCGAGACUCCAUCUCUCCAGACAAUGCUUGUUCACUCCUUGCCGUGAACAGCACUUUAAUUCCAACAUCCAACAAAUCAAGAUUUUCCCAAAUAUUAUCCAAGAUUACAAGGAUCCUCUUCUCUUUCUUCAGUCGAUCAUAGAGUCUUCUUGCCCUACCCGAUUCACUCUCCUCAUCAAAUUUUAGACCUAGUUUAUCCGCGAUUUCUCCUUGAAUCUUUCUUACGUCUCGACUCUCAGACACCUCAGAAAAAACCACCUGAUCGAAAAGCUUGUCACACUCUGCUUUUCUGGCAACUUCUUUAGCUAGCGUCGUCUUUCCGAUUCCGCCCAUUCCAUAAAUCAAAAGCAUGUUGACAUUGGGAUUUUUUAAUGCAUCAAUUAUUUCAUUCAGAAUGGACGUUCUUGAUUCAAAGGCCUCGAAGUCUUUGUUAGGCAUAAGCAAGGUAUCCUCCGGAAUGAUGCUGUAGGAAAUACUAUUAACUGGUCUAGCGUCCAGGACUUUGACAACAGCCUCCUUCUGCCUCUCUGCUUCCUUGCUAAGUCGAGGGCGGGUCUUCAAAUUAGGACAUAACCCCUUGAAACAACGCUUAUUUGCAGUGGCUUCAUCUUCUGUAAAUUUAUCUGCCUCUUCAAUGACACUGUUGGCCGUUGCAAGCCAAUUCUCAACGUUCUCUUCAAUCUCUUCUCCUUUUCUUUUAGCCUCAUCAACCUGGUGCUCUGUACUCACCCUCUCAGACUUUAGUUUCGCAACUUCAGUGUUGAGAUUCUGUAAGUUGCUCGUGUACUUACUCUCACGCAAAUAGCUAAUUUGGCGAUAUGCGGGAGGAGCCAAGCACUUUACAACUUCUAAAACAAUAGUAAGAAUGAUUUCAGCCAUCUUCAGUCCUUUGUCCUUGUCUCUCUAUCUCUUUUUUUCUGAAUUUUGGAAAAACAAUUCAACAAGUGACCACAACAAGAUGGAACAAAAUAAAAAGGAAAAAAAAUACAAAGAGUGGAUGGAGAAUAAAACAGAGACAGCGGCACAGCUAGACGCAACUAGAUAGAGAACAGAGGAAAACCAAAUAACAAGACUUAAGAUUACAACAAACAGAGGCCAAGUAUUGUUGAGAUCAGAAGAUGGAAAAUUCAAAAGAGUUGAUGGCAGAUGCUGAAUAACAAAACAACAAUGAACGCAACAAACUGAAGCAAAGUGUGUUUGUGAUCGACAGACGAAAGUAAGGAAAGUGGUUGUUGAUUGAAAAUGAAUGAAUGCAAAGAAAGACUGAUAUUGAAAAUUGAUGUCCAUAGCGAAGGAAUAAUUGAACUUUCGCUGAAUUAUUGUUUGUGCCUUCUUUUACUGUUUAUUUGUGGGUCAUGUCUUUUGGAACUAAUCAUCUUAGGUUAUGCCUUAUAGCUUUAAGGCCGGUAAACCGGUGUCCGUUGGAUUAGCAUAUAGAAAUCCAACGGUGGAUAUAUAUACUUGGAGAAUAAAAUUCAAGAGCAAAGGGAGUGCUGGGCUGCAGUUUCUUAAGGAGAUUUAUAUAUCCUCCUCAAAAAUAAAUAUUUUAAGGUAGGUAUUUAGACUAUUUCAUCAUAAAAUAAAUGUAAUUAAUUUUCAUAAAUAUUUGAUAUCAAUAUUUAUUUAUUUUUUUAAUUACUGAUGACCUUUGAAUAUUCGAUACAUAUUAUUAAUUCAAAAAAAAAAUUGUGAUUAUUUAUUAAUGUUUGCGAUUACUUGUGAUGGUAAACAAAGUAGAUAUGGUAUAUUUUGAAGUUAAAUUAAAAAAAACAGAGCUUUUACCAUUACUUGCCUUAUCAUCUUUUAAAUUAGAAUUAUUAUUCUUCUAUUUUUCAAGUUGCCAACUCAUUGUCUUUUAUUGAAUUUAACGAUCAAUGAUCAUAAAAUUGUGUAAAAAUUUUAAGUCAAAACUUUAAAUUAAAAUAAUCUUUAAGUUAUUGAGAAAUAAUAACUUAAUAUAACAAAUAUUAUAUCCUAUACUUUAUUGCUACAAAAUUACGAAACUUUAUAUUAUGUUUUCAUAUUUCACCUUUAUAGUGACGACUCAUGCUUCUUCUCUAAUAAAUGCUAAAGUAUUGGCUUGAAUUUUUUAAUUAGUACAGUAGAACCUUAAGCUAUAUAUACUAUAAUGUCCCUCUUCUCUCACAGAUUAAACCAAUCAGAUCUCAGAGUGAGUUGAUACCAUGACUUUGCAUCAUUCAUGAUCAAAGGAGCAUCAUUACUAACUAAUAUAGGCUCGAACAAUAGGCAUGAUAAUAAUUUUGUUUAUCUACAAACACUAUUUAACUCUAUCUCUUUUCUCUCCCCCACGCGAAGACUACUCCUUUCUCUUUGGCUAAUUUUUAAAAACCUCCCCUGAGGUUUGGACUUGUUGCAAGUAGAUGGCGAGAAUUUGUUUAUUUGUAAAAAACCCCCUACCGUCAAUUAACUUUAACAUUGACCGUUAGUUGACUGUGCAAAGAUAAUAUUACCCUUAACAAUAGUUUGUAGACGGAAAUAACUAAAAAAAAAUUUAAAAUUAUUGGCUAUUUUAUCCUCUUUAAAUUAUUGAUAUUUUCUUAAAGUUCCUACAAGAAAGAUAAAAUUUAAAAUUUAAAAUUUAAAAAAUCCUCUUUAAAUUAUUGAUAUUUUCUUAAAGUUCCUACAAAAAAGAUAAAAUUAAAAACUUGAAAAUGAAAUAGUUAUAAUCUUUACCCAUAAUAUUGUAAAUCUUUAGAAUUGACAAAGAUAAAAUUGUCAAAAAAUAGGGUUUGUGCUUUUCGCGCCAAUAAUUUUAAUUUUUUUUUAGUUAUUUCCGUCUAUAAACUGUUGUUAAGGGUAAUAUUAUCUUUACACAGUCAACUAACGGUCAAUAUUAAAGUUAACUGACGAUAGAGGGUUUUUUUAUAAAUAAAUAAAUUUUCGCCAUCUACUUGCAACAAGCCCAAACCUAAAGGACGUUUUUAAAAAUUACCCUUUCUCUUUUGACAUUUUUUACGCGUUUCUCUUUUCUCUUCCCCCACGUGAACACUUUUGCCUUUUGCUCGUUCACGUGAAAGUCGGUUUAGAAUUUUGAUCUUAUUUCACAAAGCUAAUUUUUUAUCACAAGCAGGAGAGAAACGGCAUUUCUUAGCAGUAGUUCAUCACUGUAGUGGCGAGCUAGUGAGGAACAAAAUUACCAACAAUUAUAAAAAAAUAAUUAUAAAAAAAGAUCACAUGCUAUAAUUAAUCAUGACCAUUGACAACAUUACUCCCACCGAGCAAAAGUUAACAGCAUCUUCUCCCACAUUUAAAAAAAAAAUAGUAUUAUAUAACCCACCAAAAGUAUAAAGAGUCUUUCUUUAUUAAAAUUAAUAAAUUACUCUUUAUAUUGAGAAAUUAAAAUUUAAAAUAAAAAUAAUUGAUAUGUUUAUUAUUUAAAAUAAAAAUAAAAAUAAAAUUUACAAAAUCAUAUAUUUUUAAAAUUAAAGAAUAAGAAUUUAAUUUCUUAUGGAGAGUGUUGGAAAUCAAGUUCUUAUUGCUUAAACUCCUAAUUUUACCUCACAAAAAUUUUAUAAGUUCACUUUUAUCCUUAAUUAAAAUAUUAUUAUGUUAUUAUUAUGGUUAUUAUUCUUAUUUUUGUAGUAGUUGCUGCUGUUGUUGUUGAUGAUGAUAAUAGUUGAUAAUAAAAUUAAUAAUAAUAAUGAAAAUAAUAACUAUAAUUUUAACAGCUACAAUAAUAAUCAUUAAUAUUAUUGUUGUCGUUCUUAUUAUUAUUAAUAAAAAAUAAUUAUUUUGAAUAAUAAUAAUCACAAUUAUUAUAACAAACAACGACAAUAAUCAACUAAUGUCAUUGUAAUAACUUGUAACAAUUCAUUUUUUAUUUCAAGACAAAGUAACCAUAUCAAUAAUAAUAUAGGUUAUUUCGAUUCUAAUUCUUACAAGUAAAAUAAAUAAUUUAUUCUGAUUCUCAUUUUUCAUUUUGAUUUUAUUCUAUUCUGAUUCCAGUUGAUUCUGAUUCCAGCCAAUUCAAAUUACCAACUAGAAAAUGCAUUGUUACUACUUUAAUAAUAACUAAUGAUUCUCCUCACAAUUCUUAUAGGAUUAUCCUUAUUUUAAAAUAAUUUUUUAUUCAUAUUUAUCAUAAAUUAAUUAAAUUAUACCAAUGAAAAUUAAAAAAAAAAGAGAAAACAUAUGUUUCGGUUUGAAUAAAAAAUUAAUAAUAAAAUAUUUUCCUUAUAUAUUUUUAAUAUUUUUAUUAUAAUAAAUAUUUAUUUUAUAUUCUUAAAAUAAAUUAUUAAGUAAACGAUUCAUUAACUCAUUUUUUUCCUUUAAAUUUUUGUUAUUAAGAAGAUUUUUGGGUAUUGACCGUGAAGGGCUCAACUGAUCGCUAAUUUUGCAGCAAUUGUCUUUUCUUUUUCUUUUUUUUAAUUGUUUUGAAAAAAAUAUUCAGACUCAUUCUGCAAAGUACCUAAGGCCAAAGCGCCGAAAGUUAGGACACCCACAUGUGCUUUUAUUCACAAAUUCUAAAAUUAGGUGGGGUGUCCAUAACGUACGUUUAAUAUAAGAGAAAUGCUAAAGGUCGGGAAUGCUGAGAGAACACUGAGAGAAACGGCAGCUUGGGCUGCCGUUUCGUGUUCUCUCACCUCCCUACUAAGAAAACGAGCCUCCACGUGUUCUCUCAGCUCCCCACUACUUCAGCUCAAGUUACUUUUGUCAAAAGUUGGCGUUUGGCCCCACACUCAAAACACUUUUGCCAAGUGAAUUGUGCCCCCCACGUGAAAGUUUGAGUUAUUUCUUUGCUCAUGACCAAGUAAAGCUAAGUUAAGUUUGAGUUCUCUCCUUACUCCUUCACUCGUUCACUUCUCCUUCGUUUCUCGUUCACUUUUUUGCUCAUCAAAAACCAUUACUUCAGCUCAUCCAAUCAGUGAAUUAGUGGCCAUUACUUCAGCUAAUUCAUUUUCCGAUCUAGAUCUUGAAGCAACACCCAAUUGGUAAUUAUCUCAGCUUAAAGAAUAAUUUUUUAUGUGUUUAUUAUUUUUUUGUUAUAUCAUAAUAAUAGAAAUGUCCUUGCAUUUACUGAUUAAAUGAUAAUGUGUUUAAUUUAUAAUUUUUUAGAAAUCUUUUUAUUUAAAUGAUAUGUUUGAUUUAUAAUUUUUUAAUUUAAAUUUUGUUUGAACAUAGAAUUAUUUUUAAUUUAAAUUGUGUUCGAUUUAUAAUUUAUUUAAUUUAAAUUUUUAGAACUUUAAUGGAUUAAAUUAUUACUGGAAAAAUGUAUAAUAAUUUAUUCUUAAUUUAAAUGUUGUUUCCACAUUGAAUUUUUUAUUUAAAUUGUGUUCGAUUUAUCAUUUUUUAAUUUAAAUUGUUAGAACUUUAAUGGAUUAAAUUAUUGCUGAAAAAAUUUAUAAUAAUUUAUUCUUAAUUUAAAUUUUGUUUCCACAUUGAAUUUUUUUAUUUAAAUUGUGAUUUAUCAUUUUUAUUUAAAUUGUGUUCGAUUUAUUUAUUUUUAUUUAAAUUGUGUUCGAUUUAUCAUUUUUUAUUUAAAUUUUUAGAAUUUUAAUGGAUUAAAUUAUUACUGGAUGGUGUUUGUAUAAAUUGAUCUUACAUUUUGCUUAAUACGAAUAUUAAUUAUUUUGUUGAAAUUGAUAAUUUGAAACAUGAAGAUGGAGUCAAAGAUGCGCAAUCGGAAAAAUAUGAGCCGACUCUUGGGAUGUUAUUUGAUAGCCAUAAGAAAAUGUGGUAAUUUUCAAUAUACUUAAGUAUCGUCAUCAUAUACUUAAUUCUUUCAUUUUCAAUCUUUAUUAUUAUUAUUUUUAAUAUUGGGUUCCAUGAGGAUAUUAUAUGCAAUUUUCCAUGACAUAAAUCAAUACAAUAAUGGCAAUAAAAAACUUAUAACAAUAACUUGAAUCUUAUAUUUAGAGGGACAGUACAAUCAUAUAUGUCUACAAACCAUACAAAAUAAAUAAUUGUACAAAUUAAAACAACUUAUAAAUAAAACUUUAAUAUAAAGCAUAACACAAUAAUCAUCAAGGGAACGGUGAACAUGGAGGAACGCAAAUGGAUGUUUACACUGUGGGCAUGUUGGAUUCCUAACAUACGAGGCCCAUCGAAGGAUGCAAGCUGCACUGCACAGAACAAAGAAAGAACGUCCAUUAAUGCUACCAUAAACGUCCAUUAAUCAUACAAGAGAUGGUAAGCUGAAAACCCCACAUAUUAACUCAUAGUCCUACAUAGAACUCUAACCUAUAAUAUGAAGAUGAUCAACGAGCCUUCAUAUAUGUCACAGUUCCAAAACCAACAAGUCAUGAGGCUGAUUAUAUUAAGGAAACCUCUAACUAUGUGACAACACAAAUAGAUUAAUUCUUGCAACAACAUUUUUAAGUUUUUCAAAAUUUUCUCCUUUUUUACCAAAACAAAUGCCUAAGAAAACCAAAAAAUAAACAAGCAGAUUGUCUCUGUAAAUUGAAUUAACAAGUUCUAUUACUAAAAAAAGGGUAACAAGGAAAGAAAAAUCCAAAAAAUAAACAUAUUGAAAGUCCAUUUCAAUUGCAUGGCACAACAUUAAAUUGAAGAAUUGACUGUACAAAAAAGAUCCAACAAUAUUUAGGUAUGAAAAGGAAAUUGAAUCCAAACCACAAAACUAAAAGCAUACUUCACUCGUGUGUACAAACUACAUGCUGAUACUCAUUUACCAUAAAAUAUUGCAGCAUCGAUUACCGAAGAAGAAAACAAUUCAAAGAAUGCCCCCAAGGCAAGCUCUAUCAAAGUUACAUAUGCAACAGACAUAGUAUUAUAGCAGAGAAACUCCAAUAAACACUCAUCAUGAUGCUUGACAAGAGAAUUAUUCAACAACUAACAACUACAGGGCCUAAGCUCAACUUAAACAUAUACUUGCAUCAAAGCCAAGUCCACACUCCAUAUAUGCUUACAUAAACCAUAUUUUCUCAAUUCUAACUGCAUUUAACUUAAUUUAUUUUGAUUUAUUUAUUCACUGGAAAUUUAUUUUGAUUGCAAAUUCUUCUAUCAUCCACUAAAAUGAUUUAAAUACUAGAUACAUAAAUACACACAUAUGACGAGUACGAAGGGUGAGAGAGAGAGAGAAGAGCUGCAGUAACAGCAAGAAAGUUAAGAUUUGUGACCUCGAAUCCAAGGCCUAUUUCAGAUGUCCCUAAACACUCUUAACUUAUGAAAGGCGCUAAUAAGUAAUCUGCACAGGAAGAUAGGGGAUAAUAACAGAAUUCGUGAUGCAUAAAUUCCAUUCCGAAUAACAUAGCAAAAAGAUGAGAGAUUUGAUUAGAACAAACCAGUAAGCGUGCUCGCAACCUUUUACAAGAGCUGUUGCCUAAAGAACUGUCUUAACCAGAGAAACUAAAAGAUCAAGAGAAAGUAAAACGGCUGGAACGAAGCGAGUUGCUGCUGGAGUGAACAAAAGGAAAGGAGUUGGAGUUAAUGUGGGAGUGCUGGAGAAGGAGUUGAAAAUAGAAAGAAAAAGGAGUUGAAAGGGAGUGCUGGAACAGAUCUGUUCUGUUGAAAGCGAAGAAGGAAGUGGAAGAAGGAGGAAAAUGAUUUGAAAAGGAGCACUUUUUCUUUUUCACAUGAGACAGAUAUCUGUUACUCACGUGGAAGGGGGGGGGGGGGGACGAAACGGCAGCACAAGCUACCGUUCUCUCAGCGUUCUUUCAGGAUUCCCGAUGUUUAGCAGCGCUCUUAAUAUAAUUGAUGGUUAGGUAAAAGUCCUUCAUUAACCCAUUAAAUUUUAAUAUUAUAUUAUUUAUUUUUAUAUUAAAAAAUAAUUAAUGUAGGAAAAUUCUUAAAAGUUAACGGAGAAGGAAGAGAAAAAGAAAAAGUGAAAACAAAAGAAAAUAUAAAGAAAAAAAAUUAAACGAGACAAAAAUCUGUGGCGUGGAUCAUUCAUAUCUUUUGCCUUUUCUUUUGUAGAGGUACAUAACAUGGACUUCCCUGCGGUGCCACAGUGACAUGGUGCCACAGUUUUUUGUCUUUAUUCUGUGAAGCCGUUGGAUGGUUAAUCAUUCAAUCCAACGGUUUAAAUUAAUUAUUGGAGGAAGGCCGCCAGAACUGACAACCUUUGUAGCCGGUUUUGGGUGAGUGUAAUACCAUCUAAUAGUGAGCGUGCAUUUCAAGAUCUUUUGAACUACGAAAUUUCGUUUCAGCGAUUUCAUUUGAAAAUCAAUCUGUAGACAGAAAGUGAACGCACGAAAUUGGUAUUACUGGAUCGCAAUUAUUGGUGGAAUAAUAUCAAACGGUUGAUGUGUACAUGAAUAUGUCCGCGCAGUCCGCGCAGUUGUAGGGAGGUGAUGGUGAAAUAAAAAAUAAAAUUCCCGGCAUGUGCAUUCGAAGGAAUUUAUGAUGCUGAAAGUCUGGGCAUAUCGAAUGAUCCGACGUAGUAGGUAAUUCGAUAUAAACUUGCAAUUUGUUUUAGUUGGAAUAUUUAUAAAAGUCGUGUUUAGGGUUAGUUGAAUAGUUGGUGGAAGAGUUCAGUAAACAAGUAGUAAUGGGGAAAAUUUUCGAUUAAGUAUGUAAACAGGGGUCGUCAAAGAAUGUGAGGUUACUAGGGAGGACUGAUUUGAGGAAUCUCACUGCACUAAUUGUCGGAUUGAAGCCACAAGAGGGACUUAAAAGUGUUCGACGAUGAAAUGAAAUUUGUUAGUAAGUAAAUAUCUUUUGUAAGUAUCAAUUAGUUAUAUGGGUAAUUGAUGAGGACAUACUUUUAUGGCAUGUUCUUAUAAUGAAAUUGUUAACUUUGUUUUAUCUUCUGGUGACCAAUAAUGUAUGGAUGAGAUGUUAGUGUUCAAUUGUUAAUUUGACUGUUGGAAUCAAUUAGGUGGUUGAUGUAGACAUGAAUGUGUUUCUUAGAAAAUCGAGAAUGUUGAUGAGCAUUUAUUGUGUGAACCCCCUCGAAAUGAGUCUAUGAAAAUGAUUGAUUAACAUUGUAGGCGGUGGCAUGGUUGUUACAGAUGAGUCUAUUUAUAGAUUGUGAUCUUAUUGUUGUGGUUUUACUAUGCCCUGUAAUUAAAUUCUGUAAAAUCAGAAUGGUGCAGUUCGUUAGAAGCACUCAUUUAUAAUUUCACUGCAGCAAUGAAGGUAGGGGAGGUUCGCAAGCGAAAAUGUAGGGACGUAAACAGCUUGAACGAAGAUAUGGAAGGCAAUCGAACAAUAGAACGUAUUAGCCAUUACGGAUUCAUCAGUUAUUUGUAAGUAUUUUUACUAUCUGAAUAAAUAAAUUUUAACAAUGACGAGUGGAUUGGAAAUGACUUGAGUUACUUUCAGUGGUGCAACUGUGCGUAGAAUGAAGGCAACAGAUGCAAACACCAGCAUUACAAGAGAGGUGCGUUAAAUGGAAAUAAAAUUUAGUGUACUGCAACACCUUUUUAAUUGGCAAUAAGGUGUAUGUCCGUGUGUUUCUAUUAACUGCUUUGCAGGUUCGAAGGGAAAUUGCGACGUCAUUUAAAAAUUUACCACCAAAGACGAAAUGGAAGUACAAAGUCCGAGUCGAACAAGCAGUGAAAGGGGAAGCAACUAACACAUAUUUUACGCGAUGUGCACCAGACAGAUUGGCAUCAGCUCUUACAAAUCUAUCUGAUGAACAAAGAGAAGCUGUAUGUGAAAUGGGUAUGGGGAGCAUGCUUGAGUUGAAUAAUGGUAGGCUGAAAAGGAAGCUUUGUGGUUGGUUGGUAGAUAGGAUUGAUGUAUGUAGGCGCGUACUAGUUUUGAAUGGUAAUGAGGUAGAGCUCAAUGCUAAUAGCUUUGGUCAUGUCAUGGGAUUAAUAGAUGGGGGCAUGCCUUUAAGAUUAGAGGGUGACAUCAAAGAAGUUGAAUCAUAUGUACAGAUGUUCAGUGCAUCAUCUAGAGGAAUCAACAUCAAGAAAUUGGCAGAAAUGUUGAGUAAUUCGACGGCAGCCAAUGAUAGAUUCAAAGUCACAUUUAUGUUGUUUACUCUAUAUACUGUUCUAUGUCCCCCUGGUGGAGUACACAUAAGUUGUAAUUUCUUAUUUUCUUUGAAAGAUGUGAACUGUAUCCAGAAGAGGAAUUGGGCCACAUUUUGUUUUCAUAAAUUUCUUGAAGGCAUUACUAGGUACAAGGAAGAGAAAUUUGCAUACAUAGGUGGCUGUCUUUUGUACUUAGAGGUGAUAUCGCAUCUUGGAAUGAUAUAGUGUCAAUAUUUUCCUUCACUUUGUUCAGUUGAGUAACUAACUAUAAUUUGCAUUGUUGUUUUUGUUAAUUCCAGAUGCUUUAUUUUAAUUCUAUAGUGUAUGGAAAAGUACAAAGAGACAGGUCUAUGUGUCCCCUGGCCUUGUGGAACGUAGAUGAGAUAAAGCGGUUGAUGAAAUGGAUAGAGAAUAAAGGUGGUUAUAGUAGCGAUGAGGUCAUCUCAAAAAGGAAUUGUAAAUUUGUGGGAUUCUAUGAAAGCAAAUAAUAUACUUACGAUGAAAAACAUGCGAUCCGUGAAUACUGCUUUUCAAUAUGUCCUUGCUUUACAUUUAUUGUAGUUGGAUGUUACGUAUAAAUUUGGUUCAACACUUUACUUAUAACUUCGUACUUGUAAAAUUGUUUUACUAGAUACGAGUCUGUGCUGCAUCUCUAAUAAAGGCCAACUCAAGGUCAGAUGGAUGCAGUAUGCCUGUGGAAAAAGAUUUUAGAGACUCGGAUGUUAGACAGAUGACAACAGCCCCGGGAAUGACGAAGAUAAAGUCAUUUAGUCAAUUGGAUAAGGCAGUAGUGAUAUCAAGUAGGCCAUCAGGAUAUAUUGAAAAAUUAAAGACAUAUGGAUCGUGCCGCAACAACCAUGGCAAUAAUGCUAAGGGGAAGCACUGGAGUGAUGCAACCAAAGGAGAGGGAGUUUGCACCAACUAUGAGAGUAAGCAAUUGUACAAAAGUGCAGCAAGUGGCAGUAUAUACCAGAAUAAUGAAAUCAAGGAAAAAGAAGUUUGUGAAGAUGCACAACAUAUGGAUUUAAUUGACGUAGCAGAUUUUGUCAUGGAGACUCAGACGUCCCCACCAUGCAGUGAAAGCUUGCAUAGUAACAUAAGGAUUGAGGUUAUCUGUAACUAAUAAAAGUUAAAUCUGAAAUUUUCAUCUUCGUUUAGUUGUUUUUUGUUAACCGAAUGUAAUUUAUGUUUUAUAAUUUUGUAAUUAUUAUGAGGAAAAUAUGUUGCAGGAGCCUGCUAUGGUGCAGAAGUGUUCAGAACCGAAUAAAAAGAUUGGGAAUGUAGUCCAUCCAAAGUCACCACUUAAUCAGAUAGGUGCUGGCAGAGCACGUUAUCAGGUUGGACCAUAUGUGAUGCAAAGACCUUUGAGUACUGAUGACGAGAUAUUGAUUAACUUAUGCAUGGAUGAAAAUUUGAAUAAGGGGUAACGUAUUACUUAUGUCGUUGAAUUAGUACUGGCAUUCAUAUAAAAAGUUACUUGAUUGUGUUUGAGCUUCGAAUAAACGGACUUAAUUGUAGGAAAUCAAUAAUUAUGGAAAAAAAUGUCUGCAUGAUAGAUUUUCCGUUGCAGGGAAAUGGUUUUUAAGACGAACUUCAAUUGCAUCGGCAGAAAUGAUAUUAUGUCUCUAUCUCCUAGAAGUACAAUCAAUGUGAAGGUACAACCACCUUCUGUUAAGUGAUGUACUUGUAUGAAUAAUACAUACACAUGUUAUACUGAUUGCUCUUGGAAUUUAAUAGGGCUUGAUGUUUUUGUUAUUUGUUUAUAUGUUGAAUUAAGUCAAUACCCCUUACAUGAAAUUGUUAAUACUCGUAAUUUUCAGAUUGUUUCUGCUGUCUCAUAAUUGUUAUCUGCGAAAGCGAGUGUAAAUGUUGGAAAUAGUAAUUUCAGCCUUUUUCUGCCAGCGUAUUCUGCUGUAAGGACUUUGUGUUAUAUUGCAAUAUUGGAAUUUUAUCCCCUAAGGGGCAGUUUAACAUAAAAUUUCGUGUGUUCAUUCAAUAAGGUGCAUUUGUUUACUAUGCAUGUAAGUUGAGAUAUUGUUCUUGCAAUUACAUUUAACUAGAGCAUUACAAAUAUUUGUUAUUCGAGUUUGGCAACCCACUAUUUCCAUUGCCUAUAAUUUUUGUUUCGGUUGUGAUAGCGUUGAUGUUCUAUAAACUAUACAGUUGCACGAUAACAUCAGUGGGGACCCCACAGACCUUACUUUUGGUAUUAAACAAUUUAUCAGUGGUGAUUUAUACCUGGCGAAUAUUGGUUCGUGUAAACAAGUAAGCAUUUUUUACUUAAGCCAUCAGCAAACCUCGUUUUUAGUUAAUUUUGAUGUUAUCUGUCAGUUUAUUUCACCCUGGUAUUGCAAUCAUCAAUAAAUUUUUGUCCCGGUGAACCAUGGUUUUACACACUGGUACUUAUUGGUUGUAUUAAUAUACAAAAUGCUGGUGGAGAUAUGGGAUCCACUGCCCACUGUAAUGAAGUCACAAAUGUUCGUUGUUGAAUGCAAACGAGCGGUGAGUUACCAUUGUAGAUGCCAAUCGAGUGUACUUUGUUGGCAAAAAAAAAAAUACUUAUAAAUGAACCAUUGUUGUUGUAAAUAAUCCUCCUUUGUUUUAAAAGGAAGUGUCAAAUAUUACUAUUGUUAUUACUGCAAUCUAUCGAUUGACGGAUGUUCCUGCAGCUAAAAUUCAUUGAGAUGGCGUUGCAACAUUGUGGCUCAAAUUGUUUAUCGGGAAGGUUAAACAUGAGCGAGUUCGUAAUCCAGCUUUGUACCAGACAGGCCAGUAUACGUAACGAAUCUGAUUGUGCACUAUAUGUUAUGUUGAUGAUGGAGAGACAUAAAAUGUGGUCGUGCCUUUCUGAGGCAGAGGUGCGUAACAUUUUUAACUGUUCAAUGCUAUAACCCAGGCCGUUAAUAUUAUUUAUGUAUCGAUUCAAUUUUUGCUGCCUUGUACUUAUUGUGUUUGUUCAUUUCAUUUAGAUAAAAUUUGAUUCAGAUAGUGAGAGGGCACGCAUUCUGAUAGAUCUCAUGACAUACAGUUUCAACUGUUUGAAGGACAAAGUUCGUUUGAAGGCUGAGAAGCAUCGAUGGCGUGUUGACGAUGAAGCCCAUUCAAUUUAUGAAGCGAUUAAAAAGAAGCGCGUACGACAGCUUCGGAGUGCGAACCAAAUAGGGCAUGGUCGCCGCCAUUAGCUGCAUUUUCUUUGACGUUCUAUUGUAUAAGUGCAUCCAUGCUUUUCGGAAAGAAAAAAUUGCUAGGUUUGACAGUUGCAGUUCAUCAUUCCAAAAAGCACAAUCAACCACUGACAAUUGUGAGUGAUAAACAACUUAUGUUUUGUUGUUGGCAUAUAACAAUAAAGUUUCCAUCGUGGAUGCCACAGUGUCUCAGUACUGAACUUAAUCAUUUAUGAGUUUACAUUGCUGUUAAUUUUUAAUUUGUCAAGACGGUUGUUCCUAGAGUAUUAUAUCAGUACAUGCUGUUAGCUGAAAUAACAUAUUCUCUGAAUUCUGCAUUUUAUAUGAUACUGAUACUUUGGCCUAGACAAGUUACUGAAAUAUUCAUUUUAUGUUGUAGUCUUGAGGAAGAUGCUUUUUGUACUAAUUGAACUCAACGAUGGAUUGAAUUAAGUUACGCAAGUUGUGCUUAUUUAAGCCUGGCAUAGGUAUAAAAAUUAUUUCUCAACUGCCUCUUAAAAUUUUUUUUUUCCAAAAUUAACGGAUAUAGUGGGAGCAAAAAAAUAGUUGUAUUAAAUCCCCAACCUCUAGAUCUUUUUGGAGUAACGCCAAUAUUCUUUUACAGAUUCCAAAUGUGGGCGUAGUUAGUUGGUGUAAAAGAUGAGGUUGCAAUGCAGUUGGAUUCACUUGCAAAGGCACUUGUGUUUAGAGUUUGGUCGGUUGAUUGACUUACUGUACUGGCUGAAAAUUGCUAGAACCAUGACUCUGAUGUAGGAGAAAAUGGUCUACCAUUUUCUCCUAUUUGGUACCGCGACAAAAUGUUCAUGUAUCGUGUGGGUUGUUGCGGCACGUGGUUUGUGUCUGCUGCAUCUGUCGCAUUUGGUCCCAUUACAUUACUACCACAAAAAAAUUCCAUGCAAUGGCUUGAACAGUCAUCCAGCUGUUGUCUUGUCCCUCCUCUUUUUUUGCACUUUCUAACAUUGUGGCCUCGCUGACCACAUCUGCUACAUUUUCGUUGUUGUGGUUGUCCCAUCUUCGUUUUUUUUUUAUUGAACCUUUGGUAAGAACAACUUCCGGAUCUUGUACCACUGUCUCUCUCCUCUCUAAAGGUUGCCUUGCUGGUUCUUUGGUCUGAGACAUUGCCUGCAACUUCAAAGUCAACUGGUGAAUAUAAGUAAUUGCCACAUUGUAUGCGGCCAAACUUGAUCCAACGAAUCUUAGCAAACUUCGACAUGCUGCAUAUAUUUGGCCAAUACGAGCCUGCUCUGUCAUGUAAUGUGAUUUAUUACAACUUAUAUCAGACAAAGUGUGAGCUUUUAUCUUUGCAGUUUUACUCCAUCGAGAAAGAAUCAUCGAACUUGGAAUUUCUGUCAUAUUCUGAGCCUUGAACACAACAAAUGAAUGCGAGCAUGGAAUUCCAAUUGUCUCAAGCAACUUGCAGGUGCAGGAUAAGGUUUUGCUAGUCUCAUUAAUCACUACUUUCACCUAUUUCCCAACCGAUCCAAACCGCCUAACCCUGUACGUUGUUGACAUUAUAUCCCGAUCACACAUUUCUGCAGUUAACAACGCUUCCUUGUCGAUUUCUUCUUGUACGAGGCGAAACAUGGCCCUUGUGAACUUUUCAGCUGCUUGCUGCUCAUACAUCUUUAAAUGUGUAACCAAAACAGGACGUCCAUCAGAACUGUUAAAGUCAUCCUUCCCCUUUGCUUCCUUUUGUCAAUCCAUUAGUCGGUCCAUCUGUUUAACAAAUUCUAUCAAUCGGAGCCUUCUAUUCACGUAAUGGUUUAGAUACGCAUUCAUUCCUUCCGACCUUUGAGUGCUUCUCAUUCCCCCAAAAAACUUUCCCCGCAAAUAAGCCUCAGCCCACAUAUGUCUAUCUUCAAACAUCUUAACAACCCAUUCAUUUGCGGCAACAUCAUGGUUAUCGACCAUCAAUUUCCAUUUUCGGUCAAAUUCUUCUUUUGUGUAAGCGUUCAUCAUGCAGCGGCGGAAUUCUGUUGUAAAUUCAGGGUUUUGAAUAUUUGUUUGAGCAUUUCGGACCAAAUGCCAGCAACACAACCUGUGUGAAGCUUCUGGAAAUGUCUUGCUUAUUGCAUUUCGCAUUGCUUUGUCCCCGUCGGUUACAACUGUCCUCAGAUCCUUGUUGUUCAUGGUUGUCAUCAAUGUCUCUAACAACCAUGUGUACGUGUGUUCUGUCUCAUCUGACAAUAGAGCAAACCCGAAUACAAUUGUUCGCUGAUGGUGAUUUAUCCCCAAAGUAACCACGAGAGGCUUCCGAUAUGCAUUGGUCUUGUAAGUUUGAUAUUUUUUUUAAGAUUUUAAAGAAAUAUCAAUAAUUGAUCCUGGUCAAAAUAUUUGUUUUAAUUACUUAUGAAAUUGUAAAUAUUUGGAAUUGUAAAGGGCGAAAAUGUCAAAUAAAUAGAGUCAGUUCCCCUUACGCAUCAUAAGUUUCAGCCCUUGUACUUUAGUUGUGUCAGUCUAUAAAUUAUUAUUGGGGGUAAUAUUAUCUUUUGAAAGUCAACAGUUAGUCAAUAAAAAAUUUUAACUUACGAUACGGGAUCUUUUACAAAUAAAAUAAUUUGAACCCAUGUACUUGCAACAGCCUCCAACCUCAGGGGAGGUUUUAAAAAUUACCGUUAAUAAACUUUAGCAUUUUAGGGUGACCCUUAAACCUUUUGGAUCCGACUGUCGUGCAAUAGUUGCACGCUACCCCAAAUUUUGUAUUUUUUCAACUCAGCGAACGGAUCAAUGGGUAAAGGGUUCAACGGCUACAAUGUGUUUAACUGGUUCUAUUAACACUUAAGUCCCUACUGUUUAUUACAAAUUCAUAAAAGCUUUACGUUUUUAAAUAUUCACAUACAUAACUUGUGUUAACAUUUUUAAAGUUUGAUCCAUUGACUUAAUUUGGUAAAAAAAAUGAUUGAUGCCUUGAUCGUGUAAAUAUAAUAAUGUAAUAUCGCAUAAAAUGUUUAAACACCUUUUAUAUUAACCUUCAUAGUUUAUAAAAUUAUAAAAUAAAAAAUGGAUUGGGCCACAUUGCAACAGUAGUACCGUGCCACAGUUGUACCUGUCGUUGGAUCUAUUUAAAUGAGUAGGGUGUGUUUGGUACAUUAUAUCAUAUUAUAUUGUAUUGUAUUAUGUAAUGCACAUGUAUUAAAUUAUAUUAUAUUCUAUUACAUUAAUAGUAUAUUAUAAUAAUUAUAAUUAUAUUAUACAACGUUUGGUAAAUGGUAUUAUCAUGUAUUGCAUUAAUCUUAAGAAUUUAGUCAACUUAUAUUAUUCUAUAUUCAUUAUUAAUUAUAUAAAAUUUUAUUUUCAUAUAAAUUAUUGUUAAAUAAAUAUAAUAUCAUAUAGAAUAAUAUUAUAUUAUAAUAUUUUAAUCUUUUAAUUUAUUAUAAUAAAAUAAUCAAAAUGAUUAAAAUAUAUUCAAUGCUUAAUUAAGGUUAAAUAAUAAAAUUAACAAAAUAUAUUGAUGACGACGACAACGACAUUAAUAUUAAUAUAAUAAUAAAUAUAAUAAAAAUAAAGAAAUUUAUUAAUAUUAAAAUUAUUCAUAUAAUAUAAACAAUAAAAUCAUAAUAAAUUCAAUAUUAUUAAUAUAAUAAUAAUGACAUUAAUAAAUAGUAAUAAAAACAGGAGGAAACAGUUAAUGUUUUACUCAAAAGACAUUUUAUGAUUUUAUCCAGAGAAAAUUACCUAUAUCUACAAAUUUGUAACUUAUGGUAUGUAUUCAGUUUUCUUAUAAAGUGAAAGGUAAUAUUGUGUAAUUUUUGGAAAAAGACAAAAUUCAGUGAUACCGUUAAACUGUUACACGGUAGGCGGACCCUUGUCAUGUGCCUUAAUAUGACACCAACUUCAAGUGGUGCAUUACUAAUCCAAGGCGUCACAUUAAUACUUGCUUGCCACUUAUUAUUUGAUGCCAUUUGGUAUAAUGUGUACUUGGUAACAGAUGUUUAAUGCUUCAUCAACAUUUUGCACGUUGUGAUGACACCAUGUUCAAUUCACUUGUUGUAACACCACCCGUUUUUUGUUUCAUCUACUCUUGUGCAUUCCUGAUUUGCAACUCCUUUUGUUCCUUAUAAAACCACAACUAUUCAUGGACACUCCAUAUUUUUUACGUGAGUCACAUACAACGUUUUACACUUACUUACUGUUACGGUUUGAGGUUGUCAAUAAGUAAUAUUACAUUUUCGUUACAGCAUCGAUUACCAAACGGGCAGGUCGCAUAAGUGGCUUUCUGUUUCAGCUAUCAUCAAUCAUUCAGGUGCAUCAACAAAGGAUAUGGGUCAUUACAUAAUAUAAAUCAGUCUGUCCAAGGGAAUUCAAGGAAACCAGUUGCAAAUGUGUUUGUUCGAAGUUACAAAAGCACAUAAAUAUAUCACAGAAAACAUAUCCAAUGGAAAUAUUACACAUUAAUUCCAGCUCCAAUGGAAGUCCCGCAGCAUAUCGAACUCUAAUGACAUGAAUCGGCCCCAAUAACACCAAACACAUCUAGUUGACUGUUUCCCUAGUAACCCGAAUGUUAACAGUAGGAGACUGUAUUCGAAAGUUGAGAAUUUUGCGACAGAGUGUUUGCAAUCUGGCGCCUUGAACACUUCCGUGGCAGUGGUAUAUGAACUUGUCCAACACUUUACUAUGCCACAGGAAGUACUCCACCAGGCGUACGUCAUCUUUUCCGUCAGUAAAUGCUUUCAUCUUUAUUUUUUUGACGCAUUCACUCAAGCAAUGGGGCACAUUUUCUGUCUCCAGCCACCCAAGUUCGUGGUCGUUUACGUCGAACCAAUCUCCCUGAUAAGUUAAAACAGGCAAACCCAUGGUUAACAUAUUGAACCUAGUUCCUGAUGACUGCACAUGACUAUUGUCUUACUGACCUUCGUUAAUAUACAAGUACGCAAGUUGUAGGUGGCAGUGAGGAUAGUAUGUAGACCUUUCCAGCCACUUCGUCGAACUUCAACAUCCAAAAAGGUGAGGUUGUCAAACCAAAUCAGGGACUGCCUUUCGCAUGCCCGCUUAAGUGCUUGUGGUUUAAUUGGUUAUUACACAAACAACAACAAUAACAACGUUCUGUCACUUUCAAGUAACAAAUAAUUAACCAACUUAAGCCCUUUUGUUGAAAUGCAAAAUUUGGCCUGAUUGUCCAAGGCUUGCUGACAUUCCUUAACAGUUCAAGCAAAACAAUACAUCUCAGCCUUAUGAUCAAUACAAAAACCUAACAGUCAUAACAGAUGAAAAAAUUGUAUAUCAAUCUCUGUCUACCUUUCUCCCUGCAGCGCCGCUCUGUCAAAAUAAUACUAUGUACAUAUCACAUUCGGAUUGAGGACAGCGGCGCAGGGAGAGUUUCAUAAAUUAUAUAAAUUUAUGACAGUACAUGUCGUCAUUCAUCAUCCAUAUGUAACAUAGGUUAACAAUAUAUAAUUCAUUUCACAUCACCAAGUUCAAACAACACACAAACCUUUAUAUCAUCUUUUUGUGGUAAUUGUUUUGCUACUCUACAAGGACUCAACCACCACCAUUGUUUUUUGUUGGUGAAAUUUAGGAUCAUGUUUCUGACAUUUGCAAUUUGACAGUGGAAAUAAUGACAAUUUAAACUACUAUAUAAUCCAUUUACAUGCAAUUACUUACUUGGCCAAUUUAAAUGUCAAACCAAUCUUAAACUAAACUUUAUACUAAUUGCAUGUGUGUGAUCACGUUGUUACAUUGAUACAAUAUGUCACAUUGCAAAUGUUACCCCUUAUAUGCUAGUUUACAACCUAAAAUUACCCGGUACUUUUUUUAAAUGAAUAUUUAGAUGCUGGUAUAGUAUGGGAAUGCUUACCAAAAGAACACCACCGGAUAGGAUCAGACGAGCUGUUUUUGCGACACCCUCAAUGAGGUUGCGAGCACGUUGUGGAUCAACUGUAUCCGAUUCCCAAUGUUGAAGAUCUAAAGUUGCUUACUGGAUGGAUUGCAUCUCAUGUACCUCAUAUUCCAUCAACAUGUUAUCAACAAUAUGGAUUAGUUGGAGAUUUGGCGCCAUAAUGACAGCACAAUGGUGGUAUGACAUCCCUCGCAACGAGGUGAAGAGAACAACAAACGUCAGUGUGUUAAGAGUUGCCGACUGAAUGAUGAAGUUCGCUGGAGGAUCAUCUGGUUGUAUCAAAAUUGUCAGACAGAGUUCCGUCAGUGAAGGGCAACUACAAAACAGCUUCUCUUUAACUCGGUUUUCAAGAUGGGUAAUACAUAUUUGAAGAAUCUUCAGUUGGGGAAAACACACACCAUCCGGAGGAUCUUAUAAGCGAAAUGCAGUGUGUAGUCGAAGAACUUCAAGCGUCAUCGAGCUGUACACAUAUGCAGGCAACUGCAUGGGUGCGUACUGGAUAAUAUCGAUUUCCAUCUCCCGAACAUUCCGCAUUAUUACCUGAGAUACCCACAAAGGAAACCGAUCACUACGUAUAGCGUUGACACUCUGAAGAGAGAACGUAUGUAUUGAUACGGGGUCCGUUCCAGCCAUCACUGAUUCUAUGAAGUUGUUAAAUUCAUCCACCAGGUCAGGAUUGUCAGCAGCAGCCCCCAUGGGACCCCCAUCAUCAAAGCAGAGGUUGCGAACUGAGGUCCAUACAUGCCUCCAUCUUCGCGAAAGACUUGAAGUGGCCACUGCAUCUUCGAGUGGCAGAAAAUUUAGGAUAUUGGACAUCACAGAAUCAGGCAAUGCACUAAUCCUGUCUUCGGGUACUUUUUUUAGCACUCUUCCCCGUCGGAUCCGCGGAACCGAACCAGUUGAUCUCCUCAUCCUUAAGGCAACUCACCUUGGCCUGUGGGACCAUUAAAUACAUUUAAAUUCAUAAUAAUCUGCUACAAAAAUCAAACCAUUUACACAGACGUUAUUUAGAUGUACAAUGUAGGUUGUUAAAUUCACUUCCACACACAUGGUCAUAGUUAACAUUUAUAAAUAAUUUAAAGGUUUAAUUAAGCAGUUACAGUAUGAAUUGCAUUCAAGCAUAGAUUUUUUAAAAAUGAAAAUUUUAUUGACUCAUCCUGAAAAUUAUAUAAUCUAUUGAGGUCGUUGAUUAAUCAAUUAGAAUCAGGUGUACAGAGAUAAAAUAAUACACACAAAAGUCCAGACAUUUCACCAAUUAGCUAAUCCUUUUAGUAUUAUUCCCCAACUUAAAACGAUAUAUCCUAAAACCUUAUCCUUUGUAAGCAUCGCGAUGAAUUUCCCUAACAUAUAUCCAACACAAGCAUUCAAUGUUUAGGUUCAGACUCAUUAACAAAGAUCCACCAUUGCUAACUUAUCGUCGUCAAAAUAAAACAAAUAUGGCACAUUCGCGAAUGAACCAAACAAUUCACCAAAAGGAUAGAAAGUAGAAGGGUUCAGCUGUCUAACGAAAUAUUAGGGGCAAUAAUGGGGAAAAAACAAAAAAAAAAUUGAUGCAUUUGUUCUGGGAACUGUCGUCGUUAUGUAGUGAGUUAAUGCUUGUUUUGUUUGGUGGUUAUGUUAUUGGCCACUGGGCUGUACAUUCCCGGGAUGUGUGACUACAUUGAUCAUUGUCACUCUCGAGAUUGCGGCUUCAGUUCAAUCCGUUAUGAAUCCUUGUGCCAUUGUGGCAACUGGCAACUGCCAUGUGAAAUUGAAAUAUUUGCUUCAGACAAUUACUCGGUGCUUCAAACAAUAAUAUUGUGGGCCCAUUGUUUAGGUCAGUCGCUUUCUCACUUCCCUUGUCUUUCUGGAUUGAACACGUUUGGAUGGUCUUUCAGUUCAACCUUUUUCAUUGCCUCAUUUGUCUCUUGUGGUGCUUGUCAACUUUAGAUCCUUCCAUACUUGGCCGGACACACAAAUUUAAUUUUUUAGAUUGCAUGGGGCCAUGGAAGUAUGAUGACUUCAUUCGGCAUGUGCGCAAUGUGACAACAAGUUUUUUCAUUUUUCAAUUAUGUCCUUUUUUAUUUAAUAUUAUUUAACCAUAAGCUUAUUAUUAUAUUUGUUCUUUUAUAAUUAAAUAAUAAAUAAAAAUAAAAUAAACAUAUUCAGUAGUUAGCAUUACAAAUUGAGACAUUUUUAUUAUUAUUUAUUUUUGUUAUUUAAUAUUAUGUACACAUACAGUUAUUAUUUAAACUAAUGCUUUCAUCAAACAAAAUAAUGCAAAAUAAUAAACAAAUCAUUAGUAACAAGUGUUAACAAAUAAAAUUAUUCUUUUAAUUUACCCAUAGGCUUACAAUUAUAAAUAAGCUUAUUUGAAAACUAAAUAAUAAACAAUUUUAAUAGUGUGUUACAUAUUAUAUAUAUAUAUAUAUAUAUAUAUAUAUAUUAUAUAAAAAACCUCAUUUUAUUUUAAUUUAGUCAUGUAGGUGCAAUGGCCAAGUCCGAAUGUUCAUAUUUGACCUUUUUUUUUUGCUGCGAGUUUAUACGUGUUAAUAUAUAUGCGAAUUAUUAUUUAUAUUAAACUAUAUGUUUCUCUUUGUACAUAUUUAUUGAUAUAUAAAUUUUAUAUGUUUCUCUUUGUACAUUUGUCCCUGCUUUAAUUUAAUCUUUAUCUGAAGGUAUUAUUAUGAAGAUUCUAUUUAACUUAAUUUUGAUUCGUGUUUUUUUUUAAUUUAUAAAUAAUACCCAAUUAAUUAUUAACUACUUGUCCUUCAGCGGAUUAUGUAGACAGACAAAAGAAGAAAAGGAAUUUAGAGAAAUUAAUGUGCAUUGAGAUAACCGCUAAUGUAGGGACGAAAGAAUUAUGCACAUGACCUUCUUAAUGCAAGUAUGAACUUGGUGAAAAUUGAGAAACUUUUUUUAUGUUAUUAUUACUUAACUUUUUGAACGUGGUUUCUAAUAAUUCGCACAUUUGCUUUUGAUCUUCUUUUGUUUUUAUAGAUCUUUAACAAUAUAAUUUUACUUCUUAUUUUCAUGACUUCUUAUUUGAUUUAUUUUAUUUUUGCAGCAUACUUCUUUAGGGUCUGCCUACCGUGCAACAGUUACACGGUACCAUUGAAUUUUGUCUUUUUCCAACAAUCAUACUACACUACCCUAUAUUUAUAAGAAAACUGAAUAUAUACUAUAAGUUACAAAUCUUUAUAUAUAGGUCCUUAUCUCUGGAUAAAAUUAUAAAAUGACUUUUGAAAAAAAAUUUAAUUGUUAUUAUUAUUAUUUAUUAAUGUCAUUCUUAUUAUUAUUAUUAUUAUUAUUAAAAUUUAUUAUUUUAAUUGUUAUGAUUUUUUUAAUUGUUAUCAUUAUUAUUAUUUAAUAAUUUUAUUACCGUCACUAUUUUUAAAAUAUAUUAAAUUUAUUACUGAAUUAUUAUUGAAUUAUUAUUUUAUUAAUAUUAAUAAAUUUAUUAAUCUUAUUAUUGUAAUUAUUAUAUUUAUAUUAAUGUUGUUGUCGUCAUCGUCGUCAUCAUCAUUAAAUUUUAUAUAUUUUUUUUGUUUUGACUAUUAAAUAAUACCACUGUCAUUAUUAUUAUUUUACCUUAAUUAAGCAUUACAUAUAUUUUAAUUAUUUUUUAUUUUUAUUAUAAUAAAUAAAAAAUAUAAAAAUAAAUUAUAAUAUAAUAUUAUUUUAUUAUAUCAUAUAAUAUUUAUUUAAAAAUAAUUAAUAUGAAAACAAUUAUUUAAUAUCAUUAAUAAUAAAUUUAAAUAUUUUUAGUUAAAUAUUAGUACAAAAUUAAUGCAGUACAGGAUAAUACCAAUUACUAAAUGUUGCAUAAUUUUAUUAUAAUUAUUAUAAUAUACUGCUUAUAUAAUAUAAUAUAAUAUAAUAUAAUAUAAUAUAAUAUAAUAUAAUAUAAUAUAAUAUAAUAUAAUAUAAUAUAAUAUAAUAUAAUAUAAUAUAAUAUAAUAUAAUAUAAUAUAAUAUAAUAUAAUAAUAAUAUAAUAUAAUAUAAUAUAAUAUAAUAUAAUACAUGUGCAUUACAUAAUACAAUAUAAUAUAGUGUGUCAAACGGACCUUUAACUUUUUGAGUGAUGAUGGUCUAGAGGGAUGUAGAGAAAGUAAAAAUAAUCCUAGUAGAUCUUUUACAAUGGUUGAUUAGCUAUCAUCACAAAGUUUAGGCUAAUACAAUAAAAGUUAACGAACUACCUUAUAUUUAAAAGAGCAUUUGGAAAUCAAUAAAUUUACUAUUCAAUUAUUUUUAAUCAAGAAUAAAUAAUAAAUGAUCAUUACAACAAGAUUCACAAGCUCAAAUAUCUUAAAAAAUGAUAAUUCUCAAGAAAUAUGAAACUCAAAUGCUUUUGAAAUAUUCUUCAAAAAAUAAACUAACUUCCUUUUAUGUUAUUCUUUAUUUAUCUUUCUAUAACUUUGUUGGGCUAUGUAUAUAUUGAUAUUUUAUAGGUAAAUUAACAUAUUGUAUGUAUAAAUAAACUAACAUGUCAACUAAUGUUAAAAACAAAAAUGUAAUAAAAAAGUAAAGUUUUGUAAUAUUAAAAUAAUAAAAUUUUACAACCUAAGACUUUUUACAUGUUUUCUUAUUUUGAAAUUUCACCUUUUUUUAUUUUAUAAUUUUCUAAAGUAUAAAGGUUAAUAACCUAUAUUCUUAAAACAUAUUCAAUUUAUUUAUUUUACAGUAAAUAUAGAUUAUAUAACAAAAAAUAUUAUUUACAUUUAUCAAAUUUUCAUGUGUUUAAAAAUUUUAUGUGAUAUUACAUUAUUAUAUUUACACCAUCAAUUAUUUUUAUGAUCAAAUUAAGUCAAUGGAUCAAACUUUAAAAAUUUUAAAACAACAAAAAUUAUGUAAGUGAAUAUUUAAAACCUUUUAGCUUUUAUGAUUUUGUAAUAAACAGUAAGGACUUAAGUGUUAAUAACUAAUUGAACACAUCCUGUCUGUUGAACACUUUAACCAUUGAUCUUUUACAAUGGCUGAGUUGAAAAAAGACAAAAAAAUGGGAUACCGUGCAACUGUUGCACGGUAGGCAGACCCACUUCUUUAUGUUAUUUUGAGGACACUACACAAUACAGCUUUGAACUUAUGAAGAGUUUAGAUGAAGUUGUUGGCAUUUUGUUUAUUUUGUAUUGUAAAAAAUAAAUUAUAUGUAAUACUAUUAUGUUAUGGACUUCAAUCACUGAAGUGGAUUUAUUUUAAUUAUAUGUUACCUGUUUUGUAGUUUGUAAUUUAUGCAUUUGUUUGAGAGCUUCCAAAUUAAUUUAAAAAUAUAUUAUGUUACAAAAUUUUAAUUACUUACAAAAACCUAAUUCACAACAUACAUCUGCAAUUUUUUAAAAGAUAUGUAAUAAAAUAGUAGAAGACAACAUUUACGGCUUGUGGUUAAAAACUUUUCAGCAACAUGCAAAUAACUCAUGUCUAAAACUGUUUUCGUAUGAAUGGUUCCACCAAUUACCUAACCAUGAAAUACUACGAUACUUUUGAUAGUAAUAUUAUGAUUAAGGUGCAUGAUACGAUUAUAUAUAGCAAAAGCCACGCAUCCCGAAAGACAAAUCGAUGCACACAUUGAACAAUUGACAAAUUUGUAAGUGGACCAAUGUACUUAACGCAAAUAACGUGAUAUUUAACACAACACAAGAACUUGUUCUAAUGAUUACAAAAACAAUAGUGGCAACAUCCAAGGGAUAUCUUGUACGUACGCUUCAUUCGUCUACCAAAAAAGACUACAAUAAAGUACAAUAUAUAUAAGUCCACAUUUUCCCUACGUUCACAUAUACUACCAACGAAAGAGGCACACCCCAAAUGUUGAUUAAUGUAACGCUUCCCUAUGAAGCAAAAUCGGGUGAUGAACUCAAGUGGCGCAUUAGGCAGUUCCAUCAGCAGUCUCCACCGUUGUUCCAACGCCGUUAGAUUGGGAUCCAUGGCAAUGAUCGCCUCCCUGCUAGAAGUCAAUAGCGUUUAUACAGACAAAAAUGAAAAGAUCAAUGCCACUAUACAUUUUAAAAAACGAUGAAUUGAUUACCCCAACACGUGGAUAAAAUAAACCUAUGCUAGUUAACGAUAAUAACGACAUCCAAUUAAUUGAAAGCUUUGCAAUCACAGAAAUGCUUCGAAGAAAUUUUUUACCGUGGCCGGAGUUGGAUUUACUAGCUUGCAUGUGCGCUUCCCAUGUCCGUCGGCCUUACACACCGUACACCUGUACUUUUGCUUCACGCCCACAACUUGGGCACGUGGUAUAAUGGGUUGUACAGCCGUGGUUGCUGCAGGGUUUUGGUCAGAAUGGGCCACCGCAUCCUUGACCACCGGGACAUCCUCUCUGGUAUGGCACAACGUCGAGGGGGGCCCAAGUGUUGGAGAGUGAGCAGCGUUAACGGAAAACCGAACUAGAACAUGGAGACUGCAACUUCCCUUUAUCAUGGACAAGUGGAUAAUGUUUUUCAACGCAUCGUCCGUGUUGACGUCCACCAUCCGACCAUCCCACGGGAGAACGACUUUAGGAUGGAAAUAAUGAACCGCAGGAGAAUCUCUAGUCUGCAGCACGAGAGCUGCAAUAUUGCAAAAUCUGAGAAGAGUGUAGUGCAUGGGCCUGAUGGAUUUAAUCAUCAUGGCUGACCCCAUGUACUCCAAGACAAAGAUGAAUGGUGGAGGCAUUAUUGGCGUUACCGUCGCCAUGUAUUAGGGAAACUGAGAUGUAGGUGCGAACUAAAAAAAAUGAUGAUCAACUGCGAUGUUCGUACUAUGUGGUUAUGUAAAGGUCAUUCGUGAAUGGUGGCAAUAUACACAUUCGUUGAUAAUAAUACGCAUUACAGAUAAAAAAUUCAUCCAACUAUUUUGAAUUUAGUGGGAAUUCUUAACCAACGUAAGUAGUCCAUAAAUAUAUGGGUAUUUUAUAUGGCCAAUGAGACAUUAGAAGGUAAUUAUUUCUGUGUUUCGUUUAAAAAUUCCAACCUUAAAUUAACUCCCGCCUUUGAAAGAGGCUGGUUAUAGGCGACAAAAAUACUUCCUACUAUUUACAUACCUUGCCGUUGAAGAUUUUGCACUGACAAACUAACAGUGACAACUACUAUACUGUUUGCAGUGCUUUUAUGGUAACUCACGAUAACGAAGCUUCCUGUGGGGUCAAAUGCGCUGAAUGUUAUUAAUUGCCAAUAUUCACAGCAGUUGCAUUCUGUCAGGGAUAUAUUUUCCAGUCAGUGUCUUCUUGAUAAAGGAACAUGAGGCGGCGGGUUGUUUCCUGUGGAUGGCCAUGCAUUUAUGUAGUGGCCGCCGCUAAGCGAGGCCGUCUGUUGCACCGGUGAAAGGACACGACACAAAGAACAUCGCUUCACCCACGUGGCCACGUUUUCACAGAGGAUGACCGUGUUAUUAGCCUUUUUUAGUUCACUUUUGGAGUGCAUUGAAUCGACUUGACUAGCUAAGUGAUAAUCUGUAAGCUACUGACUGCAGCAUCAGCCGUUGGAUACGGUUGGAUGUGAAGUGAGAAACUAAACUAUAAAAUGGGAUGGUGGGAUGAGGGGAUACGUUUGUUAUGGAAUCUGUACCAUAGACAGGUCCACAUUGAAUAUGUUCGUGCCUCUUUCUUCGAUACCCCCAACACGUGGUAUGACUUAAAUCCACACACGUUCAAAAGUUAUCACGGCAUUUACAUCUACAGCCAAAAGUUCAAACUGGUUUAUGGGAAGUAAUCUGUCAAUUGGGAAGCUUCCUGUGGCCUUGCACACAUCGGGUUCAUUGACUACAGCAGUGGAAAACGAGAAGGGUAUUGACGGAAUAUAGAAUUUAUUUGAAUUAUUUGUGAUGAGACAGAAGCAUUUGCUUAUUAGUUAAAGUGACCGUUGAUAUCUUCCCGUUGUGAACCAUUACGUGGAAAUGUCCCAGCAAUGAAUGAGAGUUUAAAUACCGCCUUCUAUCGUUUUGCAUCUAUGAGGGUGCACAAUAUUCUUCCAAGAAAACCAUUUUUCGCAUGUCUUCGUCGACCAAUAGCACCAAUAACAUGAGUAACAACCACGACGGUGGAGAUCGUCGUAGGUGGAUUAAGUUGAAAAAUUGAUAUUGCAACUGUUAUAAUGGCCGGCGAGCUGUAAUACGGAUUUCUAAAUCGUCAAAGAACCCAUGACGUCUUUUAUUUUACUGCGACACCUGCAAGUUUUUGCAUUGGUGGACUCCGGAUAACGAUGAAUGACACAGUCUUCGUGAGUAUGUGCAGGAACGGACAGGAGCCUACCGUCUCAGUCGCUUACAUGUAGUGGCUUGCUUUGUUGGGAUCAUUAUCUCGAAUAUACUGGCAAGAGCGUUGGUUGUGCUAUACUUAUGGUGGUUUUCGGUGAGGACCUCGGCCGAUCCAGGAGUGACGAGCCAGUGGUUUUAGUUUCAGCAUGGGUAGCAGUAUGGUGGGUGUUAAAGUAUAAAUAGUUUCCAUGUAUAUGUUUUAAUUUAGAGCUGAUCCAGCAAUAAACAAGUGUCACCAGUAAAUUUACAUCGUUUUUUUCCAAGUAUAUAGUCAUUGUUUUUGUGCAUCGUGGCUUGAAAGUGGGGCUACAGUGUUUGUUUUAUUCACGUUAGGCGCAAAUCAUGCUAAUCAUCGUGUUUGCUAUGAUUAGUAAGGGGAUUGUUAGGGCUAAGAAAAAUGAAAUUAUUGACCUCCCUGUCAAAUAUUGUUACUAGCUCCCAUGCACUAUAUCGUUGAAGGCAUCUAUUUUAUUGUGCAUUAAGGUAUUGAAUGUGUUGAGAAACAUACACUGUUAAUUCAAGUCAGUUCCCCUUAGUUAGGAUAGAACGAAGCAUGGUUGCAAAUUGAAAAUAUGGUCGAAAAAGACGUCCUUUUAUUAAUCCACCAGGUGACAACAUUCUGGGCGAAGGGUCAUAUUUGUAAAAACCAAGCUGACAAAACAGGAAAACGCUAUUGAUGCAAGUCUGCAACACCAACAACUCAUUUUUUAACAAUCUAGAUGCUACCCCUUAUAUGCGAUUACGAGGACAAAAAGAAAUAAAUAAUAAGACCUUCGCUACCAUUAACGAGAAAAGGAAAAUGAGUUCGCUAUGUGAGCAUUUUUGAAAUAAGUGGCAGCAUUUAGAAUUGUGCAUCUUCAGUGUGGACGUUAAUGGUAGCGCAUGCGAUUGUAGACCAACCAUGCCAAGCCGAACAUUAUGGAUGCCUCAUCAGCCUCGAUGUGAAAAGUGAAAUUUGAAAGAAAGCCGUCCCAAGUGAGAAACACAUCAACGAAUGACGACGUAAACAGCACCUGGCACGUCCGCGAUUCAAGAUUGACCGCUAUGUGGAAGUUCAUGAUCAGGUGAGAAAUCUGUUCCACCUUGAGGAAAGGCAUCGUAAAAAACAAUGUCAUUUUACAGAAAAAAAAAUAUUUGAAUAACAGGAAAAAAAAUCCACACUUCCUAAUUGGAUGUGCCCUAGAGUUUGGAAGCCGUAAAUCGCGACAAAAUUGCCGCAAUUCAGCCCUUUUAAACUGAAACAACUACCGCCGGAUAACAGAUAUCCGUAUCGAAGAUGCACGUUAUAAAUGACCCACAAAAGAGGAAUGAGGUACUGAUUUAGAAAGCGAUAAUGGAGGUGCUGGGAUGAGAAACGACUGUUUGUACACCCAAAUGAAGCUGGGUCCCUCAAAAGAUACAUUUUGUGAACUAUAAUUAAUCGUGGACCAUGAUCAAACGGUGGUGCGACUGAUAGUAUAACCCCCUAAACCGAAGCUUCACCAUAAGUACAAUAACAUGGGGGGAACUGAAAUAAUAUGUUAAUAGUCCUCAUUAACAAAGUUGAACCAUGGAGAUGUAUAUUAAGUAUAUAACAAACGUUCAAAAGUUGUAUACUCAAGUGAACAGGUUGUACAAGUUUGGAAGAGGGUCACGCGGACGAUUGGAGGGACGUUAACGCAUGUAAGAGAAGUGGACCGGCCAUGGGAUCAUAAUAUCAGCACUGAAACAUUUUACCAUAUUUCCCAAUACAUUUAUCACAGUUGUAAAAAAACUAAGCAUCAAAGCAGGAAAGCAUCGAACUGAAAAGAUCAUGUGCAUAGAGAGACGCGUCGAACCUGUGAAUGCUCCUGUUAGUUGGAGUCCCGACCGGAGACGCGACGUGCUGUACACAGCAACAACUCCGGGAAGAUGACUUCGAACUAACAGAAGGAAAAGUGAGGCGAACUUGUCAAAAGCAAUGACAAUCUUGUCACUGACUAAAAUUAUAUGUGGACGAUAACCAGCGAGUGCUAGCAUCUUAGGCCGUGUUUGGACGUGUGCAAAAAGAGGGAAAUAACUUUUGUGUAAGUUUUAAUUAAUAGUAAACACAACCGUACAUAAAUACCGUAAUUUAUCAACCGGGCAAAGCUUACCUUACAUAUAAUGUAACAAAAAACCAAUGAAUAUAAGUCAUUGAUUUUGAUAUUCCUUAAAUCCAAUGGAAAAAAUUAAUUUUAACAUAAAACAAAAUACAGGUGAAAUAUAUAUUGAUAAAAGCUUUUAUUUAUAAUCAUAUAUUUACGUAAUUUUUCAAAUACGUCCUCAUUGAGUUUUUAUAAUGAAAUGGUUUUUUCAUUAAUCUUUUCUACAUUUAUUUUUAAACUGUAAACAUUUUUUACAAUAUUUUUAUAAAGAUUUAUAUGAUUAUUAUAUUCAUAAAGAUCCACAAAUUUUGAAUAUAUUUUUGCGCUUACAUUUAUAAUUUCUUGUCUCUCUGGAGACAUAAACUAAAAUUUUCUUCUAACACAUACACACAUUCAAUCUAUUUUCGUUCUUAAAUACAUAGCAUCAAUGCCAUCACACAUAUUUUGUAAUCUAUAUUUAGUAUCAUGAAUUAUAAUAGACAUUAUAUGUAAUGAAUAUCUUAUAAAUCUAAUGAAUUAUUAAAAAGAUGGUACAAUGAAUAAAUUACCAAAACCUCUAAUAAAAAGAUUACAAUUCUUUGAUCUUAUCAAUGAUUCAAACAUGUGGAGAAAUAAUCAAUUAAAUUGAAUGUUACUAUUUUUAUUAAAUAAAUUAGAAAAUAUAAAUAUUUCUAUAAAUGAUAUAGAAAUGGUAAACAAAAUAUUAGAAAUUCAUAAUUUCAAUGAAGGAAUAUAAAAUAAAAUAAAAAGUUAAGAGAUCAAGUGAUCAACUUAGUAAAGAAUUUAAUAAAGUUAAACAAUUCAUAAAAGACUUCAACAUUAAAAAUCAUGAUAUAUUAAACCAAGAGAUUAAUAAUAUAAUGAAUAAAAAUUCAAUAGAUAUAAAAUUUAACAAGUUAUAGAUUCAAUGAAAUAAAAUAAAUAAAAUCGUUGAGCAGUUUCAUACUAACUUUGCUAUAAAUAUAAAUGAAGAACUUCAAAAAAACUUCAAAUAUUGCUGCUUGGGUGCAAACAACCUGGAGUAUAAACAAUCUGGGGUAUAAUGUAAAACAUUAAAACUUAUUGACUUUUUUAAUAAUUAUUAUCUUUUCUAAGGGUUUAAGAAUUUAUAACUGUAACAUACAACUAAUGUAACAUGAGCUUUGCCUAUCAACCGUAUUAAACAUCCAUGGAAAUGUAUUGAAUGUUAUUAGUAAUCGUGAAUUAGUUGUAGACGAUGCGUGCAUGUAGGGAAUUAUGCACAUGGCUGGAUCUAGUAGUGGUAUGAUACCAGUGAGCUACCAUAGUUUUCUCCGUAAAGAUGUAAUAAUUAGAAUAGUUUGAAAGGAAUAUUUUUUUUUUCCCAUUAUAUGAUGUAGGUCCCCCACAUCUUAUAUUUGUAUGUAAACAUAGGGCAAAACGAUAACAUCACUUCAAGCAGCCAGUUUCAUAGAUUGAUAUUUCCAAUUUUUCUUUUAAGUUGACCUUAUAUUCGCACAGUAAUACACACAAUUACGAAUCUAAUUUUUGUGAUCAUAGUAUAAAUAAGUACCCGCGAGAAAUAUGUCUUGUACAGUAAAAUUACUGUUACAAAUAACAGACAAAUUUGUCACUUCAUUAUAGGUAUAACAUAGUACACUCAAUUUAUUUCGCCCAAACUAAUUUAAUUAUAGUGAGACAUUCUUAACUGUUGCAGAAUAAAGUAAUUUCAAUUUUCAACAAAAAUGUGUAUUUUUUAUUGAAUGUAAUGUAAUAUCUAUUUCCAAUAUUAAUCUCAUGUAAUAGUUUAAAAAUUAUGACAAUUUACCAUGAAAUAUAUUAGUUAUCACAAGUUUCUCUAUUACUUGUCAUCGUAUCAUUAAAUUAAAUAGGCAACAUUAUAUUAUUUAUUAAUUAAAUCCCAAAAUAGUUAUGGUGGUUUGAUGAAUAAAUUGUAAGGAUUGUUUACUUUUCUUGUUUUGUUUAAUUGAUGCACUGCUUUCUUUCUAAUUAUUUAACUAUCGAAUGUCAUGCUAUCUAAAGUCUAUAUGUAUUCAAAUGACGGGAAUCAAGACCUCUCAACAAAUUUCGAAUAUAUAAGAUUGAAACAGCACAAUGUGAAAUACUAAUGUUCAUUUUAUCCUGUAACAAUAUGAAGAAGUUGUACAAUUUAUUAGGAAUUGACCAUAGUUGUGGAACGAAUUGUAAAGCAUAAUCUGGGAAUAGUAAGGAGAUUGUUGUGACCAAUACAACAAAAAACAAAUCAAAUACUUAGUAAAAUGUUGUUACAAAAUAAUUACGUCCACUGUUAACUUGGAAUUCACAUGAUAUUCCCCUAAGUGUAUUGAUGGUAACAUAUGUUGCACGGCUUAUAAAACCCCCGAAGUUCACAAAUUACACUGCAUAGGCGUGAGACUGGGGCCUGACAUUUUGUAUUAUUGAUACGGGCUGGGAUAAACGUCCAUGUGACAAUUACGUCGUUGGUCCUUGAAGAUUAGGAUAUUUACUGACGAAGUGAUAUCAUGGUUUCCACCCAGUAGUAGGGAUUAGUUGGUUAGAACAGGGGAGCUAUUUGCCAUGAUGGUAGGUUUUUUCAGAACGCGAGGGAGUGUUGGUAAAAGUCUGGGAAAAAGGAUAGCUCAUCGAAGCUUCGUAGCGGACAAAAGCGGCGGCCAAGUACAGUUUCCCACGCAACCACUGACAAUGAAAGGAAAGAAAUUGCAAACUUCCGGCAUUUUAAUUUAUUUUUGUGGCAGUCGUUGCUUUGGAAGGUUAAUCCAUAAAAAUAAGGUGAAAUGAUGAACGACAUUUGCGCAGGAGAGGAAAUUUCUUUCCAAAAAUUUCAUCAUAGGGAGUUUCAUAAAUCUGUGCAUGAACAGGAUCCUGUAAAGACUACAUGUGAAACCCAUAUAUCGAUUCGAAGGAAUAACUUAGGAGUGGGAGCCAACAACACCACAGAGAAGGAGAGUAUGCUAAAUACAUACUUCACAGAGUGACACCAGGUAAACAUCAAAAUUAUAUCGUGCUCAUGUUUAUUAAUGACAAGUCUGUCUCACAUAUGUUCAUUCCGCUGGGCAAUGAAAUUGCAUGUGACGGAAAUGUAAUAAUCACUUUAAAACUGCUGUAUGGGUAGUUUAUUGUAGCACGAAUCAGGUUUGCAAUCGUACGGUAGACGCAUGUUUACAUUACAAAAAAUUGUUACGUUAGCUAUUACUUACAACUUCUCUGUUGAAUAACAAUGUGCAUUUCGUUUAAAUUUGUCAUAUUAAACUUGCAUUUAAAAUGUAUAUUUGGCCACACCAUUAAUUACUUGGGAAGAUGGCCAGUUAUGUGCAUUAUUUGAAGAAACUAUCCCGCAUUUCACAGUUUAGGCCGUCAUGGAAGAGCAUCAGCAUAUCAAAUUUUUCAUUUGCUCAUGCUUGUGGUGAUUUAAUAAACAGAUAAACCAAAUUCAAAGCAAGUCAUGGAAGAGGAUCAGCAGUCUGUUGUCAAAGGUAUAAAAGAGCCAAAGAAGCGCAGGCUUAUUAGUUCUACGAAUCACGCUGACCUCUUGAACUGUUCGCCAGAAUAUGUUCGUUCCUGUAGCUCAACAAAUAGACGAACGGCUAUAUUGGAUACUGACAUGGCCAAAUUGCAAAAGGCAUUAUAGUUUAAGAAUGAAAAAUAUAAUAGAAAAAUGUCCAAGGAGUUAUUUCCCAGUACAAAAGGCAAGGACGAACUGGUAGAUCAACAAUGUCGGGUGCUUGGCAAGGGUAACCCAAGUUGCACGGAACAUCUAAAAGGGAAUAAACAAACCCCUGUGUUUCUUAAAACACGUUGGCCAACAGGGUGGUACUCGGAUGAUGAACGAGACACGUUGGCAGACGUAAACGAUGAUCAACAACAAUUAGAAGGAUACUCGUCAGAAAAAGAGAAGGACAAUUUGUACGGAUUGGUAGAAAACCAAUUAGAUGAAGAUGUGGGUGACUGGUUCAUAUUUGAUGACAGUGUACAUCAUAGACUAGUAUUAUAUCACGGCCAGCGAUUUAAAGAUGUGACCCAGUUUAGGAACACUAUUCAAGUGUAUGCAAUUCGUGAACGGUUCAAGUUGUGCAUUAUGGAAAAUCGAUCUCACAUUGUCAGUUGCGAGUGUUCUGAUCUUUCUUGCGACUGGCAGGUUAAAGCAAUCAGAGAUGUCCGUGGUAAGGGUUUUGUUAUAACAGAAUUCUCACUAAAACACAAUUGCCCUCGACUUGACCACGCAUUCCACCCUGCAUCAAAGUGGAUUUCAGCAAUGUUUCUUCAUCGAUGGAAAGAACAGACAAGUAUCACCACAACAGAGGUCAAAAAUGAUAUUGAAUCCAUGUAUAGGAUUAAAUGCCCUGAGUGGAAGGUGUUUUGUGCAGCAAACAGAGCAAAACAGAUUUUGGGCCUGGAUUAUGACGAUGGUUAUGCAAUGCUGCAUCAGUUCAAAGAAGAAAUGAAAAGGAUCGAUAGGGACAACAUCGUGCUUCUAGAAACUGAGAGCCAUGAAUCACGAAAAGAAGAAAGGUUCAAGAGGGUGUUUGUAUGCUGUGAACGUACAUCCUAUGCAUUCAAGGUGCAUUGCCGAGGUAUCCUAGCUGUUGAUGGUUGGGAAAUUAACAAUCCGUGCAAUAGUGUCAUGCUGGUGGAAGCUGGACUUGAUGGGAAUAAUGGGAUCUUAACAGUUGCCUUCUGCGAAGUUCAAGUCGAAGACUUGGAUUCUUGGGUUUUUGUUUUAAAGAAUAUCAACAGCGCGCUGCGUUUGGAGAAUGGCAAAGGUCUAUGCAUAUUGGGUGAUGGAGACAACGGUGUUGAAUACGCUGUUGAAGAAUACCUUCCUAGAGCUGUGUACCGACAGUGCUGCCACAAGAUUUUCAACGAAAUGGUCCGGAGAUUCCCCACAGCACCUAAACAGCACUUGUUCUGGUCCGCUUGCCGCACCACGAGUGCUACAAGGUUCUAUAACUAUAUGGAAUUGAUAUAUCUUGGAAGUCAACAAUGCCAUGACUGGUUGAAGAAUUCAAAUUGAGAAAGGUGGGCACUAUUUUGUAUGCCUCAUUAGGUUAAGUGUACCUGUGUCACAUUAACGAUUACUGAGAAACUUCGCACUUCCUUUGACCACUAUUUGGAGAUGAGCAUUACUAGAAGAUUUGCGGCCAUUGCACGCUCAACGGCUGAAAUUUUCGAACGUAGAAGGAUGGCUGUCUGGAAAUAGUAUAGGGAGAAAAUAACGCCCACAGUUCAGGAUAUCAUUCACAACCGUUGUAUUGAUGGUCGGUGCUUCAUCGUGCGUAAGCAGACUGGCACAAUAUUGGAACUGACUGAUAGUUGUUCAUUAUGUUAUGAGCUAAACAUGGAUGCGAUGCCAUGUAGUUGCGGAUUAUGGCAGAUCUCAGGAAUUCCAUGUGCUCAUGCUUGUAGGGGAAUCAAAUAUAUGAGGCGCAAGAUUGAAGACUAUGUGGACAACACGAUGUCUAUACAAAAUUAUAUAUCCACUUAUGCGACAUGCAUGAUGCAAUUACCUCAAGAAUAUGCUUGGAAGUGGGACGCAGGUCACACCCUGCUUCCACCCAUCAGUUUGCCUCUCAAACCAAUUUCGGCCAAAGGCACCGAUGACUUGACAUCCAACAAACAUUUACUACACACGGCUGAUCAGUACCUCACACCUACACGUAACCUUCAGGUGCAUCUUUUCCUUAUACAACUUCUAUGUAUAUUUGCACUGCACAUCCUUAAACUAAUGUCACCUUUGCGAAAACUUAUAUUAACUCCUUCACUACAGUGGACACAGGAUAAGAAUUCGAGCAACUCUUCUGAACAUUCCAGCCUCCUCAGGCUCAUAUCCACCACCAGCUCUAAUACUAUUAGUAAGGAUCCGUUACUUUUUACUAUAUUUUGCAACAAACUCAUAAGUCAUUCACAAUUCCUUAGUGUCCAUGCUUAUGACAACUGCUCUUAACUCACUAAAUGAUUUUUACCUCAACAUUCUACCAAAUUCACAACUACCAUAUGUAUAUAAUGUGCUUAAUUGCAACUAAACUAUUUUCUGUUCGGCUGGUUCUUCUUUUAUCUAUGCCUAUGCAAAUAUUGUGACAGUGACAGAACCAAUGCUGCUCCUGACAUAAACAACUUUUCAUAUUCGCAUACUGCAAUGUAUCUGUUGCUAUUACUGCCAUCUUUAACUAAUGACCAAGAGCUUCAAGCAUGUGAGGGUGAAAUAAAACUUUUGCACAUUCGACUGACACCAUCCUUGUUGGAUGGUAGUGGUAUCCAAUUACUGUUAUAAAUGUGUCGAAUAUGAUUGUGCCAUGCUGAGAAUGACGUCAAUGUGAACUUUAUAAUUGCACUGUUUCUUAAUGACUAUUACUGCCUAUUACUUAAUUUUUUAUUUUUCCUUGGUUGUUUCAACUGGGAGCCCAAUACUUAAAAUUUGUGCUCUAUAAAAAUCGUUGCACACCAGUGCAAUUUCUUUUCCUUUAAAUAUAGAAAUUGUUUAUCUACAAAAGUUUCCAUAUUUUCACACAAUAUGAUCAAUUUAUUGUAUUGCAGGCCUCUGAUAACGGUUUCAAUUGGAUGGAGGACUUGCACUUCAACUUUUGGCCUGCAGACCACCAUUUUUGGAGAAUGGCGCCAAUGGUGUAUUAUAUAUGUAUUGGUUUGUAGUGGGAUGGUGCAUGUUUUGUAUUUGGCUUCUGGGAAGAUGGUUACUGGUACAUAAAAACUUUAACUCUCAUAUAACCAACUUUUGAUAUCCACCAUAACCAACGUUUUUUGUUUGUGAAUGCCGUUUAAUUAACUACGACCAGUUUAAUCUGCAUCUAUUCCCUGUAUGCUUUUGCACUCUUUGUUUGUUUGCUUGUGUCUAAUAACUGUAAUGUCUCAACUUUUGAUGCCGUAGCGUGUUCUAAAACAUCUAAAAUGUCAGCACUAUAGCCAUUAUUCUCUUCUUACUACCGUUACCUAUAAAAUAAAUCCCGAUUUUGCAUUGUCCAUCUCCAUAAUUCCUCCAACCCUUAGAAUGGUUGUUUUGUUUUUCAGAACUAAUUGCCGUUUUUCUUCCCUUACAAACUUUCUCUCUUCCCCUAUUGAGGACCACCUACACAAAUCUGUAGUUUGGAGACAACCAUUUCCUAUUAUCUACACAAUUGUCCUGAAUAAUUAUAACUGUCACUAAAUCGCCUCCUCUAUCAAUUUCCACGGUUCUAACAUAGUAGGAUCCUAGUGAUUAUGUUCAUAUUCUUUUCAUAUGUAAUCUUCUCCAGCUUUUAUAAUUCAUACUCAUUGUAUGUGCUUCACCCAACAUUGUCGUCGCUCUUGCUUUGCAAAUUCAACGUCAACUAUUGGAGAAUAGUAAUAGGCACUGGGGACAUACCCAUUCGGUGGAGCAUAUUAUGCUUCCAUUCAGUGAACCUCUUCCACGACCUUAACAUAACCCAAACACAAUCUUGUGAAAAUCCCCCAAACCAUCCCACUCUGGAACAAUUUCAGUCGGGGUAGUUUAGAUAUAUCCCCGCCAAUCACUGAAUUGCUCGGUAAUUAAAAUGCUGACAUGAUACCCUCUUAUAUUUGGAAUAAAUAGAUAUAUAUAUUAUGCAUAUUUAGGUACCUAAUCAAUUUCGAUGCCACCAACAAAUAGGAUACGGGAAAAUAAAAAAAUAACUAUAACGAUAGAUCAUCCAAUUUUACGACUCAGUUGUGGUGGCCAAAUGUUACCAUCCUCCAAAUAUCUCAAUAGAACUGCAAAUACAUCAAACAUGCUUAUUACAGUUUUACAAGGCCAAAAAUAAAAUUUCUAGGCCUUCAACACCCCCUUCCAGUGCCUUCUCUAGAACCAUUACGAAACUUCCAAUACCUUGUCAGCAACCAUCACCAGUGAUUACAUACCUCAUUCUUCUAAAUCCUAACACAACAUAAACAAACAAAAUACAAACAUGUUUAACCAUUGUAAACGUAAUAACUAACUUAUAUAACAAUAAAAAUUUACGCUAUAUAACUAUACAGCCUCCACAUCUGUUUCAAUCUAUGAUUCCUCGUCCACAAUCUUCACUUCUGCUGUACAGGUAGAUGCCACAGGUAUUAAAUAAAUACUAAUGAGACCACAAUUAAGUCAGUAGUACUUGCGUUUAACAAAUGAAUAUUUUAUAUUACAGUGUAAACCAUAUACCUCCACAACGAGCACACAUCCAUUAUUCAACUUUCACUACACAUCAUAGCCUCAACAUGCCUUGAUGAAUACACUACUUAUUGGACUCAAUGAAUUUAAAUAAUGUUGGUAUCAAUAACACCUCCACUAAUCAAUACAUAAACCAUAACUCACUUUACUAUCUUUUACUAACCAAAGCUCCAAUGCAAUAGUCCGCGUGUAUAUACCUAUAAACAAAUGAAUGCCCCCCAUCAAUUUUCGUUUCUUCAUCGAUUAUAAAGGCAUCCUACAGAAAAUUCGAACAAUUCACUUUUCUAACUUUUCCAUGCAAUCUCUUUCAAACCAAUCCUCUAUCUAACCAUAACUUUAAAUUUAUGCAAGUCUUUUCAUCUUAAAGCCGAUAAAUGUAUUAUGCGUGGCAAACAAAGACAAUUAUAUUAUACAUAUACUUAAAGUGAAUGACCAACCAAAGCACACGCCUCACUAACAAAGUGGUUACAGAUCGAACCACUAAUAUUAUGCCAUUUUUUCCAUUUGUUCUUCGGUGACUCUGUAUGUAUGUAAUUAACCAUUAUUUUUAUGCACCCACUGUCGAUAUUUACUAAUAUACAAUAAAAAAAUUACAUCUACACAAAGUAUGAGCCACCGAAAAUCAAAAGCAUCCAUUGAAACUAUGUUUCUUUCCUUAACAAUUAACCCAUAAAUAAGGUUUAACAUGUCAAUGAUUACCCCACUGCUCAAACCCCUUUACUGUAUUUAUUUCAACCCCUAUACUAUAUUUAUUUCAACCUGAGCAAACCCAGCCAUUCACCUCUUCGCAACCUAGGCAUUUCGAACACCACAUCUUCGAAAUCAACUACAAAAACGCAUUCACAAACAUGAAGCCUACCUAUGCAUGCGAAACGACUCUUCCAGUGCCUGCAAAAAUGCCAGAUUCAUAAUACCAACAAGGCCAUCUUCAAUAAUACAGACAUCAAUAGAAUAUAAUUUCAUAAAUCGGCAGCAACAUUUUUCUUACGGCAAAAUCAAAAUCACGACCACCAAAAAACACACAUUCAUUUACGAUUUAAGGAAAGAAUCUUUACCCUUCCUUGCCUAACGAAAUUUCCGGUUAUUCCCCUCUCUCGCAAAUGUCAGAUUUGAGAUUCAAAUUUGUUUCACAUCCUAUUCUUGUAUUUUUUUUUUUUCCAUGGACUUCAAGACCUUCAUUAGACAACCGGUUUAAACGGUUGUUGUUACUACCUGCGUCCGCUCUCCAAACUUUUAUUUAAACCGUUGGAUUGAACAUACUUAUAUCCAACGGCUUAACAGAAUAAAGACAAACCACAGUGGCACGGUGCCACUGUGGCACCACAGGAUGACCCACAUAACAUAGAGUAGAUAUUUUGAAGUGAAAAGCAGAGCCUUUACUGUUGCUUGCCUUAUCAUCUUUUAAAACUAGAGUUAUUAUUCUUAUAUUUUUAAGUAGCCAACGGAUAGUAGCCAACUCAUCUGUGUUCUCUAUUAUUGAAUUUAAAGAUCAAUGAUUUGGGUCUGCCUACCGUGCAACAGUUGCACGGUAUCCCAUUUUUUGUCUUUUUUCAACUCAGCCAAUGGAUCAAUGGUUAAAGUGUUUAACGGCCAGGAUGUGUUCAAUUGGUUAUUAACACUUAAAUCCUUACUGUUUAUUACAAAAUCAUAAAAGCUAAAAGUUUUUAAAUAUUCACUUACAUAAUUUUUUUUGUUUUAAAUUUUUUAAAGUUUGAUCCAUUGACUUAAUUUGAUCAUAAAAAUAAUUGAUGGUGUAAAUAUAAUAAUGUAAUAUCACAUAAAAUUUUUAAACACAUGAAAAUUUGAUAAAUGUAAAUAAUAUUUUUUGUUAUAUAAUAUAUAUUUAAUGUAAAAUAAAUAAAUUGAAUAUGUUUUAAGAAUAUAGGUUAUUAACCUUUAUACUUUAGAAAAUUAUAAAAUAAAAAAGGUGAAAUUUCAAAAUAAGAAACAUGUAAAAAGUCUUAGGUUGUAAAAUUUUAUUAUUUUAAUAUUACAAAACUUUACUUUUUUAUUACAUUUUUGUUUUUAGCAUUAGUUGACAUGUUAGUUUAUUUAUACAUACAAUAUGUUAAUUUACCUAUAAAAUAUCAAUAUAUAUAUAGCUCAACAAAGUUAUAGAAAGAUAAAUAAAGAAUAAUAUAAAAGGAAGUUAGUUUAUUUUUGAAGAAUAUUUCAAAAGCAUUUGAGCUUCAUAUUUCUUGAGAAUUAUCAUUUUUUAAGAUAUUUGAGCUUGUGAAUCUUGUUGUAAUGAUAAUUUAUUAUUUAUUCUUGAUUAAAAAUAAUUGAAUAGUAAAUUUAUUGAUUUCCAAAUGCUCUUUUAAAUAUAGGGUAGUUGGUUCAUUUUUAUUGUAUUAGCUUAAACUUUGUGUGAUAGCUAAUCAACCAUUGUAAAAGAUCUACUAGGAUUAUUUUUACUUUCUCUACAUCCCUCUAGACCAUCACCACUCAAAAAGUUAAAGGUCCAUUUGGCACACUAUAUUAUAUUGUAUUAUGUAAUACACAUGUAUUAUAUUAUAUUAUAUUACAUUAGUAGUAUAUUAUAAUAAUUAUAAUAAAAUUAUGCAACAUUUGGUAAUUGGUAUUAUCCUGUACUACAUUAAUUUUGUACUAAUAUUAAACUAAAAUUAUUUAAAUUUAUUAUUAAUUAUAUUAAAUUAUUAUUUUCAUAUUAAUUAUUUUUAAAUAAAUAUAAUAUAAUAUAAUAUAAUAAUAUUAUAGUAUAAUUUAUUUUUAUAUUUUUUAUUUAUUAUAAUAAAAAUAAAAAAUAAUUAAAAUAUAUGUAAUGCUUAAUUAAGGCAAAAUAAUAAUAAUGACAGUGGUAUUAUUUAAUAAUCAAAACAAAAAAAUUGUAAAGUUUAAUGAUGAUGACGAUGACGACGACGACAACAUUAAUAUAAAUAUAAUAAUUAGAAUAAUAAGAUUAAUAAAUUUAUUAAUAUUAAUAAAAUAAUAAUUCAGUAAUAAUUCAGUAAUAAAUUUAAUAUAUUUUAAAAAUAGUGAUGGUAAUAAAAUCAAUAAAUAAUAAUGUAAUGAUAACUAAUUAAAGUAAUCAUAACAAUUAAAAUAAUAAAUUUUAAUAAUAACAAUAGUAAUAAUGACAUUAAUAAAUAAUAAUAAUAACAAUUAAAUUUUUUUUCAAAAGUCAUUUUAUAAUUUUAUCCAGAGAAAAGGACCUAUAUAUAAAGAUUUGUAACUUAUAGUAUCUAUUCAGUUUUCUUAUAAAUAUAGGGUAGUGUAGUGUAAUUGUUGGAAAAAGACAAAAUUCAGUGAUACCGUAUAACUGUUGCACGGUAGGUAGACCCCAAUGAUUUAUGUUAAUAAAUAUUUUGUUAACUAUCAAAGUUUUUAUUUCAAAAUUACUGCUAUAAUUCAUUAAAUUUUCAAUUUUUCCUUUUUCUAUUCACACAACAGAUUGAUUUGCCCUCCAAAAAAAUGUAUUAGAUUGUUUAAUAUUGUAACAUUAAGAAACUUAUAAUAAAUUUUUUAAGAGAUAAAUAGAGAAUGUCAGUCUCGCAUCUACUCAAAAUUAAUAAAUAUACCACUAACUCCUUAUUAUUUUUAUAAUAAUUAAUAAUUUUCUUAGCAGUAUAAUUUUAUAGUAUUAUCCUUAUUUGUAAGUACAUUUUUAUUCAUUUUUAUUAUAAAUUAAGUAAAUCAUAUCAAUAAAAAUUAAAAGAACACAAUAUGGUUUGGUGUGAAUAAAAGAUUGAAAAUAAAAAUAUUUUUCUUAUUUUUUUUGUUAUUUUUAAAUGCUUUUCUUGUAAUAAAUGUACAUUUUAUAUUCUUAAGAUGAAUUUUGAGUAAAUGACUCAUUUACUCACUUUUUCUUUAAAUUUGUGUUAGUAGGAGGAUUUUUAGAUAUAUUGAAAAUUGUAAGGUAGUAAGUAAUAAUAUAAUAAUUUUAAUAGAGAAAAAUAAUUAAUUUUAAGACAUUUCAGAAGAUAUUUCAAUAUGCGGUGGACCACAUCCUUGAGUUUUCAUUGUCUCACUCAACUAAAAGGACAAAAUAUUGAGUCAUGAAGGACUCAAUUGAUUGUUAAUUUUACAGCAAUUACCUUUUUUUUUUCUUCUUUCUUUUUUGUUCUUAAUUAUUUUGAAAUGGUAGGUAGCAAUUGCUUACAUCAAAAUAUUUAGCCUCACUCGACAAAGUAUCUGAGGCCAAAAUGCCAAAAGAUGGGACACCCACAUGUGCAUCUAAUUACAAAAUCCAAAGUUAAUGAAAAAGAAAAAAAGAAAAAGUAUAAAUGAACGGUAUUCGCCUCACUUUCAAACAUGUUCAACAUGAAUUUCCUUUUACCAAAAGUAAAUUUCCUCUCGGAUUGUCCUUAUUACAUCAAACGAAUGAUGACGACAUUCUCUGUCCGUUUCUGACUCUUUGCUUUUCUCUCUCACAUCACGAGACACCUCGUUUCUAACUAGGGUACCACCAUCAUAUUUAACUGUUGGGUCUUCCUACUAUGCAGCUGGUGUAUGCAUGAUUCCUUGUGACAUGACAUACAGUCAAUUAAAUUCUGACAUGCUUGCAAUAAAGACUAUUAAAGUGACCGGUUAUUCCGGUUGAAUUCACAAGAUCUCUUGUUUGUGCGUUUAUGUUCCAAGUUGCUUACUAUGUGUUACAAGUUCUCUAAUUAGUCUGAUAUUAUCGCAACUGUUGCUCAAUAAUGUUACAUGUUUUAUAAUAUGUCACUGGUACGAUCGCUGUCACAAAUUUAGAACAAAAAGUUUCCAAUAAAAUAAGUUAUUUAAUUAAUAAAAUAAGAAUAAAAUGAAUUUGUAAAAAAAAUUUAAAUUAAAUUUUGAAUUAUUUUGACCAAAAUUUAAUUUUUUUAAUUUGUUUAAGAAAAUGCGUUGUAAUUGUCUUGUUUUAAUUGGAAAAUCAAUGAAAAAAUUAUGUAACAGACAAAAAAAAAAAAAAGCAAAACGGUUUGUUUUGUACGGAGGCCAUAGAUUCCAAUAUUUCCUUCACGAAAACUACAAAUAAUUAUCAAAGGCAUCAAUUUCUACACUCUCACCGAGCAAUACUUUUAGGUAGCGUUUAUUUUUUGGAUUGGAGUGGGAAUCCUGAGGAGUGGGAAUCAUAGGAUUGGGAGUGUGGAGUGGGAGUGUGGAGUGGGAGUGGGAGAAUGUUGUUUACUUACACUAGAAUGGAAGUAUAUAAUGGAGAUCAGAAUUCAAUUUAUGUGUUUACUUUAUCUUAGGUUGGGAAUAAAUAGUUUCAAAUUACAAUUUUAUCUUUAUUUAAAGAAUUAUAGUUUUUAAUUACAAAGCUAAUAAAAAAUAUAUUUAAUGAAUAAAUAUUUAUUUUAUUAUAUUUGUAAAUUUAUAAUAAUUAUUAAUAUUCUUAAUUAUGAACAUCACAUUUUUUUUAUUAAUUUUAAUUCUAAUAUAAAAUGAAAUGUUAUUUUAUUUAAUAUAAUUAUAUUAAAUUUAUUAUUAUAUAAACUAAUAAUAUAAUUUUAUUUAGUACAAAAUUAAUAUUUUCUUAGAAUAACCUAUUUAUUAUUAUUAAUAUUAAAUAAAUAUAAUACUAUUAUUUUUAAAAUAAAUACAAUAAUAUUAUAUUUAUUAAUUCUCUAUUAAUAUAAUAAUAUUAUUUUAAAAUAAUUUUAACUUAGAAUCAAUGCAAAUUAUUAUUUAGUUAAAUAUAAUAAUAUUAUUCAAAUAAAUAUAAUAUUAUUUAUUUUAUUUUAUUAAUUAUAAAUAUUAAAUUGAAUUAAAAUUUAAAAAAAAAUGUAGAAAAGGGAGAGGUGGGAGUGGAUUCCCACUCCCACUUCUCACUCCAAAAAUGGAUAGGGCCACAGAGUGGGAUUCUCAAUCCUUCACUAAAUAAGUGAAAUAAACACUAAAGUGUGAGAAAUUCACACUCCUCACUCCCACUUCAAAAAAUAAACACAACAUUAACCCAGAAGAAAGUGUAUAAACCAACCCCAAUCUGUCCAUCAAUGUCGUCAACCUCAUACAGCAUAAAGAAAAUCUGUCCAUUAAACCGCCAUUUAAACCGUCUUUAUUGAGCCAUUAGACUAUUCGUGUCAUCUUCCCAUCUCGUUGUAGUAUUUUGCCUUUCAAAUCUAGUUAUCCAUUGGGGAAAAUGGGGACCAAUCUGCAAGUCUUUAAAAUAAAAAAGAAACUUUAAUUGGGCACUAUGUUCACGGUGGUGGACCUAGCAUUAGCUAUUUGUAUUUUAAAAAUUAUUUUACACACUCUAAUUUUAAUAAGAAUAUAUAUUACAAAAUUACUUAUCAUAUAAGUUACUGGACAAUAUAUUAUAAGUCAACAUUAUAUAAUUACUUUGAACAUUUAUAUAGCCCAAUCCUAAUUCAAUUUAUUACUCUCAUGAUUAAAUAUAAAAAUUUUUAUUUCCAACUUCUUAAUUAAUAUGUAGAUGAAUAAUAAGGAAAUUAACUUUGAGAAAAAAUUAAAUACAAAAUAUGUGUAAUACUUUAAAAAAAAUAAACAAAAGUAUUGCACAAGAUUUUUUUUGGGGGGGGGGGGGCUUGGCCAUUCUUCUUCUUCUCCUUCUAUCUCUCUUUUUUUGUAGUAUUUAUGGAACAUUUUCUAUUGUUAUAUUCUCAUUGCAAGUUAUUUUGGGUGUAAAAUUCAAUAUUGAAAAUAAAUUAAAUAAAAAAUUAGUAACUAAAAUUAUGUUAAAUUAUUUUUUAACUUAAUUUUUAGUUAUAUUAUUAGUAUAUGUUAGAUCUCUUAAAAAUCGAGUGUUGAAUAAUUUUAUUAGUUUUUUAAACAAAUAAAGUUAAAUAACUUAAAAAAUUUAAGUAAGGAUAUUUUUAAAUUUUUAAACAGUAUACAAAGUAAAGUUUAUUUUCUUGUCAGUGGCAAAUGAUCACGACAAGAAAUCUGAAGUAGAAACAGCAGAGCUCAACAAAUCACUAAGAGAAAAUAAGACCAAUAACCAAGCAGAUAAAAGAAAAGCAAAAUAACCCAUCUCAAAAUCACCACAUGCACAAUUUAAGGGGUUUGUGACAUGGGUUUAAGCAUGAUUUAACAAGUGCCACCUGUGAAUUGUCAGAGAUUGUAUUUUCAUACACAUGUCAAAUUUUCAAGUCCAACAAAUUGUUAUCUUUCUAAAGAGGCUAAUAUAUUAUUAUCUAUGCAUAGCAUGCUAUAAACAAUUCAUAUUACUGGGCCUUUGUUUUGUGUACACAACAUAUGGACAGAGGAACAAAUGCCUGAGCUAAAAUCAUCAUAUUCCAAAAUAUUCUAUUAAAUCAGCACCACAAAACGCGAACGCUAAACAGAAUUGGAGCAAUUUACCAAAGCUAUUUGUCACGCAAAGCACUAGUACCUCAGAACCCAAUUUGCAAAAAAGCACCAAAAAUGAAAAAUAACAAAUGCCCAGAUGAAAAAUCAGGAAAAAAAAAAGCUCAAAUCCAAAUUACAACCCCAUAAGCUGAGUCGUUCUCUUCGAACUGAAUUAAAAAAAUUAAAAAAAAUUAAAUAGGGAGAUUGACCUCAAACUUUGGAAACAGAAGCGACAUCGAUCUGUUUCUUGUCUGGAGUGUCCAUUUCUAUAAUCUACUUUGUCCGUUUUCAGUCGCUCUGCCACAGAACUUCUUCCCUCUGAAGCUGCAGCUCACACACACUUGCAAAACGAAAGCAUUUUUUAUUGAUUGAGAGGCGGGAAGGCGGGAAAAUGAGAGAAAUUUGCAUUUGUUUUCUCUUGGUUUGGUCACACCUGUGCGGGCCCCAGCUCGACAAGCGGUAUUAUUACUAUUUGUAUAAUUUACAUGACGCGUGUCACGCAAUGACGAUAAAAAUAUAUAUAUAUAUAUUGUUAAUUUUUCACUUAACAUUGAAAUAUCAUAUAAUUUUUCUAAUUUUAUGGUUAUUUUCUCGCCCUUAUGCCACAUUCUUUUGAUCAAAUAAUACAGUAAAAUUUUUCUAUAAUCAUAAUAUUAGAGCCAAAUUAACUUUAUUUCUGUAAAGAGGCUAUAGCUUAAUAAAGGUAAAACUAUAAAAAAUAUUAUUUUGACUCAGUUAUCUUUAGUGCAAGUGAUAUAAAGUACAAAUAUAUGAUAAUUAAUUAAUGAACUAUGUCAAAUACAAUAUGCUGACAAUGAUAAAAAAGAUAGACAUAAUUUCAAGAAACUAAUACAUAUAUUUAUGUAGUGCUGGGAUUAUACAAAAUUAUCUUAAAAGUGUAAAUAGUAAAGUACUAUUCUGAUUAAUUUAAAAAAAAUAUUUUAUCUUAAUCUUUAAUGCAACAUAGCUUUUUUUUUUUUCUUAGCAACAAAGCAUUGUUCCAAAUAAUUAUUAUUGGAUUCAAAUCAUGUCCUAGGCAUUUUUUCUUCUAGUCGUCUUUAACUUUUAAUGAUUUAUUGGCAUGUGUCAAUCAUUAAUGAAAUUAAAUAACUAAGACUUUGUUUUAAUUAACGUUUACAUAAAUAGACAUCAAAACUCACAUGUGAUUCUUAUCAAAUUUUUUCCUGCAAAUUCUUUUCCUCUCAACUAUUCAUAUUUUGAUAUUAAUUUCCAGCAAAUUAUUAAAAAAAAGAAGAAGCGUAAAAUGGAGAAAAGUGAUUGACAAUAAGAUUUGCAUCUUUAUUUCAAAAUUUUCCUUUCUUUGCUAUUUUUGUGGGUUCUACAAUUGUUGUUUUCACUCUCAGCUGCAGUUCAAUGAACUCUAUUAAAUAAUUAGUUUUUAAACUACAAGUAGCUUUGGAACAGCUCUUAAAUUGAUAUAACUUCUAUUAUUAUGUAACUUAGCAAGGUCAGAUAUUUUAAUAAUAGCACAUCACUAUUGUUUCAUGUGAAUGAUGCAAUUGGAUUAGCCAAUACAUACCGUCAUCCCCGGGAGAUGCUAUGGCAAUAGCUUACUCUACCGUGCCAAUGUCAUUAGUAUUAAUCUGUCGAACCUAAGACCAGAUCUAAGUUGAUCUAGAUUCCCCAAGAUUGCACACCACACAGUGAUUAAUGAAUCAAGAACAAUAAACCAUCAAAGAAUCGCAAACUUACAUGUCGGGUUACAUGUAAUAAAUGUUUUAAUUAUUAGAUGAUUCAUAAUGUUAGACCAUUUUUUGUAUGUUUUGUAAUCUACGUUUGAUAAUUUAAUUAGCUGAUAAACACUUGAAUAAUAUUAUUUCAUUAACUAUGUCAUUGAUCCCCAGGAAAAAAAAAAAAAAAAAACCCAAUUUGGGAUGUUAUACAUUACUUUUUCAUUACUUCCCAUUUUAGAUUAAUAUUUAUCACAUAUAUUCUUAGCAACUUGUAACCCUUUUUGCUAAGGGUGAAAUGUGUUUGUUACCCCUUCUAUUUCUGAGAUUGUCCUUACAAUAAGGAUGCCGGCCACAAUGUCAAAAACUGCUAUCUCUAGGUGUAAAUUCCUUAUAAAAUUCUUUUUUAAUUGAAAUUACUUAAAUAAUUGAAGAUAAAUUAAUUUUUUAUUUCAUUCAAAUAAAAAAAAUCAAUUAAACACUUCAAUAAGCUAUCCUUUUAAUUUUUUUUUACACCCAUCCAGUUUCAUAAUUUAUAUUUAUAAUUUAAAUUUUAAUGGGAAUAUUUUUUUGAAAAAUUUUAAGAAUUAAGAAUUAUGGGGAUAAAAAUUAUGUAAUAAGACCAAAAUAAUUUAAAAUUUUAAAAUUUGCAUGUAUUAUAAACAAAAACUUGAAAGAAAUACUCUUUUCAGGGUGAAAUUUAAUGAGAAAAAGAUUAAUUUUAAUUUAUGAAUUAGUAUUUUAUAAGUUAAACUGAGGUAUUUCAAGAAAUAGAAUUCAAAAGGCAUGGGAACGAGGGCCUUGGGUUUCAUUUUGUUUUGUAUGAAUUGGGAAAAAUACACGGACAGACAAAGGGAGCAGUCAUUAUAAUGCUGUGGAGCUUGUCGGAGAUUCCCUGCCCAUUUGUAGCUUAGAAUCCUGGGGUUUUGUUCAUGUCUUUUCUCUUUCCCACUUUCUCAUAUUGCUGUCUCAUAAGAGAAAUAGUCAUACAUAGUUGGUUAGGCCUCCAGUCCAUUAACUUAAUAAUGAAUUUUAUGAAAAUUGAUUAUCUCAUUGGAAUUACAUAGAUAUUGGAAAACAUUACUCCAGCCCCACCAUCCCAACCAUUUACUUAGUUCAUCAGUAAAAGCUGGAUUUUCCAUUUGUUCUUGAGAUUCAAAUUAAGGCAGCAAGUUGCUCAUUCAAUAUUAUCUAUGUAAUCCUGUAAAAGUGAAGGGCGUUUAGAUGUGGAAAAACCUUACUCCUGCCGCAACACCUCAAACAGAUUGUGAUCAGACAAGACUUAGUUCAUCAUUAGCGGUAGUUGGAGCUUCCAUUUGUUCUAGAGAUUCAAAGGCAGCAAGCUGCUUCCUCAGUGCUACUAAUUCUUCCCCGGCAUUGCAUAUGUAGCCUGAGGCUUGUCUGCCAGACAAAGUUGCUCCUUCCAUACUAUCUAUGUAAUCCUGUGAGAGUGAAACCAUUUAGAAGACAUAUCUCUUUUUUUUUUUCAAUAUUUGGAAUGAAACAAUUAUAUACAGUUACCUGUUUUGUAUAUGAGCUGGCGAGGAAGAAGUUCUUCACUGGUAUCUUUUGAUCAGGUCUGAAGGGGUCUUUACCAGGUCCCUCACCUCACAAAGAUUGCCGGAUUUUGACGACAGAUAACCAAAUAACUUCUAAACCUUGGGAUGAUGGAAAUAGAGCUCAAACCUAAUAAAAGGAACCGUGAAUGGAUAGUAUGGACUCAUGUAUAUUAUCCAGAAAGUUGCAUGACCUUUUUUGGUACUCAGGUCACUAAAAAAUGUGAGAUAAACAUCUAGGAUAAGAAAAGCAAAAAAGCAUAACCUAAUACGUAUUAUAUGAAUUGAAGGUGUCACUGAACGCUACCAACCUGCUUUGCCACUCUCCUUCUGAUUUCAUCAUUUGGUAAGGGCAUAUAAGGAUCUCCAGGCGUCAAAAUGCAUCUGAAAUAUAAUAUGGCUAUAGUAAGUAACACAGAAUACAAAGACACUUAGCAAAAGGAAGUCAAUCAGAUUCCAUGCACAAAAAAUAACUAAUAAUGACGAGGAUAAGAAAUUUUUCUUGCUGGAGCAACGAACCUUGCCCUUCUCUGUAGUAGUCUUCUGGUGAAGUGAGUGCUAGAUCUGCAAAGCAAGAUAAAUCUGCAUCUGGAGUAUAUGAAAGGUUAUCUAACCCCACAGCUUGCCUCAAUUGUCUACAUGUUCAAAACAAGGAUCUGUUAAAAAAUGGAAAUUUCUUCAAUGCAUUAGUAAAGGGAAGUGAAGUGAAAGCUGAUUUCUUAGGCCUUCACAGAGCAUCAUGUGUUUGAAUUCCGGUAACCUCACAAAAAAUUAGAGCAUCACCUUGACCGUUCUAGGUCUUGCAACUCAGUAACCCAACCAUUGCAUCUAAGCUGCACUGUGACAACAGGAACUCCAACUAGCUCAUAAAUAUUGUUGAAAAUUUUCAUUUCCCUCCACGAUGAUGGAGGCAAACUUUUAAUUCCAGGGACAUCACAUGCAGCCAUUAAAUAAGAAGUUGAAUAAAGAAAAAUCGUUCAACUAAAUGAUUCAGGAGUUAAAAAAAAAAAUGUAGAAGUAGAAAUAAAUAACGAAGAUUUAACCAUAAACCUGCAACAUAUGCAUCAGCUUGCACAACCUUCUUGUCAGUGGCCUGAAAUAGAAUGAGAAAUUGAAAGACAGUAAGCAUUAAAGAAUAAACUCAAAGAAGCUGCUUCUAACAGAUGAUAUAAACAGUAAAUUUACAAAUGUCAGAUCAUUGCAUUAGCUCUAUGCCUCCAUCAGAGGGAAUAUUAAUAGAUGCAUAAAAAAAUAAUUAGAGCCACAUGUUAAACAAUUUACCUUAGAAGUAGCAAGUGCUUUGACAAAUUUUUCCCCGUUAGCAGAUUUAUCAUAAAGUAUCUCUCUGCAUCCCCACCUAAGAUGGAACCUGUUCUCACAAGAACAGAUCCCAAGGUUGGGAAAAUCAGUUCAUCAUAGGAGAAAACAAAGAAGAUUAACAAAUCACUACAAUGGUGUGAACCCGUAAAUACAAACGUACCUGCCCCCUUUAUCUGUGAUAUAUUUUCUUAUGGGCCCACUCAAAUAAACAUCCGGAGAACCCUUGAGCAUCAGCAAUAGGGAAGCCUCGGUCUUAGUCGCAAACAGUGCAAAUAUAGUGAGCAUACAACGAGCACUGAUGUUAUCACAAUCAAUAAACCCAAGGGCAUACGCAACAGGAUCCCACAUUCUUUGGAACCCUUGGACAAAAACCAAUCAGAGAAGCUUAUCUGUAAGAAGAAAUGAAGUUUUAGGUAAAAUGACAAUCUGUAAGAACAGGGAUUGAAAUUCAACAAACAAGAAAAUAUGAUGUCAUUCUUACACUAUCCAAAUCUCAUAUGUCCUUCAAGGCUCCAUCAGGAUCAACAAGUGCCUUUACAACAGCACUCAGAGCAAGAGCAAGAGCAUUUCUUGCUUUAUCAUAAGUCUGCACUUGAGCAAUUUAUGAGGCAAAGUACAUCAAAAGAGAAUCCAAAAGAGGCAAGAAGCUUCAACAUGAAAAAAGGAGUACUGCCUCAUCAUACUGCUUUGCAAUCACAGUGCAAAAGAUAACAUCAACAAAAUCAAAUUCUAGCAUAAAUCCAUAUGCACUACCUUAAGCUGAUUUGUAGACAAAAGACCCGUUUGGGGCAGCUGCGCGGUUGCAGCGCAGCUGUCCCAAACGGGUCCAAUCAGAAACCCAAAAUCAAGUUCUGGAGUUGAAAAUCAAAAUCAUGAACCAAAUCAGAGUUAUUAUUGAAUUAGACAAUCCAUAAACCAAUAGAAGGUAAAACAAAAAGGAAUAAAAAUUCUUCUAAAUUCUUUCACCAUCAACAAAAUCAGUAAAACACAUACUAAUUCAAAAUGACAUAAAGUUUGUGAAUUGAAAUAAUGCCAACUCCUAAGAAAAAUUAUGACUGCUGAUAUUUUUUCCGAAAUGCUGAUAAAAGCUUCUGCUAUUUACUUUGAAAAAAUAGAGGUUAGAAGCCAAUUUACUUGAAAUUUUGAGUUUAGGCAAGAGGAUGAAUGGCAAAAGUGAAACAAUUUAGGGAAAAAUGUACUUCAGAGGCCAAUGAAAGCAUUCAGAAGAUUGAAAUCUAAAUAAGCAAAACCCCGUGGCCUUGAUCCAACAAAUCCACUGCUGUUGACAUGCCUGCAAGCCCAGCUCCAAUAAUAGCCACUUUCAGCUUUGGUCCUCUAUAAUGUUCCGGUUCUGGUAGAAACAAACCCUUGGGAGCUGCCAAGUAUACCAUCCAAUUAUCCACAGCGAUAAUGGAAAUAUAUAUGUGUUUAAAGGUACUAAAUUCCUAAACAUGAAAUGUAUCCAAAGAGAGACACAAAGCAGAAUUGUGAAACCCAAUAAAUUUUAAGAAUACAAAAUACUCGGUCUGUUCCUCAAUUCCUUUAAUAAAAUUUCCACUAGAGGCUCCGGAAGCCACUCAAUAACACUCCAAAGCCAGAUUUUAAACGUUCUCUUUAUCUUUAACUACAAUCCACAAACAAUUCUGCCACAAAUUCAAUUCAAAAUUGUUCAAGUGCACCGCCACUUCUCCAUCAAUUCCCUCAAAAAUUCAUAAUUGGCAAACACUACAAACCAAAAAGAGCUUCCAGCAAUAAACGCAUAAAAAUCCACCAAGCAACAUAAAACAAAAUACCCAGAAACCAGAAAAGCCAAAAGAUCAAUGCUUGGCAAACAAGCCAAUCAAAUAAAACAAAAAGAAGAGAAAUUUACCAUUAACGCUCAUAUCAGAAACAUUAGUGUCCAAAGAAGCCCGUACACGGAAUCUUGGAUCCUUCACUUGAACCCGAGACCAUGUAACGCCAGUAACUGAAGUUGCAGGAAACAGAACUGAAGAACCCAUAUUGCAAAUCCUGAGCUGAAAUCAAAGAAAUUCAAUUGGAACUCAAUUCAGCUCAACCGAGCGGAGCUCUCUUUUGCUUCAAUAACAAAGUGUUUUUCUUUCAUAUCAACAAAGAUUUGUCAACAUCAACAAAAUUUAACUAAGAAACUAAAAAUAAUGCGGUAUCUUUGAGUUUAAGAAUCUAACAAAGAUUUGUCGACAUCAGGGAACUGUUUCGGAGAGGUUGGCCAAGUGCAUUUUUGUUUUUUUCUUGUUUUGCCCUUUUCAUUAAUGCACAACAUUAGUCCACGUGAAGAGCACAAAAUGCUGGUGGCUUUGUCACUAACGAUAAUGGAUGGAGUGUCCAAAGCAACCAACUAAAUUUUAAAGAGAGGGAAUGAUAAGUAAUAUCUUAAUGGGGUGAUUAAUUAAUUUAUUAUCAAGCAAUUGUAUUUAUUUAUUUAAAAGAUAUCCUUAUCUUUGUACAAGGUUUGAGGAAAGACGACGAUGUUGUGUUGUCACAUAUUUUUACGUUUCUCCAUAAUUCACUGCAACAUCAACUGGGCCACCACCUCUUGCCUCUCCCGGUUCCCCUCAAUUUUCUUAUUCAAUGUCCACCGUUGAUUGUACAUUUAUUGAAAUUCUGUGGUUAUUGUUUUUUUGCAUACAUUUAAUUCCACACGGUCUAUGAAUAGAGCAGGUGCAUCGUAGUUGUGGCCUUAACUGUUAUUGGUAACUCAAUAGCUAAUUCUAAUGUUUCAUCAAGCAGUUUAGAGAUAACCUCUCUCGCUGAACUCCCCGGAGUAACGCAAUCCAGUUUUCCAGUGCAAUCAUCAGACAGUUGAACAGCUUCUGAAUUCCCUUUGCUUUUCUUGUUUUCUUUUCCAUGUAAAGGGAGCUCAGGCUUCAAUAUAUCUGGGGAUUGAGUACUAAUGAUAAAGACAACAUACGAUAGAGGACACAAAUUGUUAUUAAAGAAUGACGCACUUUUCAACUGAGUACAGUAAAGCAAGAAUGGGUAAUUAGUUUUACCUGCAACGUGAAAAUCUAGACUCCCGACGGUAACCGAUCUUUGGUGAAGCAAAUAAAGAAGAAGGCGAAGUAAAAUUCACUGAGUUGAAUGAGCAAUCAUUACGUAUGGACUUGAUUUGUUCAAUGGGUGAAAGACUGCUGAUAUAAUUAAAGACUGGAGAAUCCUGCACGUUGACAAGCAUCAUUUUUAAUAUAACAUAGAGUCUUAAAAACCUAGUCAGUGGCAAAUGAUCACGACAAGCAAACUGAAGUACAAACAGCAGAGCUCAACAAAUCAUUAAGAGAAAAUAAGACCAUUAACCAAGCAGAUAAAAGAAACGCAAAAUAACCCAUCUCAAAUCACCGCAUGCACAAUUUAAGGGGGUUGUGACAUGGGUUUAAGCAUGAUUUAACAAGUGCCACCAGUGAAUUCUCAGAGAUUGAAUUUUCAUACACAUGCAAAUUUCCAAGUCCAACGAAUUGUUGUCUUUCUGAAGAUAUUAACGUUGCAUAGCAUGCUAUAAAUAAAUCAUAUUAUUAGGGCCUUUCUUUGCUGUACACAACAUAUGUACAGAGGAACAAAUCCAUGAGCUGAAAUCAUCAUAUUCCAAAAUAUUCUACCCAAUCAACACUACAAAACCCUAACGCUAAACAGAAUUGGAGCAAUGUACGAAAGCUAUUUGUCACACAAAGCACUGGUACCUCAGAACCCAAUUUUCAAAAAAGCAACAAAAAUGAAAAAUAGCAAGUGCCCAGAUGCAAAAUCAGGAAAAAAAUGCUCAAAUCCAAACUACAACCCCAUAAGCUGAGAUUGACCUCAAACUUGGAAACGGAAGCGACAGUGAUCUGUUUCUUGUCUGAAGUGUCCAUUUCUCUCGCUCCGCCACAAAGCCUCUUCACUCUGAAGCUGAAACUCACCACGCACUUGCAAAACGAAAGCAUUUGAUUGAUUGAGAGGCGGGAAGGCGGGAAAACGAGAGAAAUUUGCUUUUGUUUUUUCUUCGUUUGGUCAUACAUCUGCAGGCCCCAGGUUGACAAGCGUUAUUACUACUACUUGCAUUAUUUGAAGGACGCGUGUCAUGCAACGAUGAUGGAAAAAGUGGUGCAAAACUUCAAUGGUCACGAAAUGACGAUAAAACAAAAAUAUAUGGUUAAUUUUUCACUUAACAUUGGAAUAUCAUAUAAUUUUAUGGUCAUUUUCUCGCUGUUACGCCACAUUCUUUUGAUAAAAUAAUAUGGUUAAACUUUUCUAUAAUCAUGAUAUUAGAACCCAAUUAACUUUAUUUCUAUAAAGUGGUUAUAGCUUAAUAAAGGUAAAAUUGUAAAAAAUAUUAUUUUGACUUAAUUAUCUUUAGUGCAAGUGAUAUAAAAAAUAAAUAUAUGAUAAUUAAUUAAUAAAUUAUGUCAAAUAUAAUAUAUGGACAAUGAUAAAAAAGAUAGACAUAAUUUCAAAAAACUAAUAUAUAUGUUUUUGUAGUGCUGGGAUUAUACAAAGUUAUCUUAAAAGUGUAAAGAGUAAAGUAUUAGAUUGGAUUGAAUUAUAUAUAGUGCUGACUUAUGUUUGGUAUGAUAUUGUAUUAGAUUAUGUUAAAUUAAAUUUACAUGAAAUUAAAUAGUAUUUACAUUAAUAUUUGAAUUUAAAUAUCAACUAUUUAUAGAUAUUUAACAAUAAAUAUUAUAAUUAAUUAAAAACAGCACUAAUAAGGGGUGUGUGUGUGUGUGUGUAUUCAUUUAGUUAUUGGGUAGUCAUAAUUAUAAUAAAGAAAUAUAAACUAUUUAAAUUAUAGGUUAUUUCAAAGAGUAAUGAGAGAUAUCAUUUCAUUAAAUAAAAUAAAUAAAACUAUUCAAAUAAUAAAUUAAUUAAUAAAUUUUAAGUAAAUCAUGAAUAAAAAAGAAAUUACUUAAUUAAAAACAAUAAAUAAAUAAAUAAUUUUUAAGUUAUAAAUAAAAUUGUGUAAUAAAUUAUGGAAGAUAUUAUAAAUACACAAAUAUUUUUUUCACAUUAUCUAGUCCCAACUAAACCCACAUAAAAAUUAGAAUUAGCAAUCCCAUGAAUUUAGGAUUAAAAUUUGAAUUUAGUCCAUUAAUCCAAUCCAAGUGAGCAUGCCAAACAUAGUAUUAAUAUUUUAUCCCAAUAAUAAGUCCAAUCCUACACUAAAUCCUACCUCCCAAACAUAACCUUAAGAAUCUAUUGACAUGUGUCAUUAAUGAAAUUAAAUGGCUAAAAUUUUGUUUUAAUUAAUUUUUACCUAAAUAGACAUCAAAACUCAUGUGUGACUCUUGUUAAUCUUUUUCUUACAAUUUCUUUUCCUCUUAAUUCUUUAUAUUUUGACACCGAUUUCUAGCAAAUUAUUAAAAAAAAGAAAAGGAGCACAAAUUGGAGAAAAGUGAUUGACAACAAGGUUUGCAUCUUAAUUUCAAAAUUUUCCUUUCUUUGUUGUUGUUUUUUUUUUUUUUGGGUUCUAUAAUUGUUGUUUUCACUCUCACUUACAAUUCAAUGAACUAAAUUAGUAUUGCUACUUAUAAACUGCUAUUACCGGGCAUAUAAUUUUAUUGCUACAAUUUUACUGCUGUUUAGCUAUUUUUCUGAGUUUUUAGUUGUUGUUCUAUUGUCUCUUUGGGGUUUGCAACUGAUGUUUGCUGUUUUUCUAUGAAACAAUUAAAUUCUUUUGCUGCUACAUUUUUUGUUGUUCUAUUAUGGCCGGGACGUAUGUGAAAGGGAAAGAAUCUACCCAAAAAAAAAAAUGACAAAGAGUCACAUGUGAGUUUAGAUGUAUUUUUAAGUAAAAAUUAAUUAAAACAAAAUCUUGGCCCAUUAAAUAACUUAAUAUAAUCAAUUUGUUCUUAAUAACUUAAUAUUAUUUAAUCUAUAGAAGCAAGAUCCUCGAAGACAAAACCUAUAAAUAAUUUAAUAUAAUGAAUUGAUUCUUAAUCUACUCCAAAUUGAGACUACAAUUUUUUACUUAAAAAUUGGCUAGCUAACUUUACCUUGAUGGGCUGACUAUCGCCCAUACAUAUUUCUUCAAAUUUAUUAAUAUUUUUGUGCAUAGCAAUUAGGGUUACGUGACAACGAAUUCUCCUUUUAGUAUAUAAAAAGUAUACUCACAAGUAGUGUAGUGUUCCCCUCCUAAAGGGCAUAGCUCACUGACUUUUAGUCUCUUUCUUCAGUUGACGACUCCAGUUAGACUCUUCAAUGAGAUUAAAGAUUGAAUAUAUCAAAAAUAUUAGCAAUAUUUGUGCUUAUAUUUAACAAAACUAGAGUAAUAUAUUGAUUAAUCUACAUAAUUUUAGGCGGGUUCUUAGGUAAUGUUACAAUUACAUAGAUUAUUUUCACAGUAUAAGCCAAAUCUUAAGAAUUAAUUACUUGAAUAAAAGGAAUAAAGGAUGAUCGAUAAAAGUAAAACAAAGAAAAUAAAUUAUGCCGUUAAAUUGGGAUAUUUGGCUGCCUUAAUCGCUAGAGAUGCUUCUCCAAAACCCGCGUGUAAACAAAACACAUAUUUUUAACAUAACAAUAGCCCAAGCACAUAAACAAGAGUGAAAGCCGAGGAAUCAAUUUCAUUACUGUUCACUAGUAUUUUCAAUUUCAUUAUUUCAUUAACUGUCAUUGAUAAAAAAAAAAAAAAAAACUCAAUUUGAGAUGUUAUACAUUACUUUUCAUUACUUCCCAUUUCAAACAUAUUUAUCAUAUAUAGUCUUAGUAGCUUGUAACCCUUUCUGGUAAGGGUAAAAUAUUUCUUACCCCUUUGAUUUCUGAGAUUGUCCUCACAAUAAUGAUGCUGGCCCCAAUUUCUAAAACUACUAUCUCUAUGAGUAAAUUCCUUAUAAAUUUUCUUUUAAUUGAAAAUAUUUAAACAAUUGAAGAUAAAUUAAUUUAUUUUUUUAUUCGAAUGAAAAUUCAAUUAAACACUUAAAUAAGCUAUUCCUUUAACAAUUCUUUUCACACCCAUCAUGUUUCGUAAUUUAUAUUUAUAUUUAUAUUUUAAAAUUUAAUUGAAAAUACUUUUUGAGAAACUUUUAAGAAUUAAGAAUCAUGGAGAAAAAAAUGAUUUAAUAUGAAGAAAAUAGUUUAAAAUCUUAAGAUUUGUAUGUUUUAUAAAUAAAAACUUGAAAAAAUACUCUUUCCGAGAAAAGAUUUAAUCAGAAAAUGAUUAAUUUUUAAUUUAUGAAUUAAUAUUUUAUAAAUUAAACUAGGGGUAUUUUAAGGAAUAUAAUUAAAAAAGAGUGUCAUAAGGAUAUUUAGGGGUGUUAGAAGCCAUACUCAUUUACAUAAGCCAUGGGAGUUAGGGUAUUGGGUUUCUUUUUGUUUUGUAUGAAUUGGGAAAAAUACAGAGACAGACAAAGGGAACAGUCAUUACAAAGCUGUGAAGCGUGUGGGAGAUACCCAUUUGUAGCUUAAACUCCUAGGGUAUUGUUUCUGUCUUUCUCUUUCUCACUUUCUCAUGCAGCAGAUGUACAUAUCAUGAAAUAGCCAUACAUAGUUGGUUAGGCCUCCAGUCCAUUAACUUAAUAAUGAAUUUUAUGAAAAUUGAUUAUCUCAUUGGAAUUACAUGGAUAUUGGAAAGCAUUACUCCAGCCCCACCAUCCCAACAAUUUACUAAGUUCAUCAGUAAAAGCUGGAUUUUCCAUUUGUUCUUGAGAUUCAAAUUAAGGCAGCAGAUUGCUCAUCCCAUACUAUCCAUGUAAUCUUGUAAAAGUGAAGGGCGUUUAGAUGUGGAAAAACCUUACUCCUGCCGCAACGCCUCAAACAGAUUGUGAUCAGACAAGACUUAGGUCAUCAUUAGUAGUAGUUGGAACUUCCAUUUGUUCUUGAGAUUCAAAGGCAGCAAGCUGCUUCCUCAGUGCUACUAAUUCUUCCCUGGCAUUGCAUAUGUACGCUGAGGCUUGUCUACCAGACAAACUUGCUCCUUCCAUGAUAUCUAUGUAAUCCUGUGAGAGUGAAACCAUUUAGGACACAUAUCUCUUUUUUUCUAUUGAUCGUGACAUAUUUGGAAUGAAACAAUUAUAAACAGUGACCUGUUUUGUAUAUGAGCCAGCAAGGAACAAGUUCUUCACUUGUGUCUUUUGAUCAGGUCUGAAGGGGUCUUUACCAGGUCCCUCAUGGUACAAAGACUGCCCGAUUUUGACAACAGAUGACCAAAUAACUUCUAAACCUUGGGACAAUGGAAAUAGAGCUAAAACCUGAUAAAAGGAACCGUGAAUGGAUAAUAUGAACAGAUGUAUAUCAUCCAGAAAGUUGCAUGACCUUUUGCAGGGCUCAAAGUCACUAAAAAAUGUGAGAUAUACAUCUAGGAUAAGAAAAACGAAAAAGCGUAACCUAAUAUGUAUUAUAUGAAUUGAAGGUGUCACUGAACACUACCAACCUGCUUUGCCACUCUCCUAAUGAUUUCAUCAUUUGGUAAGGGCAUGUAAGGAUCGCCGGGCGUUAAAACGCAUCUGAAAGAUAAUUCAGUUAUAGUAAGCAACACAGAAUACAAAGACACUUGGCAAAAGGAAGUCAACCAGAUUCCAUGACACAAAAUGAAACUAAUAAUGGCGAAACUUCUCUGUAGUAGUCUUCUGGUGAAGUGAGUGCCAGAUCUGCAAAGCAAGAGAAAUCAGCAUGUGGAGUAUACAAAAGAUCAUCUAAUCCCAGAGCUUGCCUCAAUUGCCUACAUGUUCAAAACAAGGAUCCGUUAAAAAAUGGAAAUUUGUUCAAUGCAUUAGCAAAGGGAAGUGAAGUGAAAGCUGAUUUCUUAGGCCUUUAAAGAGCUUCUUUUGAUUGAAUUCCUGUAACCUCACAAAAGAUUAGAGCAUCACCUUGACCGUUCUAGGUCUUGCAACUCAGUAACCCAACCAUUGUAUCUAAGCUGCACUGUCACAACAGGCACUCCAACUAGCUCAUAAAUAUUGUUGAAAAACUUCAUUUCCCUCCACGAUGAUGGAAGUAAUCGUUUAAUUCCAGGGACAUCACAUGCUGCCAUUAAAUAGGAAGUUGAAUAAAGGUAAAACAUUCACCUAAAUGAUUCAGGAGAACAAAAAAGCACAAGUAGGAAUAAAUAAGGAGGAUUUAACCACAAACCUGUAACAUAUGCUUCAGCUUGCACAACCUUCUUGUCAGUGGCCUGAAACAGAACCAGAACCUCUAAGACCAUAAGCAUUAAAUAAUAAACGCAAAGUAGCUGCUUCUAACAGAUGAUAUAAACAACUGAUUUACAAAUGUCUGGUCAUUGCAUUACCUCCAUCAGAGGGAUUAUCAAUAGACGAGUAAAAAAAUAAAUAACUAAACUAGCUUUUGCCGCCUAAUUAGAACCAUGUGAGAAACAAUUACCUUAGACAUGGCAAGUCCUUUGACAUAUGUUUCUCCAUUAGCAGAUUUAUCAUAAAGUAUCUCUCUGCAUCCCCACCUAAGAUGGAACCUGUUCUAGCAAAAACAGACCCCAAGGUUAGGAAAAUCAGUAGGAGAAAACAAACAAGAUUAACAAAUCACUGCAAUGAUGUGAACCUGUAAAUAGAAAUUUACCUGCCCCCUUUAUCUGUGAUAUGUUUUCGUAUGGGCGCACUCAAAUAAGCGUCUGGAGAACCCUUGAGCAUCCGCAAUAGGGCAUAAGCAACAGGAUCCCACAUUCUCUGAAUACUCGUCCGUGUCCCACCUUUGGACAAAAACCAAUCAGAGAAGCUUAUCUGUAAGAAGAAAUGAAGUUUUAGGUAAGAUAACAAUUUGUAGGAACAAGGAUUGAUAUUAAAACAAACUAGAAAAUAAGAUGUCAUUCUUACACUAUCCAAAUCUCCUACGUCCUUCAAGGCUCCAUCAGGAUCAACGAGUGCCCUUACAACAGGACUCAGAGCAAGAGCAAGAGCAUUUCUUGCUUUAUCGUAAGUCUGCACUUGAGCAAUACAUGAGGCAAAGUACAUCAAAAAAGAAUCCAAAAGAGGCAAGAAGCUUCAACAUGAAAGAAGAAAUACUGUCUUAUCAUACCGCUAACUAAUCAGAGUGCAAAAGAUUACAUCAACAUAAUCAAAAUGGAACAUAAAUCCAUAUGCACUACCUUAAGCUAAUUUGUAGACAAAAAUGCGCGAAUCCCAUGUAAGGGAGCUCCGACUGGAAACCGGAAAUCAUGUUCUGGAGUUAAAAAUCAAAAUCAUGAACUUAAUCAGAGUUAUUAUUGGACUAGACAAUCCACAAACCAAUUUCAGAGUGUCCAACCACCAAACAUAACUAUCAGUAGUCUUAAGUGAUCAAGAAAUAACCAUACCACCAAUUUCACCACCCUUAUUCACAAAUGUAUGAGUAUGAUCCUUCAUGAGUAAAUUUUUUUGUGUCCGCACUGACCUGUAGACAUCCAUGAAAAACUAUCAGAUUAUAAACACAGGGUCAAUUUAAAGAGGAGCUAUGAUUCUGAUCCAUCAUGAUAUUUGAAGAACAUUUUCAUAUUUUCCUACAACGAGUAAACUAUAACCAGUUAUCAUCACUAUAGAUGGCAUGGUCAAGAGAAAUUAUAGUUCUUGUUUCAAGAAUCUCAAAUCAUAAUUCCUUUGCAUGGCUAGUGUGCUUUUAUAAUCAUUCAAACACACUUAUCCACAACUAAGCAAGCUUUACCUUUUUCAUCAAUCGGAACAGAUUAUUGUAGCAUCCAAAGAAAAUGUGCAGGCCCAUUUCAAUAUGGUUUCCAUGUUUAUCAAUAAAUGAACCCACUUUACCACCAAUGAAAGACCUUGACUCAUAUAUAUCCACCUGGAAGGGGGGGGAAUCUUCUAAUUUCUUUCACCAUCAACAAAAUCAGUAAAACACAUACUAAUUCAAAAUGAAAUAAACUUUGUGAAUUGAAAUAAUGCCUGCUCUAAAGAAAAUGAUAACUGCUAUUCAUUUUUCCGAACUGCUGAUAAAAGCUUCUGCUAUUUACUUUGAAAAAAUUGAGUAACUUCAAAUUUUCAGUUUAGGCAAGAGGAUGAAUGGUAAAAGUGAGACAUUUUAGGGGAAAAGAAAAUACUUGAGAGGCCAAUGAAACAUUGAAAGAUUGAAAUCUAAAUGAGCAAAACCUCAUGGCCUUGAUCCAACAAUUCCCCUGCUGUUGACAUGCCUGCAAGCCCAGCUCCAAUAAUAGCCACUUUCAGCUUUGGUCCUCUAUAAUGUGCCGGUUCUGGUGGAAACAAACACUUGGGAGCUGCCAAGUAUACCAUUCAAUUAUCCACAGGGAUAUUGGAAAAACAUACAUGUUUGAAAGUACUAAACAUCAAAUGUCUCCCGAAAAAAAUACAAAGCACAAUUGCAUAAGCAUUUCAUUUCCCAAUAAAUUUCAAGAAUACAAAAUACUUGGUCUGUUCUUGAGUUCCUUCAAGAAAAUUUCCACUAGAGAGCACGCAAGCCACUCAAUAACACUCCAAAGUCAGAUUUUAAACGUUAUCUUGAUCUAUAAGUACAAUCCAUGAACCAUUCUGCCACAAAUUCAAUUAAAAAUUAUUCAAGUAAAAUGCCAAAUUCUCCAUCAAUAGCCUCAAAAAUUCAUAACUAGCAAACACUACAGAACAAAAAGAGCUCCCAGCAAUAAACACAUAAAAAUCCCACCAAGCAACAUAAAUCAAAAUACCCAGAAACCAGAAAACCCAAAAGAUCAAUACUUGGUAAACAAACAAAUCAAAUCAAAUAAAACAAAAAGAAGAGAAAUUUACCAUUAACACUCAUAUCAGAAACGUAAGUAUCCAAAGAAGCCCGUACACAGAAUCUUGGAACCUUCACUUGAACCCGAGACCAACAAACACCAGUAACUGAAGUUGCAGGAAAAAGAAGUGAAGAACCCAUAUUGAAAUAAAAGAAUCCAAACCCAAAGUCCCACAUCUAAAUAUGAUGGAUCCACUCCAUGCGGCAAUAUGAAAUUUAAGCUCUCUUUUCUUAUGUCACCCAAGGCAUUGGCAGGAUGGCCAAACACCUGAGUUCAAGUCUACAAUAGAGAAUCGAAAUUUUCCUUUGUAAAUGUUCAUAAGUAUUUACCACAGAUAUUCAAGUUAUUCUUGAUAGAUCCCCUACUAUAUAUGCUAUAAUAUUUCUCUUCUUUUAAUUUAAAAGUAAAUCAUUCAUAAUAUCGGACUUGUAAAGAAAUAAAAUUUUCGGUAAUUAACUGACAAAACAAAAAAAGAUGGAUUAUGCGAAAGAAGUUAAUAUGGAGUAAGUCGAGCACUUGACAAUCAAAGUAAUUUACUCGAGGUUGAGUAAGGAUAGUACGAUACUUUCUCAAGUUUUCUGAGGACAUUCACGUGACAUUGGACUAUUGAUUAUAGUUAGAGAGAAGUCCAAGGAUGUAAGUGAUGAUGAUAGAUUCACAAUUCUUUUGAAGAAAAUAUUUUAUAUAAACUUAAUUAUAUGGUAUAAAAUGAUUGGCCUUAAUAAAAUUAAAAAAUAAUACACGCCUGGGUCAUGUAAUAUUUUCAACCAACUAAUUUACAUGCAAAAUUAAACUUUAUGAGUACAUUUAUUUGCUAGCAGAAACUCUGCCAAAUUUUCCGAAAUGUGAAAGUGAACACUUUUAACAACGUCACAAAAUGCAUGUGAUAAUGAAACAAUGUGCCAUCCUUAAACUAAUAUUAUUAGAAACUAUAAGUGAAAGUUUUCAGAAAACAUAUGAUAAAUUUUUCUCGGAAUUUGUUUUCUCCUUUGUUUUGAUUUAUGUGAGAGAUAGUUGUAAAGCGUAAAAUUUUAAAAUCCGUAACAAAACAAAAACUUACAUGGGUUGGGCGCACCAUGUGCAUACCAAAUUAGAAUAAUUGACGAAUCGUAAUAAAAAAUUUAUAUAUAAUAAUUGAAUGAGAUCCAUGGUUCACAAUUGCAAAUUAAAGGUUGGUUUUAUAAUAAAAAUCUUUUUUUGCAUACCAAGUUAGAAAAGAUUAUAAGUAAAUUAAGAUUUUCAAAAUUUGACUAGUAUUAUAUUACGUACGUCAAUAUAAUAUAAAUUUGUUAUAUAUAUAUAUAUUUUACUCUGCAACCAAUGCUUUCAAAAACUUUUUACUUGUAUGUUUGAACAACUUUUAUCGCUUUCUAUUUAUAUACGAUCUCAUUUAUGUUUACAUAAAUUUUCAUAUGUACCCAAAUUAAGCAUUAAAUACACACACUUUGGUAAGACACAUUUCUAGUAUCAGACAAUGAUAUUAUAUUGAAUGUAAUGCUUCAAUGAAUUUUAUUACUAUAUACUAAAAUACUCAACGAUAUUCAUUAAAAAAAAAAAAGAAAUUGCAUGAUUAGAAUGAUUAAAGUUCAUUUAAUGACGAGUUUCAUCAUUGACUGUGUCGAAACACAACAGCAAUCCACAAUACACUCAACACGAGAGGCGCACACAAGCAUGCAUGAAUCUUCCACCAUUAAACCUGAAAUCAUAAAAUGAAAGAAACAAGGUGAGUGUUGUUUUACGGUCUGAAAGCCGAUUCGAAAUAAUAAUAAUAAUAGACCUUUGUUAAUAGUUACUACUAGUGGUCACUGCCUUGUCCAUCUUCCUUCUCUGUAUCAUCGUCCACUUCCAAGCCGCUGUCAUCUGACCAAACCCCAGCAACCAUCGCGGGAAAAAUCACCUAUUUGGAGUGAGAGGGAAAAAGCUGAUUGUUGAGAAAUAUAUGUAUCUUUUGUAUGGUUGUGUUAAGGUCACCCAUGCAAGCAGAACGUGCUUCAGUCCCCCAUGCUUUACUCCCCCACUGCACUUCGUGUAAUUUGGGUGUACUUAAAUUUCCUUCAGAGAAAAUCUUCAUAUCGAGGCAAUCACCCACCACUAAUCUUUCCAAAGAUGGGAACUUGAAAGCACAAUUGCCAGAGCAGAAGCUUGUCAAACUUUUUAAGUCUAAAAGCUUCAACUCCUUCAAUUCUCUGAAAGUAAUAACCUCAUCUUUUGCUACAACAUCAUCCACCAGUACUAUUUCUGUUAUCUUAUCGCAUGAUUCUAUCUCCAUAUAUCUAAGUCGCACCAGAGUCUUUGCAAUUGAGGAUGUUAAUACGAUUUUCAAUCCUUUGCAACACGAUACCACCAGAUUUGUAAGAUUCUGAAAGGACGUCGACGAUGGCACUAGAUUGACCAAACGGUCACACCCCUUUACACGUAGAAAAACCAAGUUGUUCGUAACAGAGGACUCCUCUAUCAAAAUGUGCUCCAGUUGAUAUUUUGCUUCUCUUAUUUCUACCCUCAUCCCAUUUUCAACCUGCUCUUUCGGCAACCAAGCACCAUGUCCUCCUAUUUCGAGGACUUUCAUUGUGUGAAGUCUCUGGAGGAAGUCACCAAGUGAUAAAAUUGUCCGCUCAUCAACCAACUCCACGUAAAGAUAUUUUAGUUUGCAAAGCAAGUCUUCAGAAAAUAGAUAUUUAUUUGUUACCACGUGCUUUGCAUCAACUUUCAACUUUUCCAAAUUAGGGAAUACCUGGGAGAUUGAUCAGAGCCCAAAAAAAAAAAAAAAAAAAAAAAAAAUACAAGAUGAAUCAGUUGAUGAGAAUUAUAAGUUACCACUAAUUUAUACCAUAUAUUUUAUUCAAUAAAUCUUUACCUUUAAAAAAAAUAGUAAUAAUAAUACGCCUAGCUAACAUCUAGAAUAAUUAUGAAUGAAUACUAUACACUAAUCUAUAAGAGAGUUCCGUUGCUGACAAUUUGACUUUUAGUAAGAAACCAAGCGAUAAAGGCAAAGGCAAUAUAACUCUUAAGCUUUAUGAUAUAAACUUUCACAGUACAUACAUAAGAAUUGAAAAUUUGAUUAUAAAAUUCUUGUACGUACCCUUUCCGUCAAGAUAUUAGUAGUUCUUUUGCAUCUCGCCAUGAAUUCAGGACAUCCAGAUAUCUCUAAUUCUUUCAAGGAUGGAAAUUCAAGAUUAUCAAGAUCUCCAGUACAGAAGCUUGUGAACUUUUCAAGAUCAGACAUCCUCAGAUAUUGCAACUGAGGAAACGUUACAAUAUUAUUCUUCAUUUCUUCCUGGUUGUCCACGACUAUUAACUCUUCCAAGACGCGACAUCUGACUAUCUGAAUGCGUUGGAGUCGAACCAAGCUACUAACAGUAGCAGAUGAAAAUAGACAACUUAAAUUCUCACAGACAGACAAGGUCAAGUGCGUUAAAUUCUGAAUACCACAAGACAUGACUGUAACUUGGCUCGGCCAAAUCCUCUCAACAUUUAUUGAAUCCAACGUCAACUUCUCUAACUCUGGUAACCGAUCCUGCUCGAUCAAAAAAUUAACUUGUUAAUUGCAAGUAAACGAUCAUUGAUUAUAAAAUUCUUGUACGUACCCUUUCCGUCAAGAUAUUAGUAGUUCUUUUGUAUCUCGCCAUGAAUUCAGCACAUCCAGAUAUCACUAAUUCUUUCAAGGAUGGAAAUUCAAGAAUAUCAAGAUCUCCAGUGCAGAAGCUUGUGAACUUUUCAAGAUCAGCCAUCAUCAGAUAUCGCAACUGAGGAAACAUUACAAUAUUAUUCUUCAUUUCUUCUUCGUUGUCCACGACUAUUAACUCUUCCAAGACAGGACAUUCGACUAUCUUAAUGUGUUGGAGUCGAACCAAGCUACUAACAGUAGAAGAUGAAAAUAGACAUCUUAAAUUCUCACAGACACACAAGGUCAAGUGUGUUAAAUUCUGAAUACCACAAGACAUGACUGUAACUUGGUUUUGCCAAAUCCUCUCAACAUUUAUUGACUCCAACGUCAACUCCUCUAACUCUGGUAACCGAACCUGCUCGAUCAAAAAAUUAACUCAUUAAUUACAAGCAACAAUGAUUUCUGUUGAUGGACAAAUCAAUAAAAUUACUCUUUCUCUGGUUAUAGUUCUUUUCAGUUUUUCAUACAAACAACCGUUAAUCAAGUUUUCCAAAUUAUUCCUUACUAAAUGUAUAGAUUUAGACGGCGGCUAAUAUAGUUCAUAUUGUAAAUAUUCUUUGAUUGUAACGAAUUUUGUAAUAUUAAAUUUUGGUUGAUUCGCAAUAGGACCUACUAUCCAGCGCGAGCAGUUCUCGGGGAUUUAACUACUGGCACCUCGAUUAUAUAAAAAUUUAGAAUAUUUUCAAAGGAAAUCAAAUAAUUCCCCCUUGCAAAUAGUAAUUAUCAUCAAUUGCCGGGGGUUCACAUAUAAUUCUAAGAAAUUAGGCGAGAAGAGUCUCAUCAACAAUCAAUCAGCAAAUAUCACGUUUGGCAGAUCAUCAUGAUUUCCUCAGAUGCUAGAGAAUCAACGUGAUUUCUGCUCAUGCAGGAGUGGACACAUUAUCUUAGAGCAUCCCUCACUGAGAUCUUUUAAAAAAUUUAUAUUAUAAAGUGAACAACAUAUUUAGUAUAGAUUUAGACGGCGGCUAAUAUAAUUUAUAUGUAUUCUAAUGACGUAUAUUAAAGAAAAUGACUAACCAUAAUUUCAAUCAACUUAUUAGUCUAUAUAUAUAUAUAUAUAUAUAUAUAUAUAUAUAUAUAUAAAAGUGACUACAACAUAUUUAGUAUUCCAUGACAUGAUGUUUAUAAUAAUAAUUAUUAUUAAUUCACUUUUUGUGUCAAGAACCUUUUCUUUCUCUAAGAAUGAAUUUCUUACACCCUACUAUACUACGGAUGAAAAAUUUAGAAUCAUUGUGAAAUAUGAUUAUUAAUCACUCUUUGCCAUAUUUGCUACCAAACAAGAAUGCAACAAAGAAAAAAAAAAUUAUAGAGAAUUAAUAAGACCAUUGACUUAUCAAUAACUGACCUUCUCAGCGAAAAGUGUAUUAGAAAUUUGGACAUUGUCCUCCAAAAUGAUUUCAUGUGACCGCAAAUCAUUAGCUGAUUCCUCCUGUCUCUGCUAACAUUGCAGGUGUAUUGAUUUUAGAGUGUAAGCUUAAUUGUGAGCACAACCUUAAUGCAUAGAUACAAGAUCUUUAAAAAUUAGUACAAUAAACUUAGCACUAAAUCUGAAUUUGAUAUUUUGGAUUCCAUGAUUAAGAUUUUUUUAAAAUGAAAAUUUAAUAGAGUUAAUUUAAAAAUAAAAAUUAAAUAUGAAAAAUUAGAGUUGCAAUUAUGGAUUUAAUUUUGAUAAAUAAUGAAUGUUCUCUUAAUAUUUUUUUUUUAAAGGUAAAAGAGCGUACAAAGCCCAAAUUCAUUUUUUUAGUCCCUUACUCUCCCAUAAUUCAAACUUGGGUGGUUGUAGGAGGACUGAAAAUAUAUAAGACAGUUAACUUCACUUUUUUUUUUUUCUUUUUUUUUUUUGAGAGAAAAGAGAAGAAGGAUAUUACAAAGCAUGAAGCUCGUGCAAUAUAAGGGCAAUGAUGGUUUUUUCUUUAAAUUAAAAUAGUAAGAUUUUGAAGCUAAAAGAUUAAAAUAUUAAUUAAAUUGCAAACAUUAAAGAUUUUUUUUUUUCAAAUGGUUGCUUUGAAAAUGAGAAUAAUAUAAUAUUUGAAGACUUUUCAAAAUUAAUUACUGUGAUAGAUGCACUAGAAGUUUCUAGCUCUAGUCUAAUGUAUAAAUUGACAAAACGAUAUUAGAAUCCCAGGUGAAAAGAACCCUCUCACACCAAUUAUUUAAAUUAGGAAUGAUCAUACCUCUGACUCUGCCGAACUGAGGGCGGGGUCUAAACCCACCAUAAAGAGACGCUUGAGAUGGGAAGAGCCCACUUUGACUAAUUCAUUACGAAAAUAAUCGACAUCUUGCUCUUGCAAUCCCCAUAACUCAAGGUCUUCAAUUCUCUGCAGUUGCACGAUCAGCGAAUCCUUCAAGCAAAUCUUGUUAUUUAGCUCGACUCUGAAUUCACGACACGGAAUGCUGGUGAUCCCCCAAUACUCAAGAUCUCCAAUGCGUAUGCUGUACCUUUCCAGCUUCUCCAAGAACAGGCCUCUGGGCAGAGUGCUGACGUCAUGGGUGUCUAAUUCCAAAGAGGUCAAGUUGGGCAAAUGCUUCAACUCCUCAAGGCUUGCAUUCUUAACCCCUUCCACCUCCACCUCCCAA
This 137687-nucleotide long non-coding RNA is filed under the name Citrus maxima (pomelo). RNAcentral's name for it is "long non-coding RNA (CMAX_LNC001511)". The record is from RNAcentral. Lineage: Eukaryota; Viridiplantae; Streptophyta; Magnoliopsida; Sapindales; Rutaceae.